AGUGAUAUCCCACCAACUACCUGCCAGCACAAGAUAAACUAAUGUCAGGUCAUGAUCAAGAAAAAUUUGCAUUGGGCCUAAGAGUCCAAUGUCAUAAUCAUGCAUAUAUGAAGCACUUUCAAAUGGUUGAUCUAACAGUGUCUGGUUUUCAUUUUUUGAGCUUUUUACCAACGACGGGAGAGUAGAGAACAACACAUGAUCCCCAUUACAGUAUUGUUGCUUGAAUUUACAGGCUUCAUCAUUCAGUACCUUCAAAUCCAUAUAUGACGAGAUGGAAGAAUGAACUUAAAUUUAUUAUUGUAAUUUCUGCAGUUUUAAAAUGAUAAAGUAACACGCAGCUGGUUCAUUGAAAUUUAAGACAUUCAAAAUGGAGCGCAAGAGCAAAAUAAAAGUUAAGAGCUUUAACUUCAGCAUAAUAAGGAGUCUGCUGCAUCAGGCUCACUUUAUCUGCCUCUAUAGACCACCACCUCUUCAUCUUCAGCCUUCUCAAUAACACUCUCUGCGGUUUCUUCAUUUGAUUCUUGGGCCACCGCAUCUUCAUCUUCAACAUUCUCAGUAGGCUCUGAUGGUGUCACAAUUGUAGUGCGGGUGGUGAGGGGGACAGCCUCAUUAUUUUUCCUAGAUCCAUUAGACCGAGCCAUAUGUUUCUUCCCCAUUUUAUGACCCUCCAUCACAACAGCGGAGUGAGUACCAACCUGAAAAACUUCACACCAGGAUUCGAAGUUCUCUCUAAGGGGAAGUUUUCUCCUCAUCGUCCCUUCAGUUGGUAUUCCAUUUGUUGUCUUCUGAGUGAUUGCAUUCAACGCCUUCUUCUUUGGCAGCUCCUCAUUUUUGUUCUCUGAAUCUUCUUCGCCCCCCACAUUCUGGUCAAAACCCACAACAGUUUUAAUAGCUUUAACUGAUUCUGUUUAGGCUUUCAUUUCUUGGCCGGCGCUAUCUCUGCUUUCGGUAAGCUUAAUUGUCUUUCCAGAUUCUUUUGAUGUUGUUGAAGAUGAGGUAGUGCACAUCUUCUGAGCUCCAAUUAGCUCCACUUCCUUCGCCUUGUGCUUCUCACCUCGAAGAUGCUCAUCUUGACCACCCUCCACUUUCUAUUCUAAAACAACAGCAGUUUUAUUAGCUUUAUCUGAUUCCUUUUCUACAGUAGCCUUAAUUUCUUGGCCAGCACUAUCUCUGCUUUCAGUAGAGUUUUUUGAAGUGGAGUUACUGCACAUCUUCUGAUCUCCAAGUAAUUCUUCUUCCUUGGCCUUAUGCUUCUUGCCUUGAAGAUGCUAAUCUGGAUCUCUGUUGUGAGUAGUGUUGACCUGACAGAGGGCACAACUCCAAUCCAUGGGUUUCCUUGAACUCGUCAAAGGGAGCUCACCAGAACCUGCAGGUAGUGUGGCAGCUUCCUGCUUUGAUCCACAAAGAUUGGGAUAGGGCUUAACCUGCAGGGCUUGACAACCCUCCUCUUUCUGGUCUAAACCAACAACAGUUCUAUUAGCUUUAACUGAUUCCUCUGCUACUUUAGUCUUCAUUUCUUGGCCAGCACUAUCUCUGCUUUCUGUAGAUUUUUUUAUCCACUUCUGAGCUCCAAGUAGUUCUUCUUCCUUGGCUUUCUGCUUCUUAACUUGAGGAUGCUCAUCUAGACCACCCUCCACUUUCUGGUUCAAACCAACAACAGUUUUAUUAGCUUUAACUGAGUCCUCUUGUACUUUAGUCUUCAUUUCUUGGCCAACACCAUCUCUGCUUUCUGUAGAUAUUUUUGACGUGGAUGGAGUGGAGUUAUUGCACAUUUUCUUAUCUCUAAGUAGUCCUUGGCCUUGUGCUUCCUACCUUGAAGAUGCUCAUCCAGACCUCUCUGGGUCGUAGCACUGACCUGACAGAGGGCACAACUCCACUGCUCGGUUUUGGUUGAAUUUGUCGAAGGGAGCUCUCCAGAACCUGCAGGUGGUGCAGCAGCAUUCUGAUUUGUUCCACAAAGAUUGGAAUUGGGUUUAACCUGCAGGGUUUGACCACCCUCCACUUUCUGGUCUAAACCAACAACAGUUUUUUCGGCACCAACUGAUUCCUCUUCUAAAUUAGGCUUCAUUUCUUGGUGCAGUAUUUCUGCUUUCCAUAGAUUUUUUUGAAGUGGAGCUAAUGCACAUCUUCAAAUCUCUAAGUAUUUUUUCCUUGGCCUUGUGCUUCUUGCCUUGGAGAUCCACGUCUAGCCCUCUCUCGGUAGAGCGGCGACCUGACAGAGGGCACAACUCCACUCCUUGGGUUUACUUGAACUCGUUGAAGGAAGCUCUCCAGAACCUGCAGGUGGUGUGUCAGCUUUCUGCUUUGAUCCACAAACACUGGUAUCAGGCUUAGGCUGGAAAUGAUACCCAAACACAGAAACCACAAUGCCUUAUAUUAGUUAUCACAUCAAUGGUAAAAAUGAAAAAUAUUUCCAGUGAGCUCCAUCAUCUGCUAUUGUAGUACAGAUGAAAGAAUUUGUUUACAAAAUGAUAAUGUGCAAAUUUUAUUUUAAAUUGUGAAUUCUCAAAAAAGGUAGGAAUGUAGAAGUAUAUUCAAAUAGUUAAUACAACCAGAAUCCUUGUUUAUUAACAACAUUUCCAGCAUUGAACUAGGAAAAUAUCUCCAUCCCAAAUGGUAGUUUCGUUAAGGUGCACCAAAUUUAAAACUUUAUCACUAAUAUAAAUAAUUAGUACAGAGCGAGUAAGGAUCGAUCCCACAGAGACUAUGCUAGUUAUAUUUAUUAUUAACUCCAAAGCAAGAUUUAAAAUAAAAUAAUAGUAAUAAUACUAAUAGUAAUAGUAAAAAUAAUAUAAAUUAAUCUAACUAAAGAAAAUGCCAAUUAAAAAUAAAAGGGGGGUUUAUGAAUUUUUAACUAAAUAGUAAGAAAUAAAGAAAUUAAAAUUACGAACAAGAAUUUAAUAAAAACUCUAAUUAAAGGAGAAAGAAAUAAUAAUGAUGAAAACUUUGGUUAAAGGAUCAUUCGCCACCACCAAACAUGCACAUAAUAUAUCAAUUCUAUCAUCAAUUUAUAUUAAAACUAUCAACCUUAGACAACAAUAAGCUCUGUUAGUCUCAAUCUUUCCUUAGUGUGUCGUUAGGCAAAAUAAGCUCUUCACCUAAUCUCUAACCAUUAAAUAAUUUAAAACAAGCUCUUUAAAUUUAAGAUAAUGGAAGCAUUAAACAGAUAAAGAUAUUAGGUUGAUCUAGGCAAUAAACACACAAGCUCGGAUUAUUUAACCUAGGUUAUGUUCUUCAAUUGAAAUCACUAAUUCCAACCUGCUACUAAUAAUUAAAAUAUCAAGACAAUUACGGAUCAAGAAUUUUAAUCUAGUAAUAAAAUUUAUUCAAGUCCUAUCUAAUUGGCCACUCAAAUAAAACAAGAAUAAACCAUGUACAUUAAUUAUAGAAGAACAUAAACAAUCUCAAUUAAAUAAAUUGAAUGAUAGAAUUUAAAUUUAAUUGCAUAGCAUGUUUAGGGUUUUGAAUUCACCCUCAACCAAAUAAAAAUCUAGCCUAACAUGAUUGAAUUGGAAAUAAGAGAAUUGACAAAACCAAUCAUGGAGAUCAAUUCAAGCGGCUGCCUUUUUCUUUAAUUGAAUUCCGGCUGCUGAUUUUUUUCUUCUUCUUGCGGCUGUUGAUUUUCCUCUUGCUGCCGAAUUGGAUCUGCCCUCUUCUUUUUUUCUGUCCAGCGGCUGCAAUCUCCUUUUAUAAUGCUAGUUGACCGAAUUCUUCUCCAACAAGAAUAAAGAAAUCCUUUUUCAAUUCUAAUUGAAAUCCUUUUCCAAUUUAACACCACCAAAAGCCAUUAAUUCCAACUUUUGAAAGUCAAUUGCUGGCCCGUUUAAAUGCUUUCUACUUUUGCAAUGCCAUGCACGUGUACUCCAAUUGCCAAUUGGAAAAAAUUAAAUCUUUUAAUUAUUCAACAUUUCUCAAUUAGAUUAAUUAUUUUGAUUUCUUCCACUCGGUUUUAUCAAUUUUUGUCUGUAUUUUUGUCUUCCAAUUUAAUCUUUAUUCCUUCUCAAUUUGAACUUCUUAAUGCCCUUUUUAUUCAUAAUCUCCAAUUGAUUUCCUAUUCAAUAAAAUAAUUUAAUUAAUUAAAAAUAACAAAUAAAAAUAACUAGUAAUUAAAUAAUUAAGGGUAAAAUAUGUAUAAUUUAAAAAUUAACUAAAAUAACUAGAAUAUUUAAGACCAAAACAAGAAAAAGAUGGAGAAGUUAAUAGUAAAAUAUAUGAACAAUAUGCACUUAUCAAAUUCCCCCACACUUACCCUUUGCUCGUCCUCGAGCAAACCUAGAACAAAAAUAAAAAGAAAACCUAAACUAGACCACUUUCGUAGGAAAUCACGAUUGCAUUUACCAUAUGCAACAAGCCUUUAAACCCCUAGGCGGCCCUAGUGGACGAGUUAUAGUCUCGUGAGGGCUUCAGCGAUGAUACCCACAAACAUCAUUGCAUUUUUUAUUUUAUUUUAGCAGAAAAAGAACAAAGGAAUUUAAAAUAAAACUAGCCUCAAAGAUUGCAUAAAUCAUAUAGCUCAAAGAAAAUUUCAAAUAUUAUCGAAGUUCUAACUUUAAUUCAAUAGUCAAUCACAUCUCUCUUUUGAUUCUCAUAGUGUGUGUGUGAAUCAAUUCUAUUAAAAUCCAUUCCCAAAAUCUUCAAUAUCAACAGCCUUUGCCUUGAACAAAGAAAAGAGUAGGUCAAACUAAUCUUAUCAUCUUGAUCUCCAAUUUUUUUUUCUUUUACAGGCAUUUGUGUGCAUUUUCUUUUGAAGUUCUUUUUUUUUUUUUUUUUGUUCAGGAGCUUUCACUCUACCCCUUAAGGUAGUCUUCUUCUCAUGGUAGAUUAUCCUCUACAUACUGGUGGUACAUAGGCCCAAAUUACUCAAGGAUAGCUUCACUCUUAAGGGUUAUAGGUAGCUAUUUCUGACUAUGGUGCCUGUGUAUACUACACUGUAUUGUGGAGAUAAGAAUCAAGACAAACAGUCAUUUACUCAAUCUAAAAUUCUCAACUCAGGCUGCGUCAAUCUCAAAUUCUAAGUCAAAAUUAUAAAAGAAUUUAUAUUAGUGCUCAUGGUUUAAAGAAUCUCAAUUAAGAGGAAAUCAACACAAGAAUCAAGUAUAAACUAAGGUAAUAUUCAACCCUUUCUAAGAACCAUAUUCAUUGUCAAUCAAAUUCUUAUCACUGGCUAAUAUUCAAAACAAUAUUUUUUUUUUUUUUUUGUAAAAAGAAAAAGACGAAGUAACAAAAACUAAGUUCGAAACCCACCCCCCACACUUAAUUCUUACAUUGUCCUCAAUGUAAGCCUAAGCUAACAAAAGACAGAAUUAAACAUGGGAAAAUGAGAUGAGACACACAAACAGAAACAAACAAAAUUCAACACAACGUAGGUAAAGUAAAUGAGAAUGAGAGGGAGAAAAAUCAAAUCUGUUAUGGCGUGCUCUCAAAAUCUUUUCUCCAGCCAUUGGGUUGCCUCCCAAUAAGCGCUUGGUUUAUUGUCCUCAGCCUGACCUGGUUCUCAAGUUUCACUCAUCAAUGUACGCAGGUUCAUAAAGUGGAGCCUCCUCUACAUUGAGUGUUUGAAAAUUUUCAUAGUAAGGUUUCAACCUAUGACCAUUAACUUUGAACUCUUUACCUGUCUUUAAGCUCUUGAUCUCAACUGCACCAUGAUGAAAAACAUUAAUAACAACAAAAGGCCCAACCCAUCGAGAACGUAACUUACCUGGAAACAACUUAAGGCGAGAAUGGAAUAGCAAAACUUUAUGUCCAACUUUAAAAUUCUUUCUCAAGAUCUGCUUGUCAUGAAAAACCUUAGUCUUUUCCUUAUAGAUUCGUGAACUCUCAUAGGCAUCAUUUCGAAUUUCCUCUAAUUCUUGCAAUUGGAGCUUUCUGUGUUGGCUGGCAGUGUUCAGUUCCAUGUUACAUUGUUUCACAGCCCACCAUGCUUUAUGUUCAAGUUCCACUGGAAGAUGACAAGGCUUACCAUAUACCAACCUGUAGGGUGACAUACCAAUAGGAGUUUUGUAUGCGGUCCUAUAUGCCCAAAGUGCAUCAUCAAGCCGUAAGCUCCAGUCCUUUCUAUUCAGAUUAACUGUCUUUUCAAGGAUUGAUUUCACUUCCCUAUUAGACACCUCAACUUGCCCACUAGUUUGGGGAUGGUAAGAUGUAGAUACCUUGUGAGUGAUGUUGUAUUUUCGAAAGAGGGCUUCUAUUGACCUGUUACAAAAGUGAGUGCCUCUGUCGCUGAUAAUUGCCUUUGGUGUUCCAAACCUUGUAAAGAUGUUACUUUUUAUAAAAUCUACCACAACCUUAGAAUCGUUAGUUCGGGUGGCUUUUGCUUCCACCCAUUUAGAAACAUAAUCAACCGCAAGAACAAUAUAGAGAUGACCAAACGAUGAAGGAAAUGGUCCCAUGAAGUCGAUGCCCCAAUCAUCAAAAAUCUCAACUAUAAGAAUGGGAGAUUGUGGCAUCUGAUUUCUAGGUCCCAAAUUACCUAUUCUCUGACAACGAUCACAAGAUUUGCAAAACACAUAUGCGUCCUUAAAUAGUGAUGGCCAAUAAAAACCGCUCGCAAGUACCUUAAGGGCUGUUCUCUUUGGUCCAAAAUGUCCUCCACAAGCCAAAGUAUGAAAAAAGGUAAGAAUAUAAGUAAAUUCAGUUUCGGGUACGCACCUUCUAAUAACUUGAUCAGAACAAUGCUUCCACAAGUAUAGCUCAUCCCACACAUAGUACUUGGCAUCACUCUUGAUCUUGGCCUUUUGUGCACGGGUUAUCUCUUCUGGUACUGUCUUGGUAACUAAGUAAUUGACAAUAUCUGCAUACCAAGGAGUAACUGUACCUACCUGUAAUAACUGCUCAUCUAGAAAGUUCUCAUGCAAUGGAAGUUCAUCUUCGUUAUGGAUAAGUCGACUCAAAUGAUCUGCUACCAAAUUCUCAGAGCCUCUCUUAUCUAGAAUCUCUAUGUCAAAUUCUUGCAAUAGAAGUAUCCAUCGUAUAAGGCGCAGUUUGGCAUCCUUUUUGGUGAGCAAGUACUUAAUAGCUGCAUGGUUAGAGUAAACGAUUACCUUAGAUCCAAUUAAAUAAGAACAAAAUUUCUCUAAGGCAAAGAUAACUGCUAAAAGUUCUUUCUCUGUGGUAGAGUAGUUAAGUUGUGCAUCAUUCAAUGUACGAGAGGCAUAAUAGAUGACAUGAGGAAGCUUGCCCACACGCUGGCCCAACACGGCUCCAACAGCAUAGUCACUGGCAUCGCACAUAAUCUCAAAUGGUAAAUCCCAGUUUGGUGGUUGAAUCACAGGGGCCGAUGUCAAAACCUCUUUUAACUUCUUAAAAGCUCUUUGGCACUCUUCAUUGAAGUCAAACGUUGCAUCCUUUUGAAGUAAGUUGCAGAGAGGUAAAGCUAUCUUGGAGAAGUCCUUGAUAAACCUGCGAUAGAAACCUGCAUGACCAAGAAAAGAACGAACCUCCCUCACACUAGUGGGAGGUGGUAAGGAGCGUAUAAGAUCUAUCUUAGAUUUAUCAACUUCAAUCCCCUUUUCAGAAAUAACAUGGUGAUGGUUGUCGAAGCCAACAAAAAUAAAUUCCUACUCUAAAUAAAUUGUGUAUAGUGAUUGAGCAGGGUCGUGUCCACAGAGAUCGGUAAUUAUUUAAAUCCUUUUGAAACGUAAAACGUAAAAUGGGGGAAUUGUAAACAAUAAUAAAAAUCAAAUUAAAUAACAAGAAUGCAAAUUAAAGUUGUAAUUCAAAUUGGAGAAAGCUCUAGUUGAAGGAAUUAACUAAGCUUGAUUCGACUACUGAUCAUUGAUUCAAAUAUAGAUUAUUAUUACUUAUGAAUAAACCGGUUAUAGCUAUUGAGACCCUCGAAUAGCCAAUCUCUCCUUAACUAGUCGAUAACCAAGGUACGACCGUUGGAAAUUUCCCUAAUCAAUAGACAACCCUAGAUACGAUCAUAGGAUUUAAUCAAUUGACAGCCUGAAAAACCAGAGAGACCCAAAUCCUAAUCAACACAUAUGAUGAUUCAUUUAAAUUAGAUUGUUUAUUCUCACAACACAACUCUCUGCUAUGUUAUUUGUCACAAACAUUAAAUUCUUCAUACGAUGAAUCCUUUAAUUGACAAUAGAUUAAGUUGAUAAUUAAAUAGUGGCCAAUUACCUAAUUAACAAACAUAAUCAUGAAACUAAUUCAGAGAAUAAACAAAUACCCAAAAAGUAAUAAAACAAUUAAAGCAUAAGAAAGAUCUCACAGUAGUGAUGAAUCAAAGCUUCAUUAUCCUUCAACCAGAAAAAUAGGUUUAGUUCUUCAUAGAGAGAAGAGAAAAAUUAGAUCUAGGGUUUCUUUCUUCUUCUCCAAUCCAAAAAUCCCCCCCUUCUUUCACAAUAGAUUCCUCCUUAAAUACUCUCUCUCUCUUCUCUUUUAGAGUUCUAUUUAAAAUAAAAUACUAAUAUCUUAAAUAUUAAAUUCGUAAUUACAAAAAUAGCCAAAAAUACAAAACACGUUAAACUAAAAACUGCAGGUCCGCAGUUGACAGCACGCGCCCACGCCUUAUCAAUAAAGUUCUUCUGCCGCUCAUAAUUUCUCCAAGAGAACAAUCAUCCUUAAAAAUCAUCUUGUAGCUCAAUUUUAUCACCAAUCAAUAGAAUUGCACCUACAAAAGUAAAACACAAGUAAAUUAUUAUUAUUAAGUGCAAAACAUCGAUAUUAAGGGAAGUAAACAAUGCAAAACUAGUGCAUAAAUUGCACUCUAACACAUGGCCUAGUACAAUACCUUGAUUAACCAUAAAAUGACAUUUUUCCCAAUUAAGCACAAGGUUAGUGUCAAUGCAUCGUUUAAGAACAAGUGUAAGGUUAUCUAAACAUUUAUUGAAAGAAUCACUAUAAACUGUAAAAUCAUCCAUAAAUACCUUAAUGAUGUUCUCUACAUAAUCAGAAAAAAUACUCAUCAUAUACCUUUGGAAAGUGGCAGGAGCGUUACAGAGACCAAACGGCAUGCGUCGGUAAGCAAAUGUUCCGAAGGGGCAUGUGAAUGUCGUUUUCUCUUGGUCUUCCGGAGCGAUAACGAUCUGAUUAUAACCCGAGUAACCAUCAAGAAAACAAUAAUGAGAGUGACCACUUAACCUUUCAAGCAUUUGAUCAAUGAAUGGCAGAGGAAAAUGAUCAUUGCGAGUGGUUGCAUUCAGUUCAAACUCUCCACCCAGUUUGAACUCUAGCUGGCACAAGCUCGUUUUCUUCAUUCUUGACCACUGUGAUGCCUGAUUUUUUUGGAACUACCUGCACAGGACUCACCCAUUUACUAUCAGAAAUGGGAUAAAUAAUCCCCACAUUAAGGAGUUUCAGUAUCUCCUUUUUUACGACUUCCAUCAUUGGUGGAUUAAGGCGGCGUUGUGCAUCUCUCGUUGGUUUAGACCCUUCCUCUAGCAAAAUGCGAUGCAUGGAAGGACUAAUUCCCUUAAUGUCGGCAAUGGUCCAGCCAAUCGCCGUCUUGUGAUCCCGAAGCACCCUAAUUAAUUUUUCUUGUUGAACUGGGGUGAGGGUUUUAGCAAUUAUGACUGGAAGUGUUUCAUUCUCACCCAAGUAAAUAUAUUGCAUGUGUUCUGGGAGUGGUUUAAGUUCUAAGGUAGGUGCAUGCACAAUUGAAGGUAAAAGUUUCUCGUUUAAUAAAGGCAAUUCAAGGUAAGAAACAUUAUACCCAUGGGUGCGUAAUGUGACUGCUCCAUCUAAGAUCGCCAUAGCUUCCUCUACCUCAUCAUCCAACUUUAUCAAAUUUGCAUGUUCCUUAGAAUCAUCUUUCGUAAGAUUUUUGCUUAUCGAAAUUUCAAAACUGUCAUUACCAGAUAAUUCAAAGAAAUCUUGCACCAAAGUAUUAAUAUCAUCCAUGGCAAAAACAGAAUGAACAUCACUAGGAUACCUCAUUGCCUCAAAGAUAUUGAAGCGGAUCACUUCACCAUCAAAUUCCAUUGUGAGGGUUCCAUCGUGAACAUCAAUCUUGGUUCGGGCUGUCUUAAGAAAUGGCCGCCCCAACAAAAUAGGAGUGGGAUUGGGCGACAACUCAUCCUCCAUUUCAAGGAUAUAAAAAUCAGCUGGAAAGACCAAUUCAUUGACCUGCACAAGAACAUCUUCCAUAACCUCCUUCGGGUAAGCAUUAGAUCUGUCAGCCAAUUAAAUAAUUAUACCAGUUUCUUCCAUUGGACCUAAAUUCAAGGAGUUAUAAAUCGAGUAUGGCAUAACAUUAAUUGAGGCCCCUAAAUCUAGCAUACAUCUUUCGAAUCUGGUAUUACCAAUAGUGCAGGGGAUAAUGAAAGUACCGGGAUCCUUGCACUUAGGCGGAAGUUUUCUUUGAAGUACAGCAGAAACAUUCUCUCCAACACUUACCUUUUCGUUACCGCUCAACUUUCGCUUGUUGCUGCAUAAUUCCUUCAAAAACUUUGCAUAACGCGGCACUUGUUUAAUAGCAUCAAGUAGAGGAAUAUUUACCUCUACUUUACGAAAGGUCUCAAGGAUCUCUUUUCUUGCUCCUCUUUCUUGGAUUGUUUAAAUCUGCUAGGAAAUGGUGGAGGAAUGGAGAGAGUCUUAAUUCGAGGUGAGGGGAUACUUACCUUGCCAGAUGGAUCGACUGGCAAUGCCGAGUGGGAAUCAUCUUUCCUUGUUAAAGGAAGAACCUUAGGUGAGGAAUUGGUCACAGAAGGUGAUAAUGUUGUGGAUACUUUUGAUGGCUUAGCUAAUAAUGGUUCCAAUUGCUUUCUGCUCCUGAGAGACAUAGCACUAGCAUUCUCAUUUGGAUUAAUUUCUAGUUGAGAAGGUAACUUUCCUGAAGUUCUACCCUCCAUCCUACUCAUAGAUGUGGCUAGUUGGCCAAUUUGAUUCUCUAAAUGUUGGAGCUGUGUCUGGGUAGUCUGUUGGAAUUGCAUAGAGUUAGUAGCGAGAGCUUUUACAAGAUCCUCCAAAGACAUACCUUGAUUUUGAGGAGGUGGAGGUGGCCGAACUUGGUAAGGCUGUUGCACCCGGUGUUGGGGGUAGCCUGGUGGUCGAGACGGUGCCACAUUAGAAAUGCCUUGUUGUUGGUUCCCAUACCUAAAAUUAGGGUGAUCCUUCCACCCUUCAUUGUAAAAAUUAGAGUAGGGAUCAUACCUUUGUCUUGGUUGGCCUAGGAACCCCUCAACUGCGUUGGCUUGUUCAUGUGAACCCUCUUGGAUAGCAGGGCACAUGUCAGUCGCAUGUCCGACCAUAGAACAUACGCCACACGGUCUCAUUUGUUGCCCUAGAGCUAAUUGUUGCACCAAAGAAGUAAGAUUUGAAACUUGUUUUUCUAGAGAAGUAGUACUUACCUCAUUGACUCGCUUAGGUGGCGGCAGUAGAUCGUUCCUAGUGUUGAACUGUUGGGAAUUAGCAGCCAUGUUAGCAAUGAGAUUUCGGGCUGCUUCUGGUGUCUUAUCCACGAGUGCUCCUCCACUAGCGGCAUCAAUCAUACUCCUAUCCAUAGGUAGUAGACCCUCAUAAAAGUAUUGAAUAAGAAGUUGAUCACUUAUCUGAUGGUAAAGGCAACUAGCACAUAGCUUUUUGAAUCGUUCCCAAUAGUCGUAGAGCGGCUCUCCAUUAUACUGUCGGAUUCUACAAAUUUCUUUUCGAAUGCUACCAGCUUUUGAUGCUGGGAAAUAUUUCUCCAAAAAUAGCUGACGCAUCUCAUUCCAUGUUGUGACAGUAUCGGAGGGAAGAUAGUACAACCAUUCCUUGGCUGAAUCCGCCAAAGAGAAUGGGAAGGCCAUUAGCUUAACUUGCUCUUCAGAAACUCCGGCUGGUUUCAUUGUGGAGCAGACCACAUGGAACUCCUUCAAGUGCUUAUUUGGAUCCUCUCCUGCAAGACCAUGAAAAGUAGGAAGAAGAUGAAUCAUCCCAGAUUUGAGUUCAAAGUUUACCUGAGGGUUUGGAUUCUCAAUGCAUAAGGGUUGCUGGUCCAAGUUAGGAGCUGCCAACUCUUUAAGUGUUCGGUUGUUAUUCUGAGCCAUUGGUUCGGGUUCUGGGCUGCUUGGUUAUGUUUUCGGGAGUGAAAUGUGAAUGGCAAAAUCGAGUUCUGAAUAUGAUGAGGUUGCUCUAAGUUGUUCGAGUUUCAAUCGAAUGUCCUCUAUGCUCAUGAAAAUCUAAAUAUAGAACAAAAAAUAACUAAUUAAAAUAAAAUAAAUAAAUAAAAUGAGAAAAUAAAUAAAAAAUAAAAUAAAAAAUAAAACGAGUGAUAAUAAACAAACUAGACGCUAGUCCCCGGCAACGACGCCAAAAAUUUGGUAGUGUCGUUAAGGUGCACCAAAUUUAAAACUUUAUCACUAAUAUAAAUAAUUAGUACAGAGCGAGUAAGGAUCGAUCCCACAGAGACUAUGCUAGUUAUAUUUAUUAUUAACUCUAAAGCAAGAUUUAAAAUAAAAUAAUAGUAAUAAUAAUAAUAGUAAUAGUAAUAAUAAUAUAAAUUAAUCUAACUAAAGAAAAUGCCAAUUAAAAAUAAAAAGGGGGUUUAUGAAUUUUUAACUAAAUAGUAAGAAAUAAAGAAAUUAAAAUUACGAACAAGAAUUUAAUAAAAACUCUAAUUAAAGGAGAAAGAAAUAAUAAUGAUGAAAACUUUGGUUAAAGGAUCAUUCGCCACCACCAAACAUGCACAUAAUAUAUCAAUUCUAUCAUCAAUUUAUAUUAAAACUAUCAACCUUAGACAACAAUAAGCUCUGUUAGUCUCAAUCUUUCCUUAGUGUGUCGUUAGGCAAAAUAAGCUCUUCACUUAAUCUCUAACCAUUAAAUAAUUUAAAACAAGCUCUUUAAAUUUAAGAUAAUGGAAGCAUUAAACAGAGAAAGAUAUUAGGUUGAUCUAGGCAAUAAACACACAAGCUCGGAUUAUUUAACCUAGGUUAUGUUCUUCAAUUGAAAUCACUAAUUCCAACCUGCUACUAAUAAUUAAAAUAUCAAGACAAUUACGGAUCAAGAAUUUUAAUCUAGCAAUAAAAUUUAUUCAAGUCCUAUCUAAUUGGCCACUCAAAUAAAACAAGAAUAAACCAUGUACAUUAAUUAUAGAAGAACAUAAACAAUCUCAAUUAAAUAAAUUGAAUGAUAGAAUUUAAAUUUAAUUGCAUAGCAUGUUUAGGGUUUUGAAUUCACCCUCAACCAAAUAAAAAUCUAGCCUAACAUGAUUGAAUUGGAAAUAAGAGAAUUGACAAAACCAAUCAUGGAGAUUAAUUCAAGCGGCUGCCUUUUUCUUCAAUUGAAUUCCGGCUGCUGAUUUUUUUCUUCUUCUUGCGGCUGUUGAUUUUCCUCUUGCUGCCGAAUUGGAUCUGCCCUCUUCUUUUUUUCUGUCCAGCGGCUGCAAUCUCCUUUUAUAAUGCUAGUUGACGAAUUCUUCUCCAACAAGAAUAAAGAAAUCCUUUUUCAAUUCUAAUUGAAAUCCUUUUCCAAUUUAACACCACCAAAAGCCAUUAAUUCCAACUUUUGAAAGUCAAUUGCGGGCCCGUUUAAAUGCUUUCUACUUUUGCAAUGCCAUGCACGUGUACUCCAAUUGCCAAUUGGAAAAAAUUAAAUCUUUUAAUUAUUCAACAUUUCUCAAUUAGAUUAAUUAUUUUGAUUUCUUCCACUCGGUUUUAUCAAUUUUUGUCUGUAUUUUUGUCUUCCAAUUUAAUCUUUAUUCCUUCUCAAUUUGAACUUCUUAAUGCCCUUUUUAUUCAUAAUCUCCAAUUGAUUUCCCAUUCAAUAAAAUAAUUUAAUUAAUUAAAAAUAACAAAUAAAAAUAACUAGUAAUUAAAUAAUUAAGGGUAAAAUAUGUAUAAUUUAAAAAUUAACUAAAAUAACUAGAAUAUUUAAGACCAAAACAAGAAAAAGAUGGAGAAAUUAAUAGUAAAAUAUAUGAACAAUAUGCACUUAUCACCAAAAAAGAAAAAAAAAAAGGAAUAUGUUUGAAUAGGAUUAUGAAAUACUUUCUUAAUAAGCUGGACAAGGAGAGAUGAUAUCUUAUGAGCAUUAUAAUUCAUAAUUUGAGGAAAAACCAUUUUAAUGGAGCUUCCAGCCCAACGUACAUACACAAACACAAUCAGUAAGAUUUAACAUAAGAAAUUACCGGGAAAAAGAAACAUCACAAAUCAAUCUGUACAAGUUCAUGUGACACUGCAUGGUAAACAUAUGUAACCUCUCUUGGAAACUUAGCUUGUGACAAGCUCACAUUUUCUGUGUUUUCGUUCAAAAAAGGUUUCAGACACAUUAAUUCCAGGCUGUGGAGGAUCACAUGCCUCGUUGCCCAAAUUUUUAAAGCCACAUACAUUGGUAUUUGCACGCAUGGUCAAUGAGUUACACAACUCUGUCGUCUACUUGAGUUGACCAAGCAAACUGAAUUUGUGAACUUUGACCGACAUAAAUAACCCAAUGCUAACAUGUUUGGAAUUAAAUCAAGAUUGUGAGUCCAAAUGUACUCCCCUACAAACUUGUCACCUGUGCAUCAAGACAAAGUCUUAUAGCACUAAGAAUGGACAUGGGAAUCUCUAAGCAACAACCUCCUAAUAACAUAAAAAUCAAGGUUGGUGUGGGAUAAAGCCAUUCAAAUGGACAUGUAAAGGGUAACUUUGAUGAAUAAGGGUUUAAGAGAAACAAUCUCAUCACAGAGUAUUUCAAUUGGAGCGGAUGAAGAAACUAACAUGAAACAAGCUCACUUAUCUCUAUUUAUUUUUCAAUUUUCACAGAUCCAAAAUCUAAAAUUAUCAUUUUGAGCUACCCUCAAUUAGUAAGCACUGCAUUGUCACUGCUUUCUUCUGAAAUUUUCCAUCAGCAGAAAAUCUCUAACAAAUCAAAACAAGACUUACCAAGUUUCAUAAGUAUCAAAACAAAAACGAGCAAAGGUCCACAGGGAAGUUCUAGAAUGAAAAAUACUAAUGACGUUGUUACAGUGAAUCUCAGGGUCCAUUUUUCGUGAGGUUAAUGGUUGCAUUCUAGGUUGUGUUGCUCUCAUUCUUCAGUGUUCAUUCAUCUUUUUAUGGUAAGUUGCAUGCAUUUGUUUUGUCUUCAGAGGUUAUGGUGGAAUUGUUUGCACCAUCUAUGUCUUUACGUGCACCCCUUGAUUAUACUCGGCGGGAUAAAUUUUGCACUUACUUUUAAAAAAAAUAAAUAAAGAAUCCCCCGUGGGGAAGUCAAAGUGCAAUACGAAUUUAUUAGUGACGAGGACACAGAGAUUUGACAUGAUAAUUAAUCAUCUCGUUAUGAUGUGUUAGUGUCUAAUUCACAAAUUCGUGUAAUAAAUUGCCACCCUUUCGUGUGAGACUAUUGUUAAUUUUAUUGUUCCCUUAAUAAAGUGUAAGGUAGCUUUACAUUGCUUCCAAUCCAAGGCUUAUAGCAUUAGCAUGAUUAACAUAUAUAGUAGCAUCGUAAACAAUGAUUGGAAUCCUGACAUCUUUGGUAGUAUGAUUAUAGAAAAUUGCGACCAUGUUUGGGUAGCUUAGUUUAAAAGUUACUGCAUUGAAAUAUUAAGUAAAUAUUAGCUGUUAUAACUAGAAAAAUUUAUUAUAUCUUUAAUUUUAUACUUAUAUGAUAGAAAAUUUAUUAUUUCUUUAUUGAUUUUGUCAAAAUUAUUAUUUAAAAAUUAGAUAUUUACCACAUACUAAAUCAAGUUAAAUAAUAGGAAAUAAUUAAUUACAAGUUAAUUAAAUUAGAAAUAUGUGUCUAACCAUUAGAACUACGUAUAUCAAGUUAGUUAAUUACCAAGGAAAGAAUUAAUAAUAAAUUUUCAUUAUUUAAUUACGAAACCGAUAACUAUAUAUUAGGAAAACUAUAAUUUUAUGAAAACUGAAGAUCAGUACUAAUAUAAAACUAAAACCAACAAUAAUUAUAUGAUAGGAUAACAACAAAUCUAGUAUAUAUUAAAAAACACGUCGAUUCUGAAGCUGAAUUUAUAAUCCAACCUUAAUUCUAUUUCUUCUGUAUUUACAUAAUCAUCCCGCUAAUUAAGGAUUUUACAACUUUGCCAUGAAAGUUCGGUGGCUUCCAUGCCUUUUUCUUCUCCUCCUCAAAAAUUUUGCUUUUGCUUCCACUUCACCAUUAAAGAAAAUCCCAAAGCUUGGUGUUGUGCGUGGAAGGACUAUUUUUCUAAACCCUAGUAUAAAAAAUAUCAACUUCAGAACCAGAGGGUAAUAUCGAAACUUAUUAUUAUGAUCAAAUACUUGAUCACUUUAACUAUAAUCCAUUAAGUUAUUUAACUUUUCCUCAUAGAUAUGUGUUGAACUUCAAGCAUUGGGGCAGUGGCGGAGCCAAUAUUGGCAUAUCUUGGUGAAGAGAGUAGUCUUGAUGAUGACCUUGGUGGCACUGCAUGGCUUACUGAUAAUGCUCAUCGAUUUAAAGCCUUACAAGUUUACAUAGAGGUACGUAAUUAAAGAAUCUAUUAUCAAGCUUAAUUUAAAAAUUACAGCAUUAAAAUAUCAGGUAAAUAUUAGCUGUUGUAACUAGAAAAAAUUAUUAUAUCUUUGAUUAUGCACUUAUAUGACAGAAAAUUUACUAUUUCUCUACUGAUUUUAUCAAAAUUAUUAUUUACAAAUUAUAUAUUUACCACAUACUAAAUCAAGUUAAUUACUAGCAAAUAAUUAAUUACAAGUUAAUUAAAUUAGAAAUAUGUGUCCAACCAUUAGAACUACGUAUAUCAAGUUAGUUAAUUACUAAGGAAAGAAUUAAUAACAAUUAGGAAAGAAUUAAUAACAAAUUUUCAUUACUACGUAUUUAGUUACGAAAUUGAUAACAAUAUAUUAGAAAAACUAUAAUUUUAUGAAAACUGAAGAUCAAUACUAAUAUAAAACUAAAACCAACAAUAAUUAUAUGAUAGGAUAACAGCAUUAGCACAUAACCUCCAUUGGUGUUGUUGAGCGGCUGGUCGAGCGAGGCUUGGCACCAUCACAUGCUUGUCGCAUCUUGAGAAAAGUCGUGUGACACUAACCUUAUGGUACUUAAUUCUAUGUUGUUAUUGUUUAUUUGAUUACAAGCCUCUAAAUGAUGUUUCAGAAUUGAAGGAUUAUUUAGAGUAUAUGUAUACGGGUGCAACUUUGUAUGAUGAUCCUCAGGAAUAUCCAAUGAACAAAGCUUGUAAUGGUAUUGAUGGAGCUUCAGAAGGCACCGAUACCCUAAGCCGAAUAUUCUCAGGAAUUGUUGCUUUAAGAGGAGAAAGUUAUUGCCAUGAUGUUGAUGAAUUCUUCUCCGAUGAAACAUUGGGAGGCACCGAAAUCUAUGGUCUUUAAAAAUUCUCAUGGCACUCCCAUUAACAUACUAAGUCUGCUUAACCCAUAGGUGAGUGAACCCAUAGGUGAGUGUAAUCUUCUUUUACAUCCAAUUUAAUUAAAAAAUAACAAUUAUCCAAUAGAGAAAUCUUAGAAUUUCCUUUUUUAUCCCAACGAGCUAAAAAAAUUUCUAAUUAAUUACAUAUGAGGGCGAUUGUAAGAUAACUUACCGACCAAAGUCAACUGGAAUGGAAUAGCCAUUGCUUUGACUAACUCUACGGAAAACUACACGUUCGGCUCACCCACGUACGAAGAGAUUUUCUUGAUGGGGACUGUCGAGGGUGUGGGCUCGUUUAUAAUUUCAGCAAAGGAUUUUUUUAUCGGCCUAUUUAAAUUUCGAUUAGGAGUUGAAGUCAAAACUGAUGCAUAUGUCGGGAUGAAAGUGGGCUGAUUUUGAGGUUCGUUUUGAGCCGCUGGAUUAGAGGAAUUAUUGGUUUGGGAUUAGGGAUGGUAAAAUCUGGGUCCGGGUUUGGCCUUUCUGGUUCCGGACUCGGAUGAGAAUUCGUCUUACCGGAUCCGGAUAAAAACUUGAAUUUUUUGAGUGCGGGUCUGAUACGGGUUAAACCCGGAUAAUUUGUUUUGGUACCUAAUUUCUCUCAUUUGCUUUGAAAAACCCUUUAUCAAACUUUUCUUGCUGCAACUUGCAAGGAAUAAAUGAUGAAGUGAUGAAUAUUAAAUAACUAAAGCCAGAUUAUUAUCAACAAGAUCACUCAACCAAAGCUUCUUGAAUUCGCAAUCUUAAAAGGGAAUUUUUUUUUUCAAGAUCCCAUUUAUAGCCUUUAAUUGUUUUGCAAUUGCCUUGUUCGUACUCCCAUCAAAUCACAAUCCAAUACCCUUCCAAUAAUCAGAACCUAAAAUGAAUGAAAUCACAUUCUUGGGCCAACUUCUCGAAAAUAUAGUUGAUGAAACUGCUUGCCCGUGGCCUUGCUGGAGAUUUCAAUAUCGAGGUGGACUUGCUUCAGGAUUGGUCUUCUUCGUCUUGUUCUUCUUUUUCUCGACUGUAUUGCCGUCUUUGGUGAUGACUAUUAAUGAUUUGUUUCGGGCUUUAGUGGUGAGGAUGAGGAAUAAAGCACGAUUCACGAUGAUUUGAUGAGGAAAUAUUUGGCUUUCGGCUUUGGCGGCGCGGCUGUGAAACUGAAACUAGGGCAGAGCUGCUAUUUCUUUUUUCAAUAGUUUCUAUUUAUAUUUAAAAAAAUAUAAAAAUAAAUACACCCGGGUUCGGGUUUCAGAUUUGCUGUUUCACCCAAAUCUGGAUCUGGACCCGAAUAUGUCUGAGUUUAGAAAAUCACAUCUAGAUUCUGGAUUUAAUUUAGUCCGGUGUAGGUUAAAUCCGACCCAGAUUAUUCGGGUUUGGUUGGGUUCGGGUUAAAUUGUCAUCCAUAUUUGGGAUUGAUUUUGGACUUGCAGACUUAUAUUGGAUGAUUGGGCUUUUUGUGGUUUAAUGGAUUGACAUUGGUUUUGGGAUUGAGAAUUUAAGUUGGAUGUAUGGAUAUUAGUGGGAUGGGCUUCCAAGUGCAUUUGGGCUUGUGAGUUAAAUGUUGAAUGGUUAUGGAGGGUGUAGAAACUAAGGUGCUAUUAACAGACUAAGCAACCUUAGAUUCUGCCCUAAGAUCACCAACCAACUAAUCAAGAUGCUGCAAGAUUGAUGACGGAAAAGCUACGACUAAGAUGAAUCUAUGGAACUAGACGAUUAACCAAUUUGGAUUAAAGAAUCAACAUAAGUAGAGCAAUCAAAGAACAAAAGAAACUUAAUGUGGUUCAACUAGAUUUCUCUAGCUUACAUCCACGGGAGGGCAAAGAAUAACUUUAUUGAUUUAACAAGAUGAAUUACAGAGUAAUGCUUUUUUUUUUUACCACAGAAAAGAUCUGAACUGAUUAUAUAUAAACCAGUCCCUUCUCUCUCUUCAGCUCUCUCUGCACACCAAUCUGUUGCUUCCACAUCAGCUGCUCGAUAACAGCUUCAUAACGAACCCAGAAAUUCCCCAGCAACUCACGUGAGUUCCUCAUGCGUUUAACGGCUUUUAACGAACCUUGCAAGCUGGACACAAGCAUGUGAUACAAGCGUGCUUCACUUAGACUUAAACGACAAACUCACAUGUCGUUCAUAAGAGUAUUUCUUUUGCUCUUCAAAACGCAAGACUCCAUGUCGUUGAGCUUAAGUGAUUUCAGCUCUAAACGCAAAGGCUUCUGCCGUUUUGGUUUUCUGGACUUGCUUUCAUAAACAACAGAGGGUUUCAUGAUUACGGUGGGCAUUGCAAGUAUUAGGGGUAGAAAAAUUUUGGGGGGAAGAAAAAUAAGCCGAAAGUUGUGCAUUUGUUGGUGGAAUUGAGGGGUUUGAUUUUGAAUGAGUGGGAGACAAAAGCGGGUCCCCUGCACUAUUUGAAUGUUGGCUUUUUGGUGAUGCCAUAGGAAAAGUGUUAUGAGUAUAUGUGUUUUGUGAGGCUGCAUGUUGAUUUUUGGCUUGAGUGGAGGCAUGUGAGGUAAUUUUGGAAAUCUUUGAUGCAUGUGAAGGCUUUGAAAUGUUGAGCUCAUAGGGGACGACAUUAAUUGAGCACGGCUGACUUUGUGGACUUUGUGAAAGAGAGUUAUGGGCGUGAUUGUGUUUGUGUGUGGUCAAAAGCUGCAAGGGGUUGUCGAGAUUUUCCGAAUUUUUGCAUGUGGGUUGGGCCGAAGCAGGCUGUCUUGGCUGACUUUCGGCAGAUGCCGUUUGUGUACCAAAACGUGUGCGAUCAAGGGGCUGUUCAGAAGCUUCAUCUCGACCAUGAACGGUGGUUGCAAAGUUAACAGCCGAGAGUUGUUUUUUGAGCUUGUACAGGGGCUGUGAUGGCUGGAUCUUGUGAUUCACCAUGUUUAACUUGUUCACGGUUGGAGGUGCAAACUUUGGUAUGCGAUGAGGGGUUUUGGUCACGGCUUUCUUCCACUUCCUCUAGUGGUUGAUUAUAGAGUCCGUUUAAUUAUAUACCUUUUUCUUUUUCUUCUUCUUUUUUUUUUUCGAGAUUAUAGGGUUCUGGAAGAUAUAUCAGACAACAUAAUAACAGUGAUAACAAGAAACGGUAUGUAAAUUUUCUGUAAAAUAAAAAAAAAUUAGUGUUCAAUUAUUAACUAAAUUAUUGGAUAACAUAAUUAAUAGUGUGUAAAUUAGAGCAGGUUCCCAUUGCUUAGACAUACAGCCAGCAACAGAAGAUGAUCCAGAGUGGUUAGUAAUGCAGCGAAAGACUGAAGUGGACAUGGUUCAUGAUUGGGUCCUCAAAUACUCUGCAGAUUUGCUUCAAAAUCAGGGCAUAAGAUUAAAUUGGGACUACAAAAUUAGUCUUUUCUUUUUCUUCCUCUCCACUAUCUUUCUAAUAUUUAUGGAUCAAAGAUAAAUAAUAGUGCACCUGGCUAGUUGUAGAUUUCAUUUUCAUAAUUCUUAAUUUGGGUUGUCUAAAUGUGUAGAACAAGUGUGCAGUAUUACUUAAUGUAAAGCACAUAUAAAGGGCUCAUCAUAUGGUGAAUAUCAAUUCAUAUACAAUCACAUUGGAUUAACCAUUUUUGCCCUUUGAUUUAAGAGUUACUGUAUAGGUCCUUGAAGCCAGGGAGAGAAAAAGAAUUUGCCCUCCAUAUACAUGUAUCUCUCAAAACUUAGGUGUUUAUCCUUAUAUGCUCCGUUUAUUAGUAGCCAAGCUUAUGAGUACAUUGCUCCAGGUGAACCUGUUCCUAUUCUCCUACAUAAUAGCUUCUUCUAUUAAUUAUUUGACAAUCUCAUGCAAUUUCUAUUAAUUAUUUGACAAUCUCAUGCAAUUCCAAAGACUUAGGAUUUUGAGAUUUUGGUGGCUGAUAAAAUAAGCAACCUCUAAUAUGCGGAUGAAAUAAGCUAAUGAUUACAAAAGAAGCUUACUCAGUAUUUGGUAAUUUUGAUUACGAAUUUAUAUAUUAGCGUUUAUAAAAAAAAAGUAAGAUAAAAUUAUUCUUUUCUUAAAAUAUUAAAGUUAUAAUAGAACCUUUAAAAAAUAUGGCAUUUUGUUUAAUAAGUUACUUUAAUAAGUUGCUUAUAAAACAUAAUCUCAUACUUGUUUUAAAAGCUAUUGUCAAAAUGGAGAAAAUAUGAAUUAAACUUUUAACAAAUUUACCAAACAUCAUUUUUAUCAAAACUUAUAAAAUAAGUUGUUUAUAGUAUUUCAAUCAUAAUCCCAAAUAGGACAUUAGUCUUUGUUCAGAAUAAGGUUAGGCAUUGAAUACGUGUACACGCAUAAACUAAAAUAUCUAGACUGAAGAAACAGCUUGACUUAAUAAGUCUACUUCAUUCUUUAUUUUCCACAGCAUGUGUCACGAGUAAGUUCCAAAUAAUUGCUAACUAGGAGAAGAAGUCUUUAAAGUCAAGGUGAUUAGAUUCGCAUGUUACGGAAUUACGUAUCGGAGGGGUUCCCUGCUCUCCACUUAAAAAGAUGCCUUAAAAAGUUAAAUAUUAAAUAAUACGGCAUUUUUAAAUUUAAAAAAUUGUAAAAUAUAUAUAAAAAAUUAAAAAUUAAAAAAAAAAAACUUUUUUUUAAGUGCGUGGAGGUUUGAACGGCAACUACAGGAUCGCUUCACGAUGAACUUCAGAUGUGCAAGACUAAGGCAGGCCUAGCACGAUUUGGGCCAACAUUCGUAAACUCAGGAAGGGGGACGGAAGAGAGAGCAUUUUGGUUUAUAUUUUACUCAUAUACACACGAGUAAUUAUAUACAAACCUUUCAUGCCUUAACUAACUUUUUCACGUGGGACAAAUGUAUUUUCCUUUAAUUUUCCAAUUCCAUGAAUUUAAUUUGAGUAACAAUUUCUCAUUUAUCCAAUUUGAUCAUGUAGAGAAAACCAUUAUGAAGUAUUUAUGGAGGAAUAUUUGAAACAAUUUUAACCUUUCACUUACACUAGGUAGGUCUGACUCAAAAUCACACCUCAAAUAGCCACUUGUGCUAUAUUUCUAACACUUUCUACUUCUUUUCCUUAUUUGAUUGCAUGCAAAAAAAUUGAGUGCAAUGAAAUUUUUAUCUUCUUUCGUCUAUGAUGUUUUGGUGUAAAAAAAAAAAAAAAUUAAAAUGGAUGUUAGGUAGCCCAUGAACUUCCAUAGUUUGUAUGUUACAAAAGGAGUUUUGUAACUAUUUUAAAAAAGAGUAAUGAUAUAGCCACAAUCUUUUAUACAAACUUAUCUUAUACAAACUGAUGUGACAUGAUAAAAUUGGUUAAAUUAAAUAUCUCUUGGCUCACAUGAUUUAUUUUCAUUAUUUUAUAUUUUCAUUCAAUCAAUAAAUUGAUGCCAUAUCAGUUUGUACAAAAUAAAUUUGUACAAGAGUUUAUGGCUGUAUCAUCACUCUAAAAAAUAAAGAGAUUAUUUUGAUUAUUUUGUCAAAUCACAGGAGUCUACACAUUCUUUUCUCUAUGGUUAUUUAUAAUAUUACACCUACACGUUUUUUUUAUACAAAUUAAAUUUAUACAAAGAUAUGGUUAGUUCUUGUUUAUUUUCCCAUGAGUCAUAAUUUACAACAACAAUUCUUUGAGCUUCUUUUUCUUUUUAUUAUUUUGGGUAAUAUUUAAUAUCUUAAUAAUGCUAUUAAUUAUUUCUAAUAUUUUCCAUAUUAUCUCAUGUUUCUGCAAUGUUGUUCAAAUAGAUCUACACCACACAAAUACAAGCCAAUAAGGUUAUAUCUCCAUGAUUGAAUCCAUCUAGAGAAGACCUUGACUCACACUCUUUGAAAACGCGUAUUGGAAAUUAACACCGGGAGGUUGAAAAACAAUUAAUUCUUAUAUAAACGCUUUGCUGAGAAUCAAAUGUAGCUCAAUCAACCGAAAACCAUUAUAAACAUGGCAUCAGCGUCCUCUGUUUCGAGACUGGUGGUCAUUAUAAUUUUAAUUAAUGUUGGUACUAUAAGUGAUACGACGAUAUCUGUAACAGCAUCAGCUGCUGCAGGAUUAUUGUCGUCACCCAUACAGUUAGAAAGGAAAGCUUUACUUGCUACGGGCUGGUGGGUCAACAUUUGGCCGACGGGCAACCACACGUCCGAUCCUUGUAAGUGGACUGGCAUCAGUUGCAAUUCAGCGGGAAGCGUAAUCGGGGUCAACUUACUCUGGUAUGAAAAUGAUAACAUCAACGGAGAGCUUGGUCGUUUCAACUUCUCUUGCUUUCCCAACCUCAAAAGUUUCAAAAUUCAUUCAAAUUAUCUUCUCUCUGGGAGCAUUCCAUCCGAAAUUGCUGCCGUUUCAAUGCUCCAAACUCUUGAACUGCCCUCCAACAAUCUUACCGGUAUGCUACGAAACUUCACUAUAUAUAUGUAUGUAUGUAUGUAUGUAUGAAGUCGUGCUCAUGCUUGAAGCAGGCGUCUGUUUUUACAACACUGAAGAAGUUUUUUUUUAUGAGGAUUUCUUUAUAAAUUUUAUUUGCUAUGAGGAUAGUGAAUACUGAUCUCGUUUUUUAUAAAUCACAUGCGCAACAGGAAUUAUCCCUUCAGAGAUGGGGAGAUUGAGGAAGCUCGUCCACCUGGAUCUAUCUGAUAAUUACCUCUCAGGAUAUAUCCCUCCAACUCUUGGUCGUCUAAGCAAAUUGGAAAAUUUGAACCUGUCUUCUAACGGCCUUGAUGGUAAUAUCUCUCCAACUCUUGGUCGUCUAAGCACAUUUUUGUUGUGUGAAAGUGAAACUGUAUAAUAAAUUUCUACAUCUUUGUUUAUUACUUCGGUAGUGUUUUAAUUUGGAGAAUAUGCUGGUUGGCUUUUUUUCCUUCAAUUUUUGUAUGAAAUGAAUCGGCUUCAAGUGUCAGUUUCUUUUCCAAAUUGCAUCCAUCAAUUGCAAUUGUUACAUUGGGCGAUUACAAGUUGUACGUAAUUAUUAAGGAAGGCACGUUUAAGCAUUUUUGGUUUGUACGUUUUCCUCCUUUUUUUUCCCCUUUGCAUUAAAAAUCAUGGUUAUCCUAUAAAAGAUAUGAUUACAAAUUAAAAGCACUAUUUCUAAUUUCACACAUACACAGUUCCUUAUUAAUUUAUUAAAUUUACUUUUGUAUUUACAGGAUAGGGUAGUCAAUUGAGAGCACUGAGAGUGAUUCUCUCUAAUCUCCAUAAUUUUGUAUUAAUUUAUUGAUAUAUUUGUUGCAUCUGCAGAUUUAACUUUCAGUCUAAAAUAUGCAGCAUUGACGAGCCCCAAAAAAAAAAAAGAAAAAAAAAACUAUUGGAGCACUAAAAAAUCUAUUAAUUUUUACAACCUAAGCAUUUCUUUAUAAAUUUUAUUUCUAUGAGGAUAGUGAAUACUGAUCUCGUUUUUCAUAAAUCACAUGCGCAACAGGAAUUAUCCCUUCAGAGAUGAGGAGAUUGAGGAAUCUCGUCCACCUGGAUCUAUCUUUUAAUUGCCUCUAUGGAUAUAUACCUCCAACUCUUGGUCGUCUAAGCAAAUUGGAAAAUUUGAACCUGUCUUGUAAUGCCCUUGAUGGUAAUAUCCCUCCAACUCUUGGUCGUGUAAGCAAAUUGAAAAAUUUGAACUUGUCUGCUAACUCUCUUGCUGGUAAUAUCCCCCCCACUCUAGGUCAUCUAACCCAUCUAACUACUUUGGCUAUUGCUUGGAACCAAAUUAAUGGUUCCAUCCCAUUAAGAAUCGGGAGUUUGAAGGCUCUUCAAGUUCUUGACUUGUCCAUAAAUGAAAUUGAAGGUUCAAUUCCUUCAACACUUGGCCAUUUAAAGAGAUUGAGAAGUUUAGACUUGUCCGGUAACAAUCUUGUUGGUCCAAUCCUUUCGUCUGUGGGUCAUUUGACUCGGCUAACAACUUUUGAUAUGCACUCAAACCGAAUCAAUGGUUCCAUCCCAUUAGAAAUCGGAAAUUUGAACUUUCUUCAAGUUCUUGACCUCUCCUACAACAAACUUGAAGGUUCAAUUCCUUCGACCAUAGCUAGUUUAGUCAACCUAACAUCUUUGUUCUUGUGCAAUAAUAGUCUAACUGGAUCUAUUCCUUCAACACUUGGUCGUUUAAACAGGUUGACAAGUUUAGACUUGUCCGGUAACAAUCUUUUUGGUCCAAUCCCUUCGUCUGUGGGUCAUUUGACUCAGCUGACAACUUUUGAUAUGCACUCAAACCGAUUCAAUGGUUCCAUCCCAUUAGAAAUCGGAAAUUUGAACUUUCUUCAAGUUCUUGAUAUGUCCCACAACAAACUUGAAGGUUCAAUUCCUUCGACCAUAGCUAGUUUAGUCAACCUAACAUCUUUGUUCUUGUGCAAUAAUAGUCUAACUGGAUCUAUUCCUUCAACACUUGGUCGUUUAAACAGGUUGACAAGUUUAGACUUGUCCGGUAACAAUCUUGUUGGUCCAAUCCCUUCGUCUGUGGGUCAUUUGACUCAGCUAACAACUUUUGAUAUGCACUCAAACCGAUUCAAUGGUUCCAUCCCAUUAGAAAUCGGAAAUUUGAACUUUCUUCAAGUUCUUGAUCUGUCCCACAACAAACUUGAAGGUCCAAUUCCUUCGACCAUAGCUAGUUUAGUCAACUUAACAUCUCUGUUUCUGUGCAAUAACAGUCUAACUGGAUUUAUUCCUUCAACACUUGGUCAUUUAAAUAGGUUGACAAGUUUAGACUUGUCCGGUAACAAUCUUGUUGGUCCAAUCCCUUCGUCUCUGGGUCAUUUGACUCAGCUAAUAACUUUUGAUUUGCACUCAAACCGAAUCAAUGGUUCCAUCCCAUUAGAAAUCGGGAAUUUGAAACAUGUUGAAGAUGUGUACCUAUUCAACAACAAACUUGAUGGUCCAAUUCCUCCACAACUCAUGAAUUGCUCAAAGCUGGGGGAAUUACGUUUGGGAAACAACUUGUUAAGGGGAAGCAUCCCGUUAGAGAUCGGCAAACUUAAAGAACUAUAUUAUCUUGAUCUGAGCCAUAACUCCAUUAAUGGUAAAAUACCUUCCCAGCUUGGAGAAAUUCCACGCAUAGAUACCGUGAACCUUUCCAUGAAUAACCUCUCUGGUAGUAUCCCUGAAUCUGUCAUAAUUGUGCCACACUUAUAUGUGUCAGGCAACAAUUUGGAGGUAGAAAUCCCAAAUACUUCGGCAUAUGCGCCACCGCCACAACAGUCUGAAGGCAAUAAAGACAAGCACAAAAAGAUUGCCACUCGAUUGGUUGCAAUUGUUCUUCCUAUGGUCGCAUUGCUUGCCUUGAUAUUCGGAAUCUUGUUUGUCCAUAGACGAAGGGAUAAGAAAGUUGAACCAGUUGAGACAGGAGAAAUCACCAAGUGCGCUGAUGAGUUUGCAAUUUGGAAUUACGAUGGUAGAAUUACAUUUCAAGACAUGAUUGAAGCUACUGAGGAUUUCCAUAUCAAAUACUGCAUUGGAACCGGGGGCUACGGCAGCGUUUACCGAGCACGACUGCCCAGUGGAAAAGUAGUUGCUUUGAAGAAGCUUCACCGUUCAGAAACUGAGGAGUUAGCUUCCCUCGAGAGUUUCCGGAAUGAGGCUCGUCUACUGUCCCAAAUACGGCAUCGAAAUAUCGUAAAGCUUUACGGGUUUUGUUUGCACAGGAAAUGCAUGUUCUUAAUCUAUGAGUACAUGGAAAUGGGAAGCUUGUUCAUUGUUCUGCGCACAGAUGGGGAAGCUGUGGGGUUGGAUUGGGCUAAAAGGGUGAACGUUGUGAAGGGCAUGGCUCAUGCUUUGUCAUACUUGCAUCAUGACUGCACACCACCAAUUGUUCACCGGGACAUAUCAAGCAACAACGUUCUACUCAACUCAGAAUUGGAAGCAUUUGUUGCCGACUUUGGCGUUGCUAGAUUAUUAAAUUUUGACUCAUCCAAUCGAACUCUAUUGGCUGGCACUUAUGGAUAUAUUGCUCCAGGUAAUCUUCUAGCUAUUCUUCUUGUGCUUCUUUAAUUAUUCUUUUAAUUAAUUUCCAUAUGCACUUUGUUAAGUAAGUUUUAAGCAGUUUUAUUUAGUUAGCUACUUAGGUUCGAAUUUUGGAAUAAGUAAGGUGCUGAAAGAUAAAUUUGAACUUUGCCUACCCGUUUAACUUUUUUUUAAAAAAAAAAAAUUACACAGUUUAAAAAUCAAUUAAAAAAAUAUGUUUCUCUGUCAUACCUUGCUGCAGAAGCUCAAAAAUAUAAACAAAUUGCUCUUGUUAUUGUUUAUGGAAACAUCACUAAUAAAGGCUUCUGUUUUCAUACAGAACUUGCCUACACCAUGGUUGUGACGGAAAAAUGUGAUGUUUAUAGCUUUGGAGUGGUGGCACUAGAAGUACUAAUGGGAAAGCAUCCAGGAGAGCUCCUCUCAUCGUCAUCUUGGUCAUUGGAUAAAAAUAUUAAGCUAAUUGAUUUGCUGGACCCACGCCUCUCACCUCCGGUGGAUCAAAAGAUUAGGCAGGAUAUCAUUCUUGUUUCAACAGUAGCAUUUUCAUGCUUGCGUUCUCAACCAAAGUCUCGACCUACAAUGCAACUCGUGUCCAACGAAUUUAUCGCUCGCAAUAAGGCACCAAUGCAAAAACCUUUUCAUGAAAUUUCAAUUUUGGAGCUUAGAAACCAAGAAAUGUAUUUGGUUGAUUAAUGUGAUAUCUAAUUAUGGAUACGUAUAUUUAACUGUUCAUGUAUGUGAUGGGAUUGCUUCUAAUCCUAAUGGAAUUUUCCAAUAAAGGUGACUGUUAAUUGGUUCUGAUGAAAUUAUUAAGUAGUAGCAAUGUAGCAAAUAUUAUGUGUUCGACGAAUUGUCUCCCUUAGUAUUAUUAAUUCUAUUUACACGUUCACUUCCUAUACAUGUUGAAUUGCAAUUAAACGAAUGUGCAAACUACGACAUUAAUCUCUCUGGUAAAGCUAGUGCUGAUAAAAUAAGGUCUGUCUGAUUGUCUCCCUCUGAAUGAGCUGAAUUAAACAGGAUUUUAAGGAAUUUAAGGUUGUAUCUCUACGAGUUAAAAGGGUAAAUUGUCAUUUUAAUUAUUAGUUUAUUUUACAAAUUAUAUAUAUAAACUUUCUCCAGAGCGAGGUUCUUGAUGUCACGUUACUUAAUAUAUUAGUUUCUUCACUCCUUUGUAAAUAUUCACACAAACAUAUAUAAUAAAUUUUUAAUUUAGCCGAUGCGAUCAAACAUCCUGGACCCACCGCUGAUGUUAGGAAGCUUCUGCACAAGUUGUGGUUAGUGAUGUCCCACCAACUGCCUGCCACCACAAGAUAAACUAAUGUAAGGUCAUGAUCAAGAAAAAUUUGCAUUGAGCCGAAGAGUCCAAUGUCAUAAUCAUGCAUCUAUGAAGUGCAAGAGUAGAGAACAACACACGAUCCCCAUUACAGUAUUGUUGCUUGCACUUAUAGGCUCCAUCAAUCAGUACCUUCAAAUCCAUAUAUAAUGAGAUGGAAGAAGGAACUUAAAUUUAUUAUUGUAAUUUUCAACUUUUAAAAUGAUAAAGUAAGUCGCGGCUGGUUCAUUGAAAUUUAAGACAUUCAAAAUGAAGUGCAAGAGCAAAAUAAAAGUUAAGAGCUUUACCUUCAGCAUAACAAGGAGUCUGCUGUAUCAGGCCGACUUUAUCUGCCUCUAUAGACCACCACCUCUUCAUCAUCAGCCUUCCCAAUAACACUUUCUGCUGUUUCUUCAUUUGAUUCUUCGACCACUACAGCUUCACCUUCAACAUCCUCGGUAGGCUCUGAUGGUGUCAUAAUUGUUGUGCUGGUGGUCAGGGGGACAGCUUCAUUAUUUUUCCUAGAUCCAUUUGUCAAACUUCACGACAGCAGAGUGAAUACCAACUUGACAAACUUCACACCAGAAUUCGAAAUUCUCUCUAAGAGGAAGUUUUCUCUUCAUCGUCUCUCCAGUCGGUAUUCCAUUUGUCAUCUUCUGAGUGUUUGCAUUCAAGUCCUUCUUCUUUAGCAGCUCCUUAUUUUUGUUCUCUGAAUCUUCUUCACUCUCCACUUUCUGGUCUAAACCAACAACAGUUUUAAUAGCUUUAACUGAUUCCUCUUCUACUUUAGCUUUCAUUUUUUGCCCAGCACUUUCUGGUCUUAACCCACUUUCUGGUCUACUUGUCUUUCCAGAAUCUUUUGAUGUCGAUGAAGAUGAGGUAGUGCACAUCUUCUGAGCUCCAAUUAGGUCCGCUUCCUCCGCCUUGUGCUUCUCACCUUGAAGAUGCUCAUCUUGACCGCCCUCCACUUUCUGGUCUAAAUCAACGAUAUUUUUAUUCGGUGUAACUGAUUCCUCUUCUAGAGUAGCCUUAAUUUCCUGGCCAGCACUAUCUCUGCUUUCAGUAGAGUUUUUUGAAGUGGAGUUACUGCACAUCUUCUCAUCUCCAAGUAGUCCUUCUUCCUGGCCUUGUGCUUCUUGCCGUGAAGAUGCUCAUCUAGAUCUCUUGUUAGAGUGCAAUUUAUGCACUAAUUUUGCAUUGUUUACUUCUCUUAAUAUCGAUGUUUUGCACUAAAUAAUAAUGAUUUACUUGUGUUUUACUUUUGUAGGUGCAAUUCUAUUGAUUUGUGAUAAAAUUGAGCUAUAAGAUGAUGUUUAAAGAUGAUUGUUCUCUUGGAGAAAUUAUGAGCGGCAGAAGAACUUUGUUGAUAAGGCGUGGGCGCGUGCUGUCAACUACGGACCUGCAGUUUUUAGUUUAACGUGUUUUGUAUUUUUGGUUAUUUUUGUAAUUACGAAUUUAAUAUUUCAAAUAUUAGUAUUUUAUUUUAAAUAGAAUUCUAGAGAAGAAGAGAGAGAGAGUAUUUAAGGGAGGAAUCUAUUGUGAAAAAGGCAGAUUUGGAUUGGAGAAAAAGAAAGAAACCCUAGAUCUUAAUUUUUCUCUUCUCUCUAUGAAGAACUAAACCUAUUUUUUUGGUUGAAGGAUAAUGAAGCUUUGAUUCAUCACUACUGUGAGAUCUUUCUUGUGCUUUAAUUGUUUUAUUGCUUUUUGGGUAUUUAUUUAUUCUCUGAAUUAUUUUCAUGAUUAUGUUUGUUAAUUAGGUAAUUGGCCACUAUUUAAUUAUCAACUUAAUUUAUUGUCAAUUAAAGGAUUCAUCGUAUGAAGAAUUUAAUGUUUGUGACAAAUAACAUAGCAGAGAGUUGUGUUGUGAGAAUAAACAAUCUAAUUUAAAUGAAUCAUCAUAUGUGUUGAUUAGGAUUUGGGUCUCUCUGAUUUUUCAGGCUGUCAAUUGAUUAAAUCCUAUGAUCGUAUCUAGGGUUGUCUAUUGAUUAGGGAAAUAACCAACGGUCGUACCUUGGUUAUCGACUAGUUAAGGAGAGAUUUGCUAUUAGAGGGUCUCAGUAGCUAUAACCGGUCUAUUCAUAAGUAAUAAUAAUCUAUAUUUGAAUCAAUGAUCAGUAGUCGAAUCAAGCUGAGUUAAUUCCUUCAACCAGAGCUUUCUCCAAUUUGAAUCACAACUUUAAUUUACAUUCUCGUUAUUUUAAUUUGAUUUUUAUUAUUGUCAACAAUUCUCCCAUUUUACGUUUUAUGUUUCAAAAGGAUUUAAAUAAUUACCGAUCUCUGUGGACACGACCUUGCUCAAUCACUAUACACAAUUUAUUUAGAGUAGGAAUUUAUUUUUGUUGGCUUCGACACCCAUCAAAUUUUGGCGCCGUUGCCGGGGAUUGGUGUCAUUUAUUUAAUUAUUUUUACGUUUUACUUGGUGUAUGGUUCGUUCUUCUCGUACAGGUACACUUUCGUUUGAUCCUGAAAUUGAGAAGACAGCUCGCCAGCUGAGACAGCAGACAAAGCGAGCUAAGCAACGAUCCUCGUCGCCUUUGCUUUCUGAAACAGAUACGGUGCCUGAUUUAGUUGAAUCAUCUAGCGAUUCAGAAGAACAAGUGAUGGAUAGAGCUGCACCUGUAGAAAGAACUCUUAGAGAGUUAGCUGAACCAGACUUGAAUCAACAACCACUCUGCAUUCAAUAUGUAGACUUGGAGGUAAAUUUUGAAUUAAAGUCUGGUCUUAUUCAUUUAUUACCCAAGUUUCAUGGUUUUGCAGGUGAAGAUCCUCAUAAACAUCUUAAGGAGUUUCAUGUUGUGUGUUCAAGUAUGAGACCACAAGGCGUGACUGAAAAGCAGAUUAAGCUGCGUGCUUUUCCGUUCUCUGUAGAUGGGCUAGCUAAAGACUGGUUGUAUUACUUGCCUCCUGGAUCGAUUACAACGUGGAAUGAUUUGAAGAAGCAGUUCCUCGAGAAGUACUUUCCUGCUUCAAGAGCUGCCAACAUAAAAAAAGACAUUUGUGGGAUUAGACAACUUCCUGGGGAGACUUUGUAUGAGUAUUGGGAGCGAUUCAAACAAUUGUGUGCCAGCUGUCCUCAGCAUCAGAUUUCUGAUCAACUUCUUAUUCAAUAUUUUUACGAAGGACUAUCAUUGAUGGAUAGAAGUAUGAUAGAUGUUGCUAGUGGAGGCGUGUUGGUGAACAAGACUCCUACUCAAGCAAGGGAGUUGAUAUCAAAUAUGGCUGCCAACGCACAACAAUUUGGCAGCAGGCAAGAUCCCACUUCAAGGAAGGUGAAUGAGGUAAAUAUUUCUUCUGUUGAACAACGUUUAGAUAAACUCACUUCUCUUGUGGAAAAGUUUGUUGUAGGUAAUGUGCAACAGGUGAAGACUUGUGGUAUUUGUUACAAUAUGGGUCAUUCAACUGAUAUGUGUCCUACACUUCAAGAAGAACCCGUUGAACAAGCCAAUGCAGUUGGAGGAUUUCCAGGCAUGCCUCAGAGGAGGUAUGAUCCUUAUGCACAAACAUACAAUCCGGGAUGGAAAGAUCAUCCCAACUUCAGCUAUGGAGUUAGGCCGUCAGGAUUCCCACAACAGUAUCCACCAAGACAACCAGCACCUCCACAGUCAACCUCCAAGUCAGGUAUAUCUCUUGAAGAAAUUGUUAAAUCGCUUGCGACUAACACUCAACAAUUUCAGCAGGCAACUACAACAAGCAUUCAGAACUUGGAGAACCAAAUGAGUCAAUUGGCGACUACAGUGAGCCGUCUAGAGUCUCAAGUAUUAGGGAGAUUGCCUUCACAAUCUGAGGUGAAUCCAAAGCAAAACGUUAGUGCUGUCAUCCUUAGAAGUGGGAAGGAGUUGCAAGAGCCUAGUAAGAAAGUGACAGAGCAUGUAGAAGAUGAGCUUGAGAAGAAUGAAUUGAUGCCUCAAUCUCAAGAUGCACAACCCACCAGAGCGAAACCCCUACCUAUUGUGAUACCUCCUCCUUUUCCAAGCCGGUUUGCAAAAUCCAAGAAGGAGGAACAAGAUAAAGACAUCAUUGAGACAUGUCGCAAGGUUGAGGUAAAUAUCCCUUUAUUAGAUGCUAUAAAAUAAAUACCUCGAUAUGCUAAAGUCCUUAAGGAACUAUGCACCUCUAAGAGAAAAUUAAGAGGAGAUGAAAAAGUUCAUAUGGGGGAGAAUGUUUCAGCAGUUCUCCAAAAGAAACUACCUCCUAAGUGCAAGGAUCCAGGUAUGUUUACUAUCCCUUGCAAAAUUGGUAAUGUCAAAGUUGAAAAGGCUAUGUUAGAUCUAGGAGCUUCUAUUAAUGUCAUGCCUCGUUCCAUUUAUUCAUCUUUGAAUGUUGGUCCAUUAAAAGAAACUGACGUGAUAAUUCAACUAGCCGAUAUGUCUAAUGCAUAUCCUGAUGGGGUAUUAGAAGAUGUCCUAGUACAAGUUAAUGAGUUGGUUUUUCCUACUGAUUUUUAUGUACUUGAUAUGGAAGAGGAUAACUUCUCUAAUUCUGUCCCAAUUUUGCUAGGAAGACCUUUUCUUAAGACUGCUAGGACUAAAAUGGAUGUACAUAAAGGGACUCUCACUAUGGAAUUUGAUGGAGAGGUUAUAGAAUUCAAUAUGAAUGAUGCCAUGAAAUAUCCUAGUGAGGAACAUUCGGUAUUUUCUGUGGAUGUUAUUAACCCUAUACCGCAGGAAGUUUUUUUCAAGGAAAAGACGAAGACAUUUCAUGAUAGAAUGAUUUUGAGAAAGGAGUUCUCUGUUGGUCAAAAAGUUCUUCUUUUUCAUUCUAAGCUUAAACUUUUUCCAAGUAAAUUACGUUCUUGCUGGGUUGGACCUUUUAUUGUUACUAAUGUUUUUCCUCAUGGUGCAGUUGAGAUUCGGAGUCCGACCUCUGACAAAGUUUUUGAAGUUAACGGUCAUCGUUUAAAACCUUUUUAUGAAGGUUUUUUGGUGAAUAUUGUGGAGGAAAUGGCUCUCGAGGGUCCUAUUUAUGGAGAUUGAUGCAUAAAUGUGUCUAGCCAAAGACAUAAAACAAAGACGCUUUUUGGGAGGCAACCCAAAUGAUUUGUUUAUUUUGGUUUUUGUUUUAUCGUCUUUUAGUUUUGAUUCAAAUUUAAAAAAAAAAAAAAAUUUUUGUGUUUGCUUAUUUUGGUCAGAAGUAAAAUAGUUUUAAGACGUGCCCACGUGCUUAUUAAAAAAGUACUUCUGAAAUUUUUGGUGUCUCAAAGUGAUUCAUCACUAAAAAAAUAAAAAAAUUAAUAAUUUACUGUUCACAAAAUUCCUAAUUUUCCAGAUCUUGUUUUCUUCUCCAGCCGCUUGCAGCACACCAGCAGCAAACCAGCCUGCCGGAAAACGCACCACCCCGCGCGCGCAGCACCAGCAUCCCGUGUCUCGCAAGUCCAACCAGCGCACAACGCAAGCCCCAGCAGCGCGCAACGUAAGCCCCAGCUGCGCGCGCAGCGCGAACCAGCCCCAGCCCGAGCACGCAACCCAACAAGCGUCACCAGCGCAGCACCAGCAAUCCCCCAGUGCACAGCAACAGCCGCAGUACGCAGAUCCAGCAUCACCAGUUCGCAGCAUCAGUCCCAGCCCGCACGCGCAACACAACCAGCACCAACCCGCGCAGCACAACCAUCCGCGCGCAACUGAACCAACAGCCGUGUACCCGCAAGCUCCAGUCGAGCAGCAAUAGUCCGCAACCAGCCUACGACCUGCAUUCCAGCCGCGUGAAUCGAAAUCCGUGACAAGAUGGAGCAGAAUUUGGCCGCAUACUUCAAGAGUGUGGGAUUUAUCCCACCAUUCCCGCCAAGCCCAUAGACGUUAUGAGGAUCAAAGUUCACAAUUCAGGGAAGUUUUUGCCUUUAAUCUUUUAUCCUUACGCUUUAAUUUUUAUGUGAGCUUUAAUUAUCUUACAUUGGGGACAAUGUAAGUUCUUGGUGUGGGGGAGGGAUUUUUGCAUUAUUGAUGUCUGGAAUUAUUAUUUUCACUCUACUCAUCCUUAAAUGAUUUUGGAGUUAGUAUGCUUCAUAUAUUAUUAUUUUUCUUUUCUUUUCUUUCUCAUCACUCACAUUUUAUCUUUCACUUUUCAUAUUACUACAUACAUCUUUCUCACUUCUUAUCAUUUUUACCUUUUCUUCACUCAUACCUUCUUCUCAUUCUACACCACUAUUGAUGGUUGAUUCAUUUGAAGAGUGUACAUGAUUUGAUGGCAAAUUUACCAACUUUGUGAGGAUUUGAGCCUAUGAGCAACCACUUUGCUCUAAUUAUUUUUAUUAUGUGAAUAUCAAUCUUAGUUUGUUUAUUCUAGAACUUGCUUUGUUAUGCAUGUUGAAGCCACAUUACGGAAUUUUUUGCAUUAAAAUGAUAAGGGUAAACCAUUUACCAUUUUUCUAUUCUCGCAUUUUUUUUUUCUCUACCUGAAGACCUUGAUUUACUAUCUUUGUUUGAGCUUUAACCAUUACCCAUCUAAUUCUCUCCAUCUACUUAACCAUUUUUCUUCUUUUUGAGCCUCAAUUUUAAGGAGAUUUUUGGACUCAUUGUGUUGAUAUAUUUUGUUGCUUUUUCUACCUUGUAUUAAAGUUUCUCAAUUAGAUCAACAAGCAUUAUGCUUGAAUUAAAUUGUGCAAGGUUCGUUUCUUUUGUUUGAUUAAAAAAAAAAACAACAACAAAAAGAAAAAAAAAAAGAAAAAGAAAAAUCGAAAAAAAAGAAAAAAAAAAAGAGAAAAAGAAAAAUCGAAAAAAAAGAAAAAAAGAAAAAUCGAAAAAAAAGAAAAAAAAAGAAAAAAAAAAGUUUACAUUCUUGGUGACUUGAGUAGAAAUAAGCAUUUUGAUAUUAUAAAUUCAUUCAAUGAGUUCAUUCUUCUCAUUUUGAUCUCUUUUUCUCUUUCAUAGACCUUUCUUUUUCAUUUAACCUAUUUAACCCCAUUACAACCCUUUUAAGACCCUUAGAUUUUUGCAUUUUCUUCAUGUUUUGUGGAUUGAGAUGUGAUAUAUGAGCAAGCUUAUGGUAAUAGCAUUCUUUGAUUUGAUUUGAGUGAAUACAUGACACCCUAAACACUUUGAGUGCAUAGAGUGAAGUUAUUGAGACUAUUAAAUUUUGUUGCACUUGAAUUUUGAAUGGAUCUUCUUGGUGGUUGAAUGUUCUUAUUCUAUCUUAUGAAAUUCUUUGCUCUAAAAUCCUUGUCUCUCGAAUGUUGAUCGACUUAAUUUCUUGAUGUAUGCUUGCUUAAAAUUAUUUUUGGAUGAGUUGAGAUGAAAAUUGAGUGGAGAUUUGGGAUUAGUCUUGAGUUAUAUGCUUGAGGACAAGCAUCAUCUUGGUGUGGGGGAUUUUGUUAGAGUGCAAUUUAUGCACUAAUUUUGCAUUGUUUACUUCUUUUAAUAUCGAUGUUUUGCACUUAAUAAUAAUGAUUUACUUGUGUUUUACUUUUGUAGGUGCAAUUCUAUUGAUUUGUGAUAAAAUUGAGCUAUAAGAUGAUGUUUAAAGAUGAUUGUUCUCUUGGAGAAAUUAUGAGCGGCAGAAGAACUUUGUUGAUAAGGCGUGGGCGCGUGCUGUCAACUACGGACCUGCAGUUUUUAGUUUAACGUGUUUUGUAUUUUUGGUUAUUUUUGUAAUUACGAAUUUAAUAUUUCAAAUAUUAGUAUUUUAUUUUAAAUAGAAUUCUAGAGAAGAAGAGAGAGAUAGUAUUUAAGGGAGGAAUCUAUUGUGAAAAAGGCAGAUUUGGAUUGGAGAAAAAGAAAGAAACCCUAGAUCUUAAUUUUUCUCUUCUCUCUAUGAAGAACUAAACCUAUUUUUUUGGUUGAAGGAUAAUGAAGCUUUGAUUCAUCACUACUGUGAGAUCUUUCUUGUGCUUAAUUGUUUUAUUGCUUUUUGGGUAUUUGUUUAUUCUCUGAAUUAUUUUCAUGAUUAUGUUUGUUAAUUAGGUAAUUGGCCACUAUUUAAUUAUAAACUUAAUCUAUUGUCAAUUAAAGGAUUCAUCGUAUGAAGAAUUUAAUGUUUGUGACAAAUAACAUAGCAGAGAGUUGUGUUGUGAGAAUAAACAAUCUAAUUUAAAUGAAUCAUCAUAUGUGUUGAUUAGGAUUUGGGUCUCUCUGGUUUUUCAGGCUGUCAAUUGAUUAAAUCCUAUGAUCGUAUCUAGGGUUGUCUAUUGAUUAGGGAAAUAACUAACGGUUGUACCUUGGUUAUCGACUAGUUAAGGAGAGAUUGGCUAUUAGAGGGUCUCAGUAGCUAUAACCGGUCUAUUCAUAAGUAAUAAUAAUCUAUAUUUGAAUCAAUGAUCAGUAGUUGAAUCAAGCUGAGUUAAUUCCUUCAACCAGAGCUUUUUCCAAUUUGAAUCACAACUUUAAUUUACAUUCUCGUUAUUUUAAUUUGAUUUUUAUUAUUGUCAACAAUUCCCCCAUUUUACGUUUUACGUUUCAAAAGGAUUUAAAUAAUUACCGAUCUCUGUGGACACGACCCUGCUCAAUCACUAUACACAAUUUAUUUAGAGUAGGAAUUUAUUUUUGUUGGCUUCGACACCCAUCAUCUCUCUUGCUAGUGGUACUGACCUGACAGAGGCAACAACUCCAAUCCAUGGGUUUCUUUGAACUCGUCAACAGGAGCUAUCCAGAACCUGCUGGUAGUGUGGCAGCUUCCUGCUUUGAUCCACAAAGAUUGGGAUAGGGCUUAACCUGCUGGGCUUGACAACCCUCCUCUUUCUGGUCUAAACCAACAACAGUUCUAUUAGCUUUAACUUAUUCCUCUGCUGCUUUAUUCUUCAUUUCUUGGCCAGCACUAUCUCUGCUUUCUGUAGAUUUUUUUAUCCACUUCUGAGCUCCAAGUAGUUCUUCGUCCUUGGCCUUCUGCUUCUUACCUUGAGGAUGCUUAUCUACACCAACCUCCCCUUUCUGGUCUAGGCCAAUAACAGUUUUUUAGCUUUAACUGAUUCCUCUUGUACUUUAGUGUUCAUUUCUUGGCCAACACCAUCUCUGCUUUCAGUAUAUUUUUCUGACGUGGAUGAAGUGGAGUUACUGCACAUUUUCUUAUCUCUAAGUAGUCCUGAAACCUUGGCCUUAUGCUUCCUACCUUGAAGAUGCUCAUCUAGACCUCUCUUGGUAGUAGCACUGACCCGACAGAGGGCACAACUCCACUCCUUGGGUUUGUUAGAAUUCGUCGAAGGAAGCUCUCCAAAACCUGCAGGUGGUGCGGUAGCUUUCUGAUUUGAUCGACAAAGAUUGGAAUUGGGCUUAACCUGCAGGGUUUGACCUUCCUCCACUUUCUGGUCUAAACCAACAACAGUUUUAUUACCUUUAAGUGAUUCCUUUUCUACAUUAGACUUCAUUUCUUGGUCAGUACUAUCUCUGCUUUCCGUAUAUUUUUUUGAAGUGGAGUUAAUGCACAUCUUCAAAUCUCUAAGUAGUUUUUCCUUGGCCUUGUGCUUCUUACCUUGGAGAUGCAGGUCUAGAUCUCUCUCGGUAGUAGCAUUGACCUGACAGAGGGCACAACUCUACUCCUUGGGUUUGUUUGAACCCGCUGAAGGAAGCUCUCCAGUACCUGCAAGUGGAGUGGCAGCUUUCUACUUUGAUCCACAGGUAUUGGAAUCAGGCUGAGGCUGGAAAUGAUACAGAAACCAUUAUGCCUUAUAUUAGUUAUCACAUCAAUGGUAAAAAUGAAAAAAAUUCCCAGUGAGCUCCAUCAUUUGCUAUUGUAGUACAGAUGAAAGAAUUUGUUUACAAAAUCGUUAAUACAACCAGAAUCCUUGUUAAUUAACAACAUUUCCAGCACUGAACUAGGAAAAUCUUUCCUUCCAAAAAACAGAAAAAAAAGGAUUAUGUUUGAAUAGGAUUCUGAAAGACUUUCUUAAUAAUCUGGACUAGAAGAGAUGACAUUAACACUUACGAGCAUUAUAAUUCAUAAUUUGAGGAAACACCAUUUCAAUGGAGCCUCCAGCCCAACGCACAUACACAAAGACAAGCAAUAAAAUUUAAAAUAAGAAAUUACCAGGAAAAAGAAACAUCAGAAAUCAAUCUGUACAAGUUCAUAUGACACUUCAUGGUAAACAUAUGUAACCUCUCUUGGAACCUUAGCUUGCGAGAAGCCACAUUUGCUCCGGGUUUUCGUUCAAAAAAGGUUUCAGACACACAUUGAUUCCAGGCUGUGGGGGAUCAUAUGUCCUCACAGCCAAAUUUUAAAGCCACAUACAUUGGCAUUUGCACGCAUAGUCAAGAGUUGCGCAACUCUCUCGUCUACUUGAGUUGACCACGCAAACUGAACUUGCGAACUUUGACCAACAUAAAUAACCAAAUGCUAUGAUGUUUGGAACUAAAUCAAGAUAGUGAGUCCAAAUGUACUCCCCAACAAACUUGUCACCUGGGCAUCAAGACCAAGUCUUUUGGCACUAAGAGUGGACAUGGGAAUCUCUAAGCAACGACCUCCUAAUAACAUACAAAUCCAGGUUACUGAUAAUGCUCAUCGAUUUAAAGGCUUACAAGUUUACAAAGAAGUAAGUAAAGAAUUUGAUAAUAAUUGAAACAGAGUUCGAACGGAUCAAUAAUAAUAAAGAUAAAUUUAAUCUAUAAUAUCAACUAAAAAGUUGUGAUAUAUAUAUUUUUUUCUAAUUUGAUUUUUUGUGCAGCAUCAGUUCUGUGGAAAAUCGGUGCCUUUUGUAUCAAGUAAAGAUGCCCUACAGAAUGCAACUCUUCGUGGAUAUUUCAACUCUGCUCAAGCCUUUGGCUGAUUAUGCGGAGAUUCUCUUACACAUCAAGAAAAAUUUAUCGGCCGAAAUGUCUCCCAUUAUCGUUGUCGGAGCAUCUUAUGGAGGAUCUUUUGAUUGACAUCAUGUCAUCUGUCACCUUAUUUUAAAUAUUUGACUAAAAUCUGGAUUACGCCUCAAUUAUUAUGAUACAAUUUUAUUUUAUAUUCCUACUAACAGAUACUCUUUGAGAGUUACUCGUGUGGGUUUGUUAUUGUUAUCAUCAGUGCUCGCUGCAUGGUUUCGCUUGAAGUAUCCUCAUAUUGCUUUAGGAGCAGUUGCCUCUUCAGCCCCAAUUCUCUACUUUGAUAAUAUCACACCAUCGAACGCAUAUUAUGAUCUUGUCAGCAAGGAUUUUAGGGUAAGAAAAUAAUAUUAAUUAAUUAAAAUUCUAUAUAUGUAUGAUUAUAUUUUCUUGUUAAAAUUUGACUAUUGAAUUUUGAAUACUAAUGAUGCAGGAAGCUAGUGAGAGUUGCUACAAGACCAUCAAACAGUCCUGGGCUGAAAUCGAUGAAGCCGCUGCUGGAAAAAAAUGGACUUACUGUUCUCUCUUAAAAGUUCAAAACCUGCAAGUAAUUGAAUCAUAUUACUUUUAUAACUGCCGAUAUAUAUCCAUCUGAUUUUCCUUUAAUUACAGUGCAAUGUUAUUGUAGUAUCAUUACAUAACUGUCUAUAUAUAUCCAAUUAAUGAUCUGUCAUCCUCAAGGUAUAUUUACAUUUCAGUUAAUGUGUAAUAUACGUACAUAGUAAAAUCUGGCAUUUUAUUUAAUAAGUUGCUUAUAAAAAACAAUCUCAUACUUAUUUUAAGAGUUAUUGUCAAAAUGGAGAAAAUAUGAAUUAAACUUUUAACAAAUUUAUCAAACAUCAUUUUUAUCAAAACUUAUAAAAUAAACUACUUAUAGUAUUUCAACCAUAAUUCCAAAUAGGACAUUAGGCUUUGUGCAGAAUAAAGUUAGGCAUUGAAUAUUUGUACACGUAUAAACUAAAUAUCUAGAUUCUAGACUGAAGAAACAACUUGACUUUCAUUCUUUGUUUUCCACAGCAUAUGUCAAGACGUAAGUUCCAAAUAAUUGCUGACUAGGGGAAGCAGUCUUUAAAGUCAAGGUGAUUAGAUUAGCAUGUUUCGGCAUUACGUAUCGGAGGGGUUCCCUGCCCUCAAUGUAAAAAGAUGCCUUAAAAUUAAAUAUUUAAAUAAUAUGGUUGAUGGUUGUCGAAGCCAACAAAAAUAAAUUCCUACUCUAAAUAAAUUGUGUAUAGUGAUUGAGCAGGGUCGUGUCCACAGAGAUCGGUAAUUAUUUAAAUCCUUUUGAAACGUAAAACGUAAAAUGGGGGAAUUGUUGACAAUAAUAAAAAUCAAAUUAAAAUAACAAGAAUGUAAAUUAAAGUUGCAAUUCAAAUUAGAGAAAGCUCUGGUUGAAGGAAUUAACUCAGCUUGAUUCGACUACUGAUCAUUGAUUCAAAUAUAGAUUAUUAUUACUUAUGAAUAGACCAGUUAUAGCUACUGAGAUCCUCUAAUAGCCAAUCUCUCAUUAACUAGUCGAUAACCAAGGUACGACCGUUGGUUAUUUCCCUAAUCAAUAGACAACCCUAGAUACGAUCGUAGGAUUUAAUCAAUUGACAGCCUGAAAAACCAGAGAGACCCAAAUCCUAAUCAACACAUACGAUGAUUCAUUUAAAUUAGAUUGUUUAUUCUCACAACACAACUCUCUGCUAUGUUAUUUGUCACAAACAUUAAAUUCUUCAUACGAUGAAUCCUUUAAUUGACAAUAGAUUAAGUUGAUAAAUAAAUAGUGGCCAAUUACCUAAUUAACAAACAUAAUCAUGAAAAUAAUUCAGAGAAUAAACAAAUACCCAAAAAGUAAUAAAACAAUUAAAGCAUAAGAAAGAUCUCACAGUAGUGAUGAAUCAAAGCUUCAUUAUCCUUCAACCAGAAAAAUAGGUUUAGUUCUUCAUAGAGAGAAGAGAAAAGUUUAGAUCUAGGGUUUCUUUGUUUUUCUCCAAUCCCCCUUUUUCACAAUAGAUUCCUCUCUUAAAUACUCUCUCUCUCUUCUCCUCUAGAAUUCUAUUUAAAAUAAAAUACUAAUAUCUGAAAUAUUAAAUUCGUAAUUAUAAAAAUAACCAAAAAUACAAAACACGUUAAACUAAAAACUGCAGGUUCGUAGUUGACAGCACGCGCCCACGCCUUAUCAACAAAGUUCUUCUGACGCUCAUAAUUUCUCCAAGAAAACAAUCACCCUUAAAUAUCAUCUUGUAACUCAAUUUUAUCACCAAUCAAUAUAAUUGCACCUACAAAAGUAAAACACAAGUAAAUCAUUAUUAUUAAGUGCAAAACAUCGAUAUUAAGGGAAGUAAACAAUACAAAACUAGUGCAUAAAUUGCACUCUAACAAUGGCAUUCAUUAAAUUUAAAAAUAUGAAAAAUAUAUAAAAUACAUAAAUAAUAUAUAAAAAAAAAACUUUUUUUAAAGUGCGCAGAGGUUUGAACGGCAACUAUAGGAUCGUAUCACAUUGAAUUCGUGUACUUAGGACGGGGCACGGAAGAGAGAGCAUUUUGGUUUAUAUUUUACUCAUAUACACGAGUAAUUAUGUACAAACCUUUCAUGCCUUUGCUAUCUUUUUCAUGUGGGACAAAUAUAUUUUCCUUUACUUUUCUAAUUCCAUGAAUUUACUUUGAGUAACAAUUUCUCAUUUAUCUAAGGGUUAUUUUGAUUAUAUAAAUAAAAUCAUUCUGAAGUAUUUAUGGAGGAACAUCUGAAACAACAGAUAAGUCUCACUCCAAAUCACGCAUCAAAUAGUAACUUGUGCUAUAUUUCCAACACUUUUUGCUUCUUUUCCUUGUUUGAUUGCAUGAAAAAAAUUGAGUGCAAUGAAACUUUUAUCUUCUUUUGUCUUUGAUGUUUUGGUGUAAAAAAAAUAAAAUUAAGUGGGAUAUUAGGUAGCCCAUGAAUUUCCAUAUAGUUUGCAUGUUGCAAAAGGAGUUUUGUAACUAUUUUAAAAAAUAAAGAGAUUAUUUUUAUUAUUUUGUCAAAUCACAGAAGUCUACACAUUCUUUUCUCCACCAGCUUAUUUAUAAUAAUACACCUACAAGUUUUUUUUAUACUUAAAUUUAUACAAAGAUAUGAUUAGUCUUGUUUAUUUUUCUAUUUGAGUCAUAUUUUACAACAACAAUCCUUCGAGCUUUUUUUUUCUUUAUUAUUUUGGGUAAUAUUUAAUAUCUUAAUAGCGCUAUUAAUUAUUUCUAAUAUUGUCCAUAUUAUCUCAUGUUUCUGCAAAGUUGUUCAAAUAGAUCUACACCUCACAAAUACAGGCCGAUAAGGUUAUAUCUCCAUGAUUGAAUCCAUCCAGAGAAAGACAUUGACUCACACUAUUUGAAAACGCGUAUUGGAAGUUAACACUGGGAGGUUGCAAAACAAUUAAUUCUUAUAUAAAUGCUUUGCUGAGAAUCAAACAGCUCAAUCAACCGAAAACCAUUAUAAACAUGGCAGCAGCAUCCACUGUUUCGAGAUUGGUGGUCAUUUUAAUUUUAAUAAAUGUUGGUGCUAUAAGUGAUACGACAAUAUCUGUAACGGCAUCAGCUGCAGGAUUAUUGUCGUCACCCAUACUGUUAGAAAGGGAAGCUUUACUUGCUACCGGCUGGUGGGUCAACAAUUGGGCGACGUCGGGCAACUAAACGUCCGAUCAUUGUAAGUGGACUGGCGUCAGUUGCAAUUCAGCGGGAAGCGUAAUCGGGGUCAGCUUACUCUGGUAUGAAAAUGAUAACAUCAACGGAGAGCUCGGUCGUUUCAAAUUCUCUUGCUUUCCCAAUCUCAGAAGUUUCAAAAUUCGUUCAAAUUAUCUUCUCUCUGGGAGCAUUCCAUCUGAAAUUACUGCUCUUUCAACAAUCCGAACUCUUGAACUGACCUCCAACGGCCUUACCGGUAAGCUGUGAAACUUCACCAUAUAUAUAUAUAUGUAUGUAUAAAAUCGCGCUGCUGCUUAAAGCUGGCGUCUGUUUUUACAACACUGAAGAAGUGUGAGUCGUCCGCACUUGAGCUUGACUCUCCCUCUAUGUAAUUUUUUUUAAAGAAGAUAGUGAAUACUGAUCUCGUUUUUCAUAAAUCACAUGCACAACAGGAAUUAUCCCUUUAGAGAUGGGGCGAUUAAGGAAUCUCGUCCACCUGGAUCUAUCUGAUAAUCACCUCAUGGGACAUAUCCCUCCAACUCUCGGUCGUCUAAGCAAAUUGAAAAUUUUGAACUUGUCUUUUAACUCCCUUGUCGGUAAUAUCCCAUCCAAUGUAGGUCAUCUAACCCAGCUAACUACUUUGGCUAUUGCCUCAAACCGAAUGAAUGGUUCCAUCCCAUUAGGAAUCGGGAAUUUGAAGGUUCUUCAAGUUCUUGACCUGUCCAGAAAUGAAAUUGGAGGUUCAAUUCCUUCAACACUUGGCCAUUUAAAGUGGUUGAGAAGUGUAGACUUGUCCCAAAACAAAUUUGUUGGCCCAAUCCCUUCGUCUCUGGGUCAUUUGACACAGCUAAUUACUUUGAAUAUGUACAACAACAAACUUGAUGGCCCAAUUCCUCCAGAACUCAUGAAUUGCUCAAAGCUGAGGAUAUUAAAAUUGGGAAAUAUUAUCUUGAUCUAAGCGGUAACUUCAUUAAUGGUAAAAUACCUUCCCAACUUGGAGAAUUUCCACGCAUAGACACCGUGGACCUUUCCAUGAAUAACCUUUCCGGUGGAAUCCCUGUAUUUGUCAGAAAAGUGCCACACUUAGAUGUGUCAGGCAAUAAAUUCGGAGGAGAAAUCCCAACUACUUUGGCAAAUGCGCCACCGCCACAUCACAAAACGAUUGCCACUCGCUUGGUUGCAAUUAUUCUUGCUAUGGUCGCAUUCCUUGCCUUGAUAUUUGGAAUCUUGAUUAUCCAUAGACGAAGGGAUAAGGAAGUUGAACCAACUGGGACAGGAGAAAUUACCAAGUGCGCUGAUGAGUUUGUAAUUUGGAAUUACGAUGGUAGAAUUACAUUUCAAGACAUGAUUGAAGCCACUGAGGAUUUCGAUAUCAAAUACUGCAUUGGAACCGGAGGCUACAGCAGCGUUUACAGAGCACGGCUGCCCAGUGGAAAAGUGGUUGCUUUGAAGAAGCUUCACCGUUCAAAAACUGAGGAGUUAGCUUCCCUCGAGAGUUUCCGGAAUGAGGCUCGUCUACUGUCCCAAAUACGGCAUCGAAAUAUCGUAAAGCUUUACGGCUUUUGUUUGCACAAGACAUGCAUGUUCUUAAUCUAUGAGUACAUGGAAAUGGGAAGCUUGUUCUGUGUUCUACGCACAGAUGAGGAAGCUGUUGGGUUGGAUUGGACUAAAAGGGUGAACAUUGUGAAGGGUAUGGCUCAUGCUUUGUCAUACUUGCAUCAUCACUGCACACCACCAAUUGUUCACCGGGACAUAUCAAGCAACAACAUUCUACUCAACUCAGAAUUAGAAGCAUUUGUUGCGGACUUUGGCAUUGCUAGAUUGUUAAAUUUUGACUCAUCCAACCGAACUCUUUUAGCUGGCACUUUUGGAUAUAUUGCUCCAGGUCAUCCUCUAGCUAUUCCUCUUAUGCAUCUUUAAUUAUCCUCUUAAUUAAUUUUAUAUAUACUCUGCCAAAUAGUUUUUAAGCAGCUUUAUUUAGGUCACUACUUGGUUCGAAUUUUGAAAAUGCUAAGGGGCUAAAAAUAAAUUUAAACUUUGCCUACCCCUUUUCCUUUUAAAACACACACACUGAACAUAAGUUAAAACAUAAGUUUCUUUGUCAUAACUUGCUGCGGAAGCUAAAAAACAUGAACAAAUUGUUCUUGUUAUUAUUUAUGGAAACGUUACUAAUGAAGGCCUUUGUUUUCCUAUAGAACUUGCCUACACCGUGGUUGUGACAGAGAAAUGUGAUGUUUAUAGCUUUGGAGUGGUGGCACUAGAAGUACUAGUGGGAAGGCAUCCAGAAGCGCUCCUCUCAUCGUCAUCUUCAUCAUUGGAUAAAAAUAUAAAGCUGAUUGAUUUGUUGGACCCACGCCUCCCGGCUCCGGGGGAUCAAAUGAUUACGCAGGAUAUCAUUCUUGUUUCAAUAGUAGCAUUUUCAUGCUUACGUUCUCAACCAAAGUCUCGACCUACAAUGCAACUCGUGUCCAACGAAUUUAUCGCUCGCAAUAUGACACCAAUGCAGAAACCUUUUCAUGAAAUUUCAAUUUUGGAGCUUAGAAACCAAGAAAUGUAUUUGGUUGAAUAAUGUGAUUUUUCCAAUAAAGGAGACUGUUAAUUGGUUGUGAAAUUAUUAGGUAGUAGCAAUGUAGCAAAUAUUAUGUGUUCGACGAAUUGUCUGCCUUAGUAUUUUUUAAUUCCAUUCACACUACGACAUUAAUCUCUUUUGUAAAGCUUGUACUUUCGCAGUUCACUCUGAUAAAAUAAGGUUUGUCUAAUUGUCUCCAUCUCAAUGAUCUGAAUUAACCAGCAUAUUAAGGAAUUUAAGGUUGUGUCUCUACAAGUUAGAAAGGGUAAAUUGUCAUUCUAAUUAUUAGUUUAUUUUACAAAUUAUAUAUAAAAAUUUCAUUCAGAACGAAGUUCGUGAUGUCGCGUUAUUUAAUAUAUUAGUUUUUUCAGUCCUUUGUAAAUAUUCACACAAACAUAUACAAUAAAUUUUUAAUUUAGCCGAUCCGAUCAAACAUCCUGGACCCACCGCUGAUGUCAUUCGAAGGUGAGGAAGCUUCUGCAGAAGUUGUGGUUAGUGAUAUCCUUGCCAGCACAAGAUAAUUAAUUACUGGGAAAGAAAUAAUAAAAAUUUUUAUUAAUUACGAAACUGAUAACUAUAUAUUAGACACACUAUAAUUUUAUGAAAACUGAAGAUCCAUACUAAUAUAAAACUAAAACCAACAUUAAUUAAAUUAUACGAUAACAACAAAUCCAGGAUAUAUUAACAAACACGUCGAUUUUGAAGCUGAAUUUAUAAUCUAAUCUUAACUCUAUUUCUUCUGUAUUUACAUAAUCAUCCUGCUAAUUAAGGAUUUACAACUUUGCCAUGAAAGGUCGGUGGCUUCCAUGCCUUUUUCUUCUUCUCGUCACAAAUUUUGCUUUUGCUUCCACUUCACCAUUAAAGAACAUCCCAAAGCUUGGUGCUGUUCGUGGAAGGACUAUUUUUUAAAACCCUAGCAAAAAAAUCCACAAAGUUACUAUUAUGAUCUCGAAACUUACUAUUAUUAUCAAACACUUGAUCACUUUAACUAUAAUCCACAAAGUUAUUUAACUUUUCCUCAUAGAUAUGCGUUGAACUUCAAGCAUUGGGGCGGUGGCAGAGCCAUGGCGGCGCCGAUAUUGGCAUAUCUUGGUGAAGAGAGUAGUCUUGAUAUGAUGACCUUGGUGACAUUGGAUGGCUUACUAAUAAUGCUCAUCGAUUUAAAGCCUUACAAGUUUACAUAGAGGUAAGUAAAGAAUAUGUUAUCAGGCUAGCUUGAUAAUAAUUGAAAUAGAGUUCACAUACGAAAUAAUAAUAAUAAAGACAAAUCUUAAUCAGAAUAUUCUACAAUAUGAACUGAAAAGUUGUGAUGGAUUUUUUUUUAAUUCAAUUUUUUAUGCAGUAUCGGUUCUAUGGAAAAUCAGUACCUUUUGUAUCAAGCAAAGAUGCCCUAAAGAAUGCAAUUCUUCGUGGAUAUUUCAACUCUGCUCAAGCUUUGGCUGAUUAUGCAGAGAUUCUCUUACACAUCCAGAAAAAUUUAUCGGACGAAAUGUCUCCCAUUAUGGUCGUUGGAGCAUCUUAUGGAGGAAGUAAAUUAUAAUAUUAUUAACUUACUUACAUCUUUUGAUUAAUGUCGUGUCAUCUGUCACAUCAUUUUACUCAUUUAGAUCACGAUUGAUCGAUCAAGAUAUUGACUACGGCAAUAUUACUAUGAUACAAAUUUAUUUAAUAUUGCAACUAACGAUACUCUUGGCGAUCGUAAAAUCAAGAAAUAAUAAAUAUGUUCAAGAUAAUUAUGUAUUUAAAAAUAAUCUUCUCAAUUCAUCCUAUUUUAUCAGAUCUGGGAUGUGAUAUGGUUUCGAGAGUUACUCGUUUGUUGGUUUGUUAUCAACAAUGCUUGCUGCAUGGUUUCGCUUGAAGUAUCUUCACAUUGCUUUGGGAGCAGUUGCCUCAUCCGCCCCAAUUCUCUACUUUGAUAAUAUCACACCGUCAAACGCAUAUUAUGAUCUUGUCACCAAGGACUUUCGGGUAAGAAAUAAAUUAGUUAAUUAAAAUUUUAUAUAAGCAUGAUUAUGUUUUCUUGUUAAAAUUUAGCCAUUGAAUUUUGAAAAUUAAUGAUGCAGGAAGCCAGCGAGAGCUGCUACAAGACCAUCAAACAGUCCUAGGCUGAAAUCGAUAAAGUCGCUGCUGGAAAAAAUGGACUUGCUUUUCUCUCUAUAAAGUUCAAAACCUGCAAGUAAUUAAUCAUAUUACUUUACAUAACUGCUUAUAUUGUAUAUCCAUCCGAUUUUCCCUUAAUUACAAUUAAUGCAAUGUUAUUUUAGCAUCGUUAUCGAAUGUACUAUGUCUAAUUAAUUAUAUGUCAUCCUCAGCGUUUAUAUACAUUUCGAUUAACGUGUAAUAUACAAAGUAAAAAUCUGGAUUUGGGCUUAUUCACGGCCUUUGUGUUACCAUAUAUAGUAUACUGGUGCUUCGAUUCAGACGUCCAUAUUUUGCAGAAUCUAAAUUUAAACUACAAAACCACGCACAACUCUGAUAAUCAAAUGAGGCCAAAUUUGAACGUUUGCAUUUGAGAAUGUCAAUAGCUUCAUACUUAUAGAGUUUAUUGUAAUCUAACUAAAUAUAACAACAUUUUUAAGACAGUAUGUUGAAAGAUCUUUUAUAAAGUUAAUGACCUUGUGGCACUUAAUUCUAUGUUAUUGUUUAUUUGAUUACAGGCCUCUGAAGGAUGUUUCAGAAUUGAAAGAUUAUUUAGAGUAUAUGUAUACGGGUGCAGCUCAGUAUGGUGAUCCUCAGGAAAGCCCAGUGAACAAAGCCUGCAAUGGCAUUGAUGGAGCUUUAGAAGGCACAGAUACCGGAUCUUCUCAGGAAUUGUUGAUUUAAGAGGGGAGGAUUCUUGCCAUGAUGUUGAUGAAUUCUUCUCCGAUGCAACAUUGGACUCCAGCUGGGGCUGACAGGUAUGCAAUUACAAGUGACAUGAUUUCAUUGGAUAGUUCUAUUGAGACGUUAAAUAAACAACAUGUGACAAUGAGAACAAUACCUAUUUUAUGUACAUCUCUUAAUUUUAUUUAUGAGACUUAAUAUUUAUGAAUGAUUAAAAAUAGUUUUCUUCUUUAUCUUAUUUUAUUAUUAUUAUUUUUUAUUAUUGGGGGGUUUCUCAUGCAGACAUGCAGUGAAAUGGUCUCACCAAUUGGAAUUGGCAAAAACGACACAAUGUUUCAAGCAGACCCAUUUAAUCUGACAGAAUAUAUGGAUUCAUGCAAUAAGUAUUAUGGAGUGGUUCCAAGACCACAUUGGAUUACAACUUCUUAAAGUGGUAAUGUAAGUGUCGAUUAAUCCCCAAAUUAAUUCUUCUAAUAUUUUAAGGUUUCUCAUUUUCUGUUUUAAUUAUAAAGUUCACCUCAAUUUUUGUUUGAUUUCUAUUUCUUUUUAAUUUGCAGGAUAUAAGAGUGGUUUUAAAGAGAUUUGGUAGCAACAUUAUUUUCUCUAAUGGCCCUCGUGAUCCCUAUAGUAGCGAAGGGUAAUUAAGCUUAAGAAUUGUGUACACUCUUUUCUAUCGAAGUUACCUGUUUAAUUAUAUACCUUUUUCUGUUUCUUCGUUUUUUUUUUGGGGGGGGGGAGAGGAUUAUAGGAUUCUGGAAGAUAUAUCAGACAGUAUAAUAGUAGUGACAACAAGAAACGGUAUUUAAAAUUUUCUAUAAAAUAAAAAAUUAGUGUUCAAUUAUUAACUAAAUUAUUGGAUAACAUAAUUAAUAGUGUGUAAAUUGGAGUAGGUUCCCAUUGCUUAGACACACAGCCAGCAACAGAAGAUGACCCAGUAUGGUUAGUAGUGCAGCGAAAGAUUGAAGUGGACAUGGUUCAUGAUUGGAUCCUCAAAUAUUUUGCAGAUUUGGUUCAAAAUCAGAGCAUAAGAUUAAAUUGUGACUACAAAAUUAGUCUUUUGUUUUUCUUCCUCUCCUCUAUCUUUCUAAUAUUUAUGGAGUAAAGAUAAAUAAUAAUAGUGCACCUAGCUAGUUUGGAUUUGGUUGUCAUUUUCAUAAUUUUUACUCUGAGUUGUCUAAAUGUGUAGAACAGGUGUGCAAUAUUACUUAAUGUAAAGCACUUAAGGCUCAAUCUUUAUGUAAUAAUCAUAUGGUGAAUAUCAAUUCAUAUACAAUCAGAUUGGGUUAACCAUUUUCUCCCUUUGAUUUAAGAGUUACCGUAUAGGUACUUGAAGCUGGAGAGAGUCAAAGAUUUGCCCUCCACACACACACACAUAUGGAAAUGUUUUAAUCUGGAAUUUUAAAGUGCAAGAAUAUCUUGGAAAACACAUAAACCAUGCGGUUUAAGCCUUUAAAACCCUGUGGUUUUAAAGUUUUUCUGAACGUUUCCCGCACUUUUAGAUCCCUUAUAUGCCUCAAAAGUUAGGUGUUUAUGCUUAUAUGCUCCGUUUAUUAGUAGCCAAGCUUACGAGUAUAUUACUUUAGGCGAACCUCUCCCUAUUCUUCUCCAUAAUGGCUAUUUCUCUUAAUUAUUUGACAAUCUAAUGCAAUCCCAAACGUGACUUAGCAUCAAGUUUAGGAUGGCAGUGGCUGAUAAAAUAAGUUAUUUUUGUUGUGAGGAUGAAAUAAGUUGAUGAUUAAAAAAGUAUCUUGCUCGUGUUUGGUAAAUUUGAUUAUGAAUGAGUUGUAUAUUAUUUAAUCACUAAAAUAGACAUAAGUUUAAACAGUGUUUUAUUUAUAUAUUAGAGCUUAUAGAAAAGAAAGAUAUAAUUAUUCUUUUCUUAAAAUAUUAAGAUUAUUAUAGGAACAUUUGAAAAGAUCUAGCAACUUAUUUAAGAAGUUGCUUAUCAAAAUAAUCUCCUGCCUGUUUUUAGAAGUUGCAGUCAAAAUUGAGAAAAUUACGAACGAAGCAACUUUUAACAAAGCCAUCAAACCUCAUUUUUAUCUAAACUUAUAAAAUAAACUGCUUAUAGCAUUUCAAUCACAAUCUUGGGUCAUUAGUCUUUAUGUAGAAUCAGAUUAGACAUUGAAUAUUUCUAAUUUUCUACACAUAUAAAUUAAAAUAUGUAGACUAGAAAAACCCCUUGACUUCGUAAGUCCACCUCAUUCUUUAAUUUCCACAGCACAUGUCAAGCCGUUUUUUCCAAAUAAUUGCUGACUAGGAGAAGUCUUAUAGUCAAGGUGAUUGGAUGAGCGUGUUAUGGAAUUACGUAUCGUAGGGGUUCCCUGCCCUCAACUAAAAAAGUUGCCUUAAAAAUUAAAUAUUAAAUAAUAUGGUGUGUGUAUAUAUAUAUAUAUAUAUAUAUAUAUAUAUAUAUAUAUACCAGAAGGAAAUAGGAUCGAAGGAUGGGUGUGCUUUCGUUGGAACUCAAAAUUAAAAACUCAAAUUAAACAAUGGAUUGAAAUGGAUCGGCUUUGUCCAAAUUUUAAAAUAAAUUACCAGCUUUAAAUGAAGUAGAUUUGCUUUGGAACGCGGUUGGUCAAAUUUUAUAGUAUUUAAAGUACGUGGCGUUGUUAGACCAGAUCGAUCGCAGAAGUUAAUCUGCCUUUGGACCCAGAUCUGACUUAGACCAGAUCAAUAGUCCGCACGUUCGGGUUUCCAGCCUAUAUACUUCAAUAUAUUUACCAGAUAUUUGUUAGAUUCUUUAUCAAGCCUAGCAACACAUACAUCUAAGGCUUGGGUACAUACACAGUACUAGAUCCGGAUCCCGGAAAUAGUGCUCUGAAGAAGGAAGGAGAAAGAAAGAUACAACUGAGGAUUGAGAUCUGGUCUCGUUGCCUCAGAGGAAUGUAUAAUUUAUAUGGCAGAUCUGAUACAGAUCAGUCUGCAAGCAUGCUUUAAAAGGAAAUGCUUUAAAGUAAAUUACUGAAAUGUAAAUUACAUUGAACUUUAAAAAUUUAAAGAACUGAACUUUAAACAUACAUGUUGCUUUGAUGCUUUGGUGAUUGAUACAAUUUUAGGGAUGUGUCUUUGAAAGAAAGAUUGAAAGACGGGAAGAUUACAAGACAGGAAACCUCCUUGAUGUCUUGAGCAUUUACAAGACAGGAUAGUUUUCCCGAGUGUCUUGAUCCAGACUUCCCUUAGAGAGAGAGAGAUUUUUAGAGAGAAUGAGGAGAAGAAGAGAGAGAAGUGAAAAACCAAAAAUGAAAAACCUGAGGAGUCUAAGUCUUCCUCUUGGUUUAUAUACAAAAUCUUUAAACUGUUCACUGUAGCGGAGUUUUGAGUGCACAGUAAUCUUUGGAAAUUGGCACUGUUCACUGUAGCGGAGCUUUGAGUGCACAGUAAUAUUUGGAAAUUGGUACUGUUCUUUGCAACAUAUGUCGAGCAGGAAUUACUGCAGCUGUUAUGCCGAGCAGGAAUUACUGUAGCUGUUAUGCCGAGCAGGAAUUACUGUAGCUGAUAAACAGAGCAGGAAUUACUGUAUGCAGAGCAGAGAACUUUGGAUGGUAACUUUGAAGAUUUUGUAACACGGGUGAAGAGACAUGUGCGCUCUCACUUGUGUCCAAGGGACCACUCGAAAAUGUAAAAUUAUCAAGAAAUUACUUUUUUUUUUUUUUUAAACAGUUACAUGAACUAUUUACAAUGCUUUACAGGAGGGAAAAUUCCGAAACAAUCGUCUUCAUUUUCGUCUCCGAGGGAGAUGGUUGGCUCAUCUUCUUCGUCUUCAUCUUCAGAGGAGUCAGCCACUGAUGACUUUGACCGGGAGGCGAGGAGCUGUUCCAUGGCUUUGAAGUACUCUUCUUCUUUCUUGGCACUUGCCAGAAGAGAUUGGGCUUUGGAUUUUUGGGUAAGGAAGGUUUGCUGGGCUUUGGAGUCUUUAAUGGUUGGCUAUAGAUGGCCUCUAGUGGAGAGCCAUUUUUCAAUAUCAUUAGUAGUCAAUUUGGUUCUUUCAUCAAAUUUUGACCACCAUUUGACUUUGAAAGUUCUUUGAAGGAUGAAUUGGGCAUCUUGAUUGUGGUACCGAAGGCUCCACAUCCAAACCCAAGGGAGAAAGAAGUUUGUACAGAAACAGAGAAAAGGAGGAAAUCUUUUUUCAGACUCAGUAGGUUUGUAAUGGGCUUUAAAAAGAUUUAGACAUUGUAUGGCGUUUGGGGUAAGGAUAUCUGGGCUUGGCCCAAAAUGAUUCCACCAAUGAUGAAACCAAUUUGGUAGGCUUUGGACGGUUAUUUUUGAAUUAAAGAAAAAUAACCAAGAAUGGGAUUUUUUAGGAUUUUGAAUAAAAAAUGUGUUGUACCAGGCUUGUUGGUAAUCCUAGUAGGAAAAAGUCCGACAAUGUGGUAAACGGGUCUCAAAAUUUAAAGGAAAGGUUUUAUAAUUGUGGAGUAGGUCACCCCACUGAUUUGGGCUCAAGACUUUAAGGAUUGUGGCCGUGGAAUAGGCCGGCUCAGAAUGAGUAUCACUGAGAAAGAAAUGUUUGAAUUUGACUGACUCAGUAAUUUCUAAAAUGCUUUGAUAAUAAGACUGGGGUUUUGUUAAAUCCCAUGGUUUAAAAAACCAGCCUUUGGGAAAAAACUUUGAAAUACUUUGAAAAGGAUCAGUAUGGUAAAAUCCAUCUUCCAUAGAAAGAAUGUUUUGAAAAUGGGCUUUAUCAAACCAAUCGGAGGUUUUCUUUGAAGGUGUUGGCUGAGAAAGCACAAUUUGGGAGGAUGAGCUUUCACAGGACACAACAACAUUUUGGGAAGAAGGCUUUGAAAUUUCUUUGGAAAUGGGUUUUUCUUUGCCUUCUACUUUAGGAGAAGAUUGGCUUUGAGAAAGAUUUUGUAAGGCGAGCAUAAGCUCAGGGGAUUUUGUAAUGGAACUCAUCCAUUGCUUUACUUGGUCAUCAGAAGAAAUAGAUUUGUAUUGGGCUUCAUGUUCCUCGACCAAUUCAAUCCAGGAUUUAAUGGGCAAGGCAGAAGAAAGAAGCUUUUCUUUAGAGGGGGUUGUUUGAGGUUCUUUAGAAGGUUCUUGAGAUUCAGUGUCUUUAAGAACUGCUUUACCUUUGUCCUUUCUUUUUGGCGCCAUUAUCUGUUUUGAAGAAAUUCUCUGGUUAGAAAAUCAGGAAUAGAAUUUUUGUCACCUUUAAUAAACUCAAUAUCAAAAUCAAAAACACUUAAAAUAGCUUGCCAACGUGCAAAAAUCUGUUUGGAUGCAAUGUUUUGAACAUCUUUUUCUAAAACAUGUUUUGCAGCUUUGCAAUCAAUUCUAAGUAAAAAUUUUUGAUUUAAUAAAUCGCUUUGAAAUUUAGAUAUGCAUAAAACAAUGGAAAGAAUUUCUUUUUUGAUAGUAGAAUAUUUUUUCUGGCAAUCAUUCCAAUGAGCAGAAACAUAUUGUACUAUCUGUUCUUUAUCAUUUUCCUUUUGUUUUAAAAUACCUCCAUAACCUAUAUCAGAUGCAUCAGUCUCAACAAUUUUAGGUAAUGCAGGAUUUGCAAGAAAUAAACAUGGGAUGUUUUUUACAGAUUGCUUUAUUAAUCUAACAACUUUAGUAUGUUCAUCUGACCAUGCAAUAUGAUUCUUUUUCAACCUAUCAUGCAAGGGUUUAGACAUCCUAUUGAUGUUAGGGCAGAAAUCGAGAACAUAAUUUAAACUACCAAGAAAUCUUUGUAAUUGGGUUUUGUCAAGAAUUUUGUCUGGGAAUUUAUCCGCAAACAAAAGAGAUCUUUCAAUUGGAGUAAUGGUUCCUUUAGAAAUAUGGUGACCAAGGAACCUGACUUUUGUGUGAAAUAACGAAAUUUUUGAACUAGAGAGGGCCAACCCAGCCUUUCUAGUAGCAAGAUAAAAAGUCUUUAAAUGUUUGAAAUGUUGAUCAAUAGUCUGAGAAAAAAUCAACACGUCAUCAAUAUAAACAAUGCAAAACUCAGAAUAAGGAUUGUAAAUGUCAUUCAUGAUUCUUUGAAAUUCUGAGGGUGCAUUUUUCAAACCAAAAGGCAUUACUGUCCACUCGUACUGACCAAAGGGAACAGUAAAAGCUGUUUUAUAACGGUCUUUAGGGUGAAUCUGAAUUUGCCAAAAACCAGACUUCAUAUCAAAUUUUGAAAAAAUGAAAGCUGAGCAGAGUUUUUGGAGCAAAUCUUUUUUGUUAGGUAUGGGAUACCUAAUCCACUUUAAAGCUUUAUUCAAAGGUUUGUAAUUUAUCACAAGUCUUGGAAUACCUCUUUCAAUUUCAGAGUUUUUAUUAACAUAGAAAGCGGCACAAGACCAUGGUGAUCUGGACUUUACAAUAAGACAUUUGGUUUCUAAAUCUUUUAUUUCAUUUUUACAAUGUUGUUCCAAUUCCAUAUUCAUUUGGAUUGGACGAGCUUUAGUGGGUAUUUUCUUUUCAUCAAAAGAAUUCUCAUAAGGCAGAUCUACCAGGUGUUGUUUUCUAUUCCAAAAAGCAGAAGGUAGAUCAGCACAAAUUUCUUUUUCAAUAAGGGCUUUAAAAUCAGAAAUUUUACUUUGUAUAAAAUCAUUUUGCAAUUGACUCUCAAUUCUUUGAAAACUUAAUUCCUUUUGUAAACAAAAUAAAUCAUCUUGUUUAGAAUUAAGGAUGGCAUUGACUUUGUUUUGAUAAACAGAACAAGCUUUGACAAUAUUAAGAUUCCUUGUCUUUGGUUUUUCAAUAAAUGAGAAAAUAAGAUCUUUGGAUUUUGCUCUGAAAUAAAUACCAUCAUAAUUGAUAGCAUAAGGGGUUAUAAGAUUUAUAAAAGGGGUUAUAAGAUUUAUAAAAGGGGUUCCUAAAAUGAUAGCAUGGUGUAUAUCAUUUGUAAGAACAAAAGAGGUUUUGAAAUCAAUUCCAUCGUUAAAAAUAGAAGCUUCAACUUUGGAAUUUACUUUUAGUUUUGAAUUAUUAGCAGCAGAAAGUCUUUCAUUUGUCUUUUCAUGAAAUCUCUUUGGAACAAUGUCCUCUCUAAUACAAUUUAAAUCAGCACCAGUGUCAAAAAGGGCAAUGGCGUCCAUUGCAAAAUCUUUGGAAAAGAUUAAAGUAAUUUUUACCAAAUAUUUUCUGGUGGUGAUUUGCUUUAAAACAAACAAAAAAUCUUUUGGAACAGACUCAAUGUUUUCAACUUUGUCAUCAUCAUCAGGAGUUGACUCAUUAUCUGAGUUAUCCUGUAAUUGUUUUUGUAAAAGAAGUUGGAUAGUAAUAGAAUCACUUUUUUGUUUUUCUUUCAAAUCCUUUAUUUCAAGUUUAAUAUCCUUGAUCUCCUUCUGAAGAUCUUGGAUACUAGGAAUGGACUUCUUUGUUUUCUUUUUGUCUAAAAUCUCAGUAAGAUCAUAAGAAUUCUUUUUAACAAUAGGAACUUUAGAAGUUUCUGCCUUGUUUGAAUCCAUGGUUUUCAAAAGUUUAUCAAGAUAUUCUUUUUGAAGAUUUGGAUCAGAAAUAUGCUUUACAAGUUCGAGGAAAAUCUCUUGGUCUUUAGUCAAAACAUUGAUUUUCUUUAAAUAAGAAUCCGAAUCAGAAUCGCUACUGCUAGAUGCAGAGGUAUCUGAAUCAAAUAACUCAUCAACUUGAAGGGGGUCACUAUCUCCCGACACGGAGGACUCAGAAUCAGAGGACUCUACCAGAAGGGGGGCAAUUUUAGAAAGGAUGUCCUUAUUAAGGUCAAGCUCUUGGAGUCUUUUGUUCAUUCUGCAAAAUUUUGCAGUAUGACCUUUCAUACCACAUUUGAAACACGUGGCAUCUUUGAAAUUGAAUGGGGUUUUAGGUUUGGUUCUAAACUCUUUCUUUUUAGAAAAACUAUGUUUCUUAUAAGGCCUCGAGGGUUUCUUAUAAGGAAGUUUUCUAAAAUCAUGAAAGGGUUUCCUAUGGCUUUUAGACUUGUAAUGUUUCUUGUAAGGUUUUGGAGAACACUUACCAUUACAGUCUUUAGAAGUAGAAGUUUUAAAGGGGUCAUAAUUGAAUUGCUUACAGAAACCGCCUAAUUCUUGCUUAGAUUUCCUAAGCUCUCAUUUUAGACGUCUCUGUAAUUUCAAAUCUUGACAGAUCUUUAAUCCUUCUUUAUUGACAAAACUGACUAGUUCACCAUAGGUGAGCUCGUCAUAAGGAACACGAUUGUCAUAAAGAGCUUUGAUGGAAUUUCUAACCUUUUCUCCCAAAAGGGUAGGUAAACCUGCAAGGAAUUUCUCCUUCCAAGUUACAUGAUUCGCAUCAUCCCUUAGGAAGAGUCUGGUAAAGAAAGUGGUUUUGUAAUCUUGAAAUUCACUGAGUUUUCUACAUCUCAAGUUGUGUAGUAACUCGGCGUUUUUGUCUCUAAGGUGAGAAGGGUCACCUAUGAAGUGAAGGGAUAUGGUCAAAAUCAGGGUAGCAACAGCAUCCUGAAUAGGAUUAUUGAACUCGUCAAGAAUGGGGGCACCAUUCUCAUCGAUUUGAAUAGCAUUUAAGAUGUCUAAUUGCUGCAAUUUAGUGAGAAGAUGAUCCCACCAUCCUUUAAGUUGGCCGGUAAAACCAGCAAUUAGGAUUUCUGCAAUGGCCUUGUCAGAAGUUCCUGAUUGGGUUUUAUAGGCAUUGGCUGCCAUGGUCAUUUGCUGCAAUACACCUAAAAUGUUGUACUCAGACAUUCCAUCUAUAUUCCACUCAUAGACAGAGGAUGCAUUAUAUCGAGCUUGAUUUAAUGCACUAGGCCUGUUGUCUAUAGUCAAAUCAGGUGGAGAUUUGGAAAUAGGGAGAGCUAAUUCCCAUUGGAUUUUGUUGGCUUUAGGAACAGGUUCUUCGGUAAAGGCUUCUAUGUCUGAAGAGGCAAUAGAAACCUGGUCAAGAUUUAAUACUCCAAUCUUGCUAGAUUGAGGAGUAUCAGGGGCUAUCUGAACUUUGCUAGAUGAGGAAGAAGCAGCUUCUAUCCUAUCUAACUGUUCUCUAAUGGCUUUAGCAAAAUCCGAUUUUGACUCAUGAACAAGCCUUUGGCUAGUUUUCGAAACCUGAAAAGGUUUGAAAAUAGGUUCCUUAAGCUUUUUAUCAGAAUCUGAUUUUGAAGGAAUAGGUUUUAGACUAGGAGAAAUAGAUAUGGUUGACUGUUGGAAUUGGUUUUCUAUUCUAGUCAACUGUUUUCCUAUAGUAUUUAAGUUAGUAUUACAGAAAUUAUUCUGUUGGAUAAUACUACUUAAAUUGGCUUCAGAAUCAUUUGGCUUUGGUAUUUUGUAUGGUGAAGCUCUGAUUUGGACGGGAGGUUCACCAUGAUCAAUGGUAACACUCCGAAGAGGUGGGUGUUCCGACUCUAUGGUUCUAUCGCUAUCAAGAAGUUUCCAUUCAGGAAUUUUCUUCCUAAUAGUGAUAGGAUUUGACUCUUUGAAAUGAUAAGAGAUAUUGUUCUCAGAAGAAUAUAUUUCGAACCAAUCAAAAAACAAUAUAUGAACUUGAUGUAAAUUCACAAAUUCAUAAUAAGUCUGUUGGAUUUCUUUUCUUUGAUUUAGGAAAUGCUCAAAAAACCAAAGUCUUUUUUCUUUAUUGUUUUCUGAAUAAAAAUCAUUAUGAAGAAGAGUUUUAUCUAAAUCAAAAUGCUUCUCAAUAACAUUUAAAACAUUUUCUGUGACAGCAGAGAAUGUAGGGGAAGUUGGAGGAGAAGGUUCCUUCUCUUCCUGACUUUGUUCAUGUUGACUGCUAAUAUAAAUGGGAUGUGGUACUUUUGUGGUAUAGUCAACAGAACGAAUGGAGGAACUAGGUAAAUCCGAAGUGGAAAACCUAGGUUGACUUUGAAAAGGAAGAUUUACAACAGAAGGAAUUUUUGUAAAUUUCCUUUCUAAUGAAGGAAUACUUGAGCACGACUCUCUAUCAGAAAAUCUGGUUGAAUUAGAUCUCCUGAACGACAAUUUGACUUUACCAUCAGAAUACUGAGUCACAUUUUGCAACUCUGUAUUUGGCUCAAGUUGUCUUGGAACUGCUGGUGGAGCAAUUCCUUCAAGAAUCCAUUCCUCUGGAAGAUUGACAUCUUUCCAUUGGAUUGGUUUUGGAAUGACAGUGUUUGCUUUAGACAAGUCAGUCUGCAAGAGAAGAGUCUCAUCUCUUUUUUACUGGAAUUUAUGCUGCGUGCUAAACGCAGAGAUCAUAGCCUUAUAUGAGAUUUUAAAGAUUAAAGCAACCGGGACAUAUCCCUCUAUCAUAUUAUAAUUAUGUGUUUUAAUCUGUAAAAUCAUGCUUUUCAAAAUAUUUUUGUCUUUAAGAGAAAGCGUUAUGUUAGGAUAACAGUCAAAAGAAAUUGGACCUUUACAUAGACUGGACUCAAUGCUACUUAGCAAAGAAUCAUCAAAAGAGAUGAAACGGCCAUCUCUAAGGACAGCAAGGAUAGAAGUAUCCAAGCCUUCUUUGGUUAAAGGCUUUAUUCCUAUUUGGAUUAAACCAAUGUGGAUGUAAUUAAAAUUCUUUUCUUUUAAUUUCUUUAAAGAUUUCUCUGAAAACAGAUGUAUUGUUUCAAAUGGUGAAGAAAGGGUUAUGUCUCUUUCUUCGGUUUUUAUGACAUAAUCACUCUUUAGAAAAUCAAACUUUUUUGUUUUGUAAAUCUGUUCUUUUGAAAUCUUUGGAAGUUCCCAACAAUCAAUUGCUUUAUCAAAGUUCUCAAUAACGAAUUCUUCUGAACUCACAACAUGCUUUGAAUCACUAGUCUUCCCGGAAGAAGAGCUAGAAAAGGACGAUGUUCUAUAGUGUAGAGGAUUCAUGGUUAGAACCCUAUAGUCUAUUUAUGGUUUGGUCAGAAUGGCUACAGGUAUGGUUUUACAGCCCUAAACGGAAAACUUAUCCUUGGACGGGACUUACUACUAGUAAAAAUUCGCCACACAAAAAAACUUCAAAAUAAAACACAAGAUUUUAAACACAAAAUUCUAAACUGCUUUACACAAUCCUCCCCUUGGCUCUGAUACCAGAAGGAAAUAGGAUCGAAGGAUGGGUGUGCUUUCGUUGGAACUCAAAAUUAAAAACUCAAAUUAAACAAUGGAUUGAAAUGGAUCGGCUUUGUCCAAAUUUUAAAAUAAAUUACCAGCUUUAAAUGAAGUAGAUUUGCUUUGGAACGCGGUUGGUCAAAUUUUAUAGUAUUUAAAGUACGUGGCGUUGUUAGACCAGAUCGAUCGCAGAAGUUAAUCUGCCUUUGGACCCAGAUCUGACUUAGACCAGAUCAAUAGUCCGCACGUUCGGGUUUCCAGCCUAUAUACUUCAAUAUAUUUACCAGAUAUUUGUUAGAUUCUUUAUCAAGCCUAGCAACACAUACAUCUAAGGCUUGGGUACAUACACUUAAGGCGCUUACCACUCGCCCUAAAAGCUUAAGCUGUUAGGAGAAGGCGCUACUUUAUACUUAAGCACCACCCGGACCAAACCAGGUAACGUCUCCACGUUAUGCCACGACAUCGUGACCCCACAUCGGCCUUACAGGAGUCACCACAAGGGUGCGGGCCCCAGUUCCAGUACUGGGAUAAUAUAUUAAGCCCAUUCCUCCCCCCCGAGUUUCGAACCCUGGCCGGCUCUGAUACCACUUAAGGCGCUUACCACUUAAGGCGCUUACCACUCGCCCUAAAAGCUUAAGCUAUUAGGGGAAGGCACUACUUUAUACUUAAGCACCACCCGGACCAAACCAGGUAACGUCUCCACGUUAUGCCACGACAUCGUGACCCCACAUCGGCCUUACAGGAGUCACCACAAGGGUGCGGGCCCCAGUUAUUAGUCUUCAUGUUUUGCACAUGUUCGAACGGAAAUUGUAAUAUUAAAUAAUAUGGCAUUAUUAAAGUUUAAAAAAAAUCUAAAAUUAAUCAUAAAAAUAUAUAUAUUUUUAACUCUUAAUGUUUUGCACAGGUAUGGACGGCAAUUAUACAAUGAGAACGAAACAAUAAUAUAAUCGUGCGUUUGACACACUGUAUUGUAUUAUGUUGUAUUGCAUUAUUUUAUUGCAGGUGUAUUGUAUUAUGUUGUAUUGCAUUAUUUUAUUGCAGGUGUAUUGUAUUAUGUUGUAUUGCAUUAGCAUUGUAUCAUAAUAAUGUUGUACAAUGUUUGGCGUUACACUGUACUGUAUUAAUUUUUUUGUGAUUAAUUUAAAUUAUAUAUUUAAAAUAAUAUUUAUUAGUACUUAAAAAUAAUAAAUAUAAAAUUCUUAAAUUUUAGAAAUUUAACAUUUUUAUUAAAAAUAUAUAUUGAAAUGUCAUAAUUCUUCCGAAGCUUAUAGUCUUAAAUUUUUGGAAGUGUAUUUUUCAGUAUUUUCUAAAUAUAUAACUUGUGAAACAAAGAUCGAAGUAAAUAAAUUAAUCAAAUAAUCACUAAAUAAUUUAACAACAUAAAUAAAUAGUUAAAAUCUUCAAGAUUAAUUCAAAAAUCAUUUGAGGAUGAUAGAAUAAAAGUUUAUACAUAUUACAAGAUAAUUGUAGAAUAAUAAAGUGAUACAACUGUUAUGACAUAUUCACUAAGAAAAUAAAUUGAGCUAAAUAAUCCAGUAUUUUUUUAUAUUAUUAAUUUUCAAUUAAUAUUAUUCAAAUUUAAAUAUUUAUUGUUAGUUAUAUUAAAUUAUUUAAAAAUAGCUAAAUUAAUUAUUGUACUAUAAUUAAUAAAAUAUUAUAUUAUUUAAGUAUUUAUUACUAAUUAUAUUAACUUAUUAAAGAUUAAUUAAUAUACUUUUAUAUAUUAAUUAAAAUAAUACAAUUAAAUAAUACAUUGUUUAGUUAUAUAUUUAAAAUAAUAAAAAUUAAAACAUAAUUUAAUAUUAUGUAAUAUAAUCUUAAAUUAAAAAAUUAUAUUAAUUUGUUAUUAUUAUUAUUACAAAGAGAGAAAAAAAAAAAAAAGGCAAACUAAGUUGCCGCAUUAGCUAACCCCAACUAAGGGUCGGUUAAACACCCCCAAAAUGAACACUGGUUAAGCUAAUUGGGGUGGUUAAAAUUUGCACUCCCGUGACUGCGCACGAGGAACGCCCCUUUGCUUAUAAUAGCUUACCGUUCAUCUAGUAAUUAUAUAUAAAUCUUUCCAAUGUGGGACAAAUGUAUUUUCCUUUAAUUUUUCAAAUUCAUGAGUGCACUUUGAGUAACAAUUUCUCAUUCACUUGAGGAUCAUUUUGAUCAUAUAGAUAACAUUCCGAAGUACUCAUAGAGGAAUAUGCGAAACAAUUUCUGACUUUUCGCUUAUACCAAAUAGGUCUCAUUCAAAAUCAUGCCUCAAGUAGCUACUUGCGCAUUAUUUUUCUAACACUUUCUUUUUGUUUUUUUUAAAUUUGGUUGCGUGCAGAAAAAUUGAGCGGUAAUGAAAAUUUCAUCUUCUUUCAUUUAUGAUGUUUAGGGUUAAAAAAAAAAAAAAUGUUAGUUAGCCCAUGAGCUAUGGUAUGUAUGUUACAAAAGAUAUGAUUAGUCUUGUUUAUUUUCCUAUUUGAGCCAUUAUUUAUAACAAUUCUUUUCUUUGAACUUUUUUCCUUUUCUUAUUUUGGGUAAUACUUAAUAUCUUAUACUACUAAUAAUGCUAUUAAUUAUUUCUAAUAUUGUCCAUAUUAUCUCAUGUUUCUGCAAAGUUGUUCAAAUAGAUCUACACCUCACAAAUACAAGCCGAUAAGGUUAUAUCUCCAUGAUUGAAUCCAUCCAGAGAAGACAUUGACUCACACUAUUUGAAAACGCGUAUUGGAAGUUAACACCGGGAGCUUGCAAAACAAUUAAUUCUUAUAUAAACGCUUUGCUGAGAAUCAAAUGUAGCUCAAUCAACCGAAAACCACCAUAAACAUGGCAUCAGCGUCCUCUGUUUCGAGACUGGUGGUCAUUAUAAUUUUAAUUAAUGUUGGUGCUAUAAGUGAUACGACAAUAUCUGUAACGACAUCAGCUGCAGGAUUAUUGUCGUCACCCAUACUGUUAGAAAGGGAAGCUUUACUUGCUACAGGCUGGUGGGUCAACAAUUGGGCGACGACGGGCAACUACACGUCCGAUCAUUGUAAGUGGACUGGCAUCAGUUGCAAUUCAGCGGGAAGCGUAAUCGGGGUCAGCUUACUCUGGUAUGAAAAUGAUAACAUCAUAGGAGAGCUUGGUCGUUUCAAAUUCUCUUGCUUUCCCAACCUCAGAAGUUUCAAAAUUCGUUCAAAUUAUCUUCUCUCUGGGAGCAUUCCAUCUGAAAUUACUGUUCUUUCAACAAUCCGAACUCUUGAACUGACCUCCAACAAUCUUACCGGUAAGCUGCCAAACUUCACUGUAACAUAUUAUAUUUUUUAUAAAAUCGUGCUCAUGCUUAGUGCGGGCGUUUGCUUUUACAAUGCUGAAGAAGUGUGUGCCGUCCGCACUUGAGUAUGACUCUCUCUCCAUAUAAAUUUUGCAUUUUUUUUUUUUGUUGUUAUGAGGAUAGUGAAUACUGAUCUCGUUUUUCAUAAAUCAUAUGCACAACAGGAAUUAUCCCUUCAGAGAUGGGGAGAUUGAGGAAUCUCGUCCACCUGGAUCUAUCUAAUAAUCACCUUACGGGACAUAUCCCUCCAACUCUUGGUCGUCUAAGCAAAUUGAAAAUUUUUGAACUUGUCUUCUAACUCCCUUGUUGGUAAUGUCCCCUCCACUCUAAGUCAUCUAACCCAGCUAACUACUUUGGCUAUUGCCUCAAACCAAAUUAAUGGUUCCAUCCCAUUAGAAAUCGAGAAUUUGAAGGUUCUUCACGUUCUUGACCUGUCCAGAAAUGAAAUUGGAGGUUCAAUUCCUUCAACAAUUGGCCAUUUAAAGAGGUUGAGAAUUUUAGACUUGUCCCAAAACAAACUUGUUGGUCCAAUCCCUUCGUCUGUAGGUCCUUUGACUCAGCUAACUACUUUGAAUAUGCACUCAAACCGAAUUAAUGGUUCCAUCCCAUUAGAAAUCGGGAAUUUGAACUUUCUUCAAGUUCUUGGCCUGUCCGACAACAAACUUCAAGGUCCAAUUCCUUCGACCAUAGCUAGUUUAGUCAACUUGAAAUCUCUGUCCCUGGAAUAUAACAAUCUAAUUGGACCUAUUCCUUCAACACUUGGUCAUUUAAACAGGUUGACAGAUUUAGACUUGUCCGAAAACAAACUUGUUGGUCCAAUCCCUUCGUCUGUGGGUCAUUUGAACUUUCUUCAAGAUCUUGACCUGUCCAACAACAAACUUGAAGGUCCGAUUCCUUCGACUAUAGCUAGUUUAGUCAACUUGACAUAACUGUCCCUGCAGGAUAACAAUCUAACUGGACCUAUUCCUUCAACACUUGGUCAUUUAGACAGGUUGACAUAUUUAGACUUGUCCGAAAACAAACUUGUUGGUCCAAUCCCUUCGUCUGUGGGUCUUUUGAACUUUCUUCAAGUUCUUUACCUGCCCAACAACAAACUUGAAGGUCCAAUUCCUUCGACCAUAGCUAGUUUAGUCAACUUGAAAUCUCUGUCCCUGGAAUAUAACAAUCUAACUGGAUCUAUUCCUUCAACACUUGGUCAUUUAAACAGGUUGACAUUUUUAGACUUGUCCGACAACAAACUUGAUGGCCCAAUUCCUCCGGAACUCAUGAAUUGCUCAAAGCUGACGACAUUAAUAUUGGGAAACAACUUGUUAAGCGGAAGCAUUCCAUCACAGAUCGGCAAACUUCAAAAACUAUAUUAUCUUGAUCUAAGCGAUAACUCCAUCAAUGGUAAAAUACCUUACCAACUUGGAGCAAUUCCGGGCAUACACACCGUGGACCUUUCCAUGAAUAACCUUUCCGGUGGAAUCCCUGUAUUUGUCAGAAAAGUGCCACACUUAGAUGUGUCAGGCAAUAAAUUCGGAGGAGAAAUCCCAACUACUUUGGCAAAUGCGCCACCGCCACAUCACAAAACGAUUGCCACUCGCUUGGUUGCAAUUAUUCUUGCUAUGGUCGCAUUCCUUGCCUUGAUAUUUGGAAUCUUGAUUAUCCAUAGACGAAGGGAUAAGGAAGUUGAACCAACUGGGACAGGAGAAAUUACCAAGUGCGCUGAUGAGUUUGCAAUUUGGAAUUACGAUGGUAGAAUUACAUUUCAAGACAUGAUUGAAGCCACUGAGGAUUUCGAUAUCAAAUACUGCAUUGGAACCGGAGGCUACGGCAGCGUUUACAGAGCACGGCUGCCCAAUAGAAAAGUGGUUGCUUUGAAGAAGCUUCACCGUUCAAAAACUGAGGAGUUAGCUUCCCUCGAGAGUUUCCAAAAUGAGGCUCGUCUACUGUCCCAAAUACGGCAUCGAAAUAUCGUAAAGCUUUAUGGCUUUUGUUUGCACAAGACAUGCAUGUUCUUAAUCUAUGAGUACAUGGAAAUGGGAAGCUUGUUCUGUGUUCUACGCACAGAUGAGGAAGCUGUUGGGUUGGAUUGGACUAAAAGGGUGAACAUUGUGAAGGGUAUGGCUCAUGCUUUGUCAUACUUACAUCAUCACUGCACACCACCAAUUGUUCACCGGGACAUAUCAAGCAACAACAUUCUACUCAACUCAGAAUUAGAAGCAUUUGUUGCGGACUUUGGCAUUGCUAGAUUGUUAAAUUUUGACUCAUCCAACCGAACUCUUUUAGCUGGCACUUUUGGAUAUAUUGCUCCAGGUCAUCCUCUAGCUAUUCCUCUUAUGCUUCUUUAAUUAUCCUCUUAAUUAAUUUUUAUAUAUACUCUGCCAAACCAACAAAGUGUUGGCUCCACUGGCAAUGGAGUCCCCUUAAGUGGCUUGACUGGGUUUGCUCCCCAGUUCGAGUCCCAGGUAAGUCGCGUUUGUUGGGAGAACCUGUGCCUCCCGGUUCGAGCGAGGACUUCUAGUCUUGGUUGUGGUACGGGCUUAAAAGUGCCUCCCACAGUUGGGGCCCUCCCCAGGAUACCUCGUGAUUAUAUCAAAAAAUAUAUAUAUAUACUCUGCCAAGUAGUUUUUAAGCAGCUUUAUUUAGGUCGCUACUUGGUUCGAAUUUUGAAAAAGCUAAGGGGCUAAAACUAAAUUUAAACUUUGCCUACCCCUUUUCCUUUUAAAACACACACACACUGAACAUAAGUUAAAACAUAAGUUUCUUUGUCAUAACUUGCUACGGAAGCUAAAAAACAUGAACAAAUUGUUCUUGUUAUUAUUUAUGGAAACGUUACUAAUGAAGGCCUUUGUUUUCCUAUAGAACUUGCCUACACCAUGGUUGUGACAGAGAAAUGUGAUGUUUAUAGCUUUGGAGUGGUGGCACUAGAAGUACUAGUGGGAAGGCAUCCAGAAGCGCUCCUCUCAUCGUCAUCUUCAUCAUUGGAUAAAAAUAUAAAGCUGAUUGAUUUGUUGGACCCACGCCUCCCGGCUCCGGGGGAUCAAAUGAUUACGCAUGAUAUCAUUCUUGUUUCAACAGUAGUAUUUUCAUGCUUGCGUUCUCAACCAAAGUCUCGACCUACAAUGCAACUCGUGUCAUUCUAAUUAUUAGUUUAUUUUACAAAUUAUAUAUAAAAAUUUCAUUCAGAACGAAGUUCUUGAUGUCGCGUUAUUUAAUAUAUUAGUUUUUUCACUCCUUUGUAAAUAUUCACACAAACAUAUACAAUAAAUUUUUAAUUUCGCCGAUCCGAUCAAACAUCCUGGACCCACCGCUGAUGUCAUCCGAAGGUGAGGAAGCUUCUGCAGAAGUUGUGGUUAGUGAUAUUCUUGCCAGCACAAGAUAAUUAAUUACUAGGAAAGAAAUAAUAAAAAAUUUUAUUAAUUACGAAACUGAUAACUAUAUAUUAAAUGUUGAGUGUUAGAAAAUGUAUAUUUAUGAAGGAGAAAAUCAUCAUUUUACAUUUCAAGUCUUACUAACACCCUUACUUUUAUGUAUUUAAGCUUAUUGUAAUUUAAUUACGUGUGUUUUAUUUUAAUUAAGUAUUUUAUGUAUUUUAGGGGCAUCAUAGUCAUUUCACAAUAAAUGAGAAAUCAUACGCCAAAACGGACAUCACUUUUGAACUCAGGACAGUCGAAAACUUUAGGAGGAACAUAAAAGGAAGAAUGUCACUGUUCACAUGUACAGUGCUAUUUACAUGUACGAUAUUGUCUACGUUACUGUUCAUGACACUAUUCACAUAGACGGAAUGAUGACGUGGCAUUGACCGAUGAUGUGGCAUUGACUGAUGAGGUGUCACGAUCCUAUUGGACUAAAAUUCUUAUGUACUAUUGAUCGAUGACGUGGCAGCAUAUCAGUGGACCAAAAAUCUCGCGUAUGGUACAUGCAUUACACAAGAUUAUUUUCAACCAAACCGUAUUACUAUUCAAACCGCGUGGUCAAACCACGUACUGUUGACUGAUGACGUGGCGCAAUCCUGAGCGUCUGAAAUGUUUUUGAUUCGAUGACCAUGAUUUACUCAAUGUAUCUAUAAAAAGGGGGCUCUCCCCCCUUAAUUUGUUAUCUCUGAAUCCAAUUUUGGGCUCCAUUUUCUGUAAUUCCUUCUUCAUCUUUUAUUUUCUACGUAUUUUAAUAAAUUUCCAUUUUGCCCCUAGAUCAAUUGUGAGUAGCUAAUUUUCUUUCAAGCUUGGGUUGAAGGUGAAGUCUCAACAUAUGUCAUGCGCUCUAUUUGGUAAAUUUAUUUUCUCUUCCCCUCUAGUUUUUGUGGAUGUUUUGACUUCUCGUCGACAAAUAAUAAUAAUCUUGUCUAGAUACCAUCCUGAUUUCACCGACUCCCUAGUACAAGGUUAUUAUUAUUUGGCACAAUAAGCCCUUAGCACCAUAUUGAUUAUAGUGUGGUUCAUGAGGUGUGGAUUCCCCCCUCAUGAUUUAAUUGACAUUAAUAAGGAAUAUUUAGGCCAUGGUGCAUGUUGAUACGGAUCCAGAUACCCAAGUGUUUCAUUUCAAUAGAUUUCUCUUCAAUUUAUUCUCGCCAUUUCAAUUCACUUUCACCACAAAUCCAAACAUCCAUUUAGAAAAAUUAAUUCUACACACAAUUAGAAUCAACCUCCUCGUGGGAUCGACACUCGUCACCAUUAAUCUAUUCUACAAUAGAUUCUUGCACUUGCGAGUUCAAUAAAAUUUGCACAACAUUAGACACACUAUAAUUUUAUGAAAACUGAAGAUCCAUACUAAUAUAAAACUAAAACCACCAUUAAUUAUAUUAUACUAUAACAACAAAUCCAGGAUAUAUUAACAAACACGUCGAUUUUGAAGCUGAAUUUAUAAUCUAAUCUUAACUCUAUUUCUUCUGUAUUUACAUAAUCAUCCUGCUAAUUAAGGAUUUACAACUUUGCCAUGAAAGGUCGGUGGCUCCAUGCCUUUUUCUUCUUCUCGUCACAAAUUUUUCUUUUGCUUCCACUUCACCAUUAAAGAACAUCCCAAAGCUUGGUGCUGUUCGUGGAAGGACUAUUUUUCAAAACCCUAGCAAAAAAAUCCACAAAGUUACUAUUAUGAUCAAACACUUGAUCACUUUAACUAUAAUCCACAAAGUUAUUUAACUUUUCCUCAUAGAUAUGCGUUGAACUUCAAGCAUUGGGGCGGUGGCAGAGCCAUGGCGGCGCCGAUAUUGGCAUAUCUUGGUGAAGAGAGUAGUCUUGAUAUGAUGACCUUGGUGGCAUUGGAUGGCUUGCUGAUAAUGCUCAUCGAUUUAAAGCCUUACAAGUUUACAUAGAGGUAAGUAAAGAAUUUGUUAUCAGGCUAGCUUGAUAAUAAUUAAAAUAGAGUUUGCGUAUGAAAUAAUAAUAAUAAAGACAAAUCUUAAUCAGAAUAUUCUACAAUAUGAACUGAAAAGUUGUGAUGGAUUUUUUUUUAAUUCAAUUUUUUAUGCAGUAUCGGUUCUAUGGAAAAUCAGUACCUUUUGUAUCAAGCAAAGAUGCCCUAAAAAAUGCAACUCUUCGUGGAUAUUUAAACUCUGGUCAAGCUUUGGCAGAUUAUGCAAAGAUUCUCUUACACAUCAAGGAAAAUUUAUCGGCCGAAAUGUCACCCAUUAUCGUCGUUGGAGCAUCUUAUCGAGGAAGUAAAUUUUAAUAUUAUUAACUUACUUACAUCUUUUGAUUAAUGUCGUGUCAUUUGUUGCACCAUUUUAUUCAUUUUGAUCUCGUUUGACCAAAAUAUUGAUUACGCCAAUAUUAUUUUGAUACAAAUUUAUUUUGCAUUCCAAUUAAUGAAUACUUUCAUCGAUCGUAAAAUUAAAAAAUACUAAAUAUAUUUAAGAUAAUUACGUUUUUAAAAUUAACCAUCUCAAUUCAUCCUAUUUUAUCAAAUCUGGGAUGUGAUAUGGUUUUGAGAGUUACUCAAUUGUGGGUUUGUUAUCACCAGUGCUUGCAGCAUGGUUUCGCUUGAAGUAUCCUCAGAGUCUUUGGGAGCAGUUGCCUCGCCCGCCCCAAUUCUCUACUUUGAUAAUAUCACACCAUCAAACGCAUAUUAUGAUCUUGUCACCAAUGACUUUAGGGUAAGAAACAAAAUUAAUUAAUUAAAAUUCUAUAUAUGUAUGAUUAUGUUUUCUUGUUAAAAUUUAACCAUUGAAUUUUGAAAAUUAAUGAUGCAGGAAGCCAGCGAGAGCUGCUACAUGACCAUCAAACAGUCCUGGGUUGAAAUGGAUAAAACCGCUGCUAGAAAAAAUGGACUUGCUUUUCUCUCUAAAAAGUUCAAAACCUGCAAGAAAUUAAUCAUAUUACUUUACAUAAUUGCUUAUAUAUAUAUCCAUCCGAUUUUCCCUUAAUAACAAUUAAUGCAAUGUUAUUGUAGCAUCAUUAUCGAAUGUACUAUGUCUAAUUAAUUAUCUGUCAUCCUCAGAGUAUAUAUACAUUUCGAUUAACGUGUAAUAUACAAAGUAAAAAUCUGGAUUUGGGCUUAUACACGGCCUUUGCAUUACCAUAUAUAUAGUAUACUGGUGCUUAGAUUCAGCCCUCCAGAGGUUCGUAUUUUACAGAAUCUAAAUUUGAACUACAAAACCACGCACAACUCUAAUUAUCAAAUAAGGCCAAAUUUGUACGUUUGCAUUUGAUAAUAUCAAUAGCUUCAUACUUAUGAAGUUUAUUGUAAUCUAACUAAAUAUAACAACAUUUUUUAGACGGCAUGUUGAAAGAUCUUUUAUAAUGUUACUAACCUUGUGGCACUUAAUUCUAUGUUGUUGUUGUUUAUUUGAUUACAAGCCUCUGAAGGAUGUUUCAGAAUUGAAGGAUUAUUUAGAGUGUAUGUAUACGGGUGCAGCUCAGUAUGAUGAUCCUCAGGAAUAUCCACUGAACAAAGCUUGUGAAGGUAUCGAUGGAGCUUCAGAAGGCACGGAUACCCUAGGCCGGAUAUUCUCAGGAAUUGUUGCUUUAAGAUGGGAGAAUUCUUGCCAUGAUGUUGAUGAAUUCUUAUCCGAUGAAACACUAGACUCGAGCUGGGGCUGGCAGGUAUGUGAUUACGGGUGACAUGAUUUCAUUAGAUACUUCUAUUGAGAUCGUCAAACAAACAUCAUGUUGCGAUGAAUGAAUCUCUCACCUAACAAUACCUAUUUUAUGUACAUCUCUUAAUUUUAUUUAUGAGACUACAUAUUUAUGAAUGAUUAAAAAUAAUUUUCUCCUUUAUUUAGUUAUUUAUUUAUUAUGAUUUUUUUUUUGGGAGGGGCGCCGGGGGGGGGGGGGGGAGGGGAUUUUUCAUGCAGAUAUGCAGUGAAAUGGUCUCAUCGAUUGGAAUUGACAAAAAUAGUACAAUUUUCAAGCAGACGAUAGAAUAUAUGAAUUCAUGCAAUAAGUCUUAUGGAGUGGCUCCAAUACCACAUUGGAUUACAACUUAUUACGACAGUCAUGUAAGUGUCAAUUAAUCCCCAAAUUAAUUCUUUUAAUAAUUUAAUUUUUUUCAUUUUCUUUUUUAAUCAUAAAUUUUAUCUCAAUUUUUGUUCGAUUUUUAUUUCUUUUUAAUUUGCAUGGUAUAAGAGUGGUUGUAAAGAGAUUUGGUAGCAACCUUAUUUUCUCUAAUGGCUUUCGUGAUCCCUAUAGCAGCGCUGGGUAAUUAAGCUUAAGAAUUUUGGACAUUCUUUUCUAUCAAAGUUACCUAUUUAAUUAUAUACCUUUUUCUUUUCUUCUUCUUUUGUUUUUUUUUUCUGAGAUUACAGUGUUCUGGAAGAUAUAUCAGAUAGCAUAAUAGCAGUGAUAACAAAAAAUGGUAUGUAAAUGUUUCUGUAAAAUAAAAAAAUUAGUGUUCAAUUAUUAACUAAAUUAUUGGAUAACAUAAUUAAUAAUGUGUAAAUUAGAGCAGGUUCCCAUUGCUUAGACAUACAGCCAGCAACAGGAGAUGAUCCAGAGUGGUUAGUAAUGCAGCGAGAGAUUGAAGUGGACAUGGUUCAUGAUUGGAUCCUUAAAUACUCUGCAGAUUUGCUUCAAAAUCAGAGCAUAAGAUUAAAUUGGGACUGCAAAAUUAGUUUUUUCUUUUUCUUCCUCUCGUCUAUCUUUCUAAUAUUUAUGGAGCAAAGAUAAAUAAUAGAGCACCUAGCUAGUUUAAGAGUUCAUUUUCAUUAUUCUUAAUCUGGGUUGUCUAAAUGUGUAGAACAAGUGUGCAGUAUUACUUAAUGUAAAGCACAUAUAAAGGGCUCAAUCUUUAUGUAAUAAUCAUAUGGUGAAUAUCAAUUCAUGUACAAUCACAUUGAAUUAACCAUUUUCUCCCUUUGAUUUAGGAGUUACUGUAUAGGUCGUUGAAGCCGGUGACAGUAAAAGAAUUUGCUCUCCAUGUACAUGUAUCUCUCAUUCUCAACCUGUUCCUAUGCUUCUACAUAAUAGCUUCUUUUGUUAAUUAUUUGACAAUCUCAUGCAAUUCCAAACAUGACUUAGAAUCAGUUUGAGAUUCCGGUGGCUAUUGAAAUAAACUACUUCUGUUAUGCAGAUAAAAUAAGCUAAUGAUUAUAAAAAUAGCUCGCUCAGUGUUUGGUAAAUUCAAUUACAAAAGAACUAUUUUAUUAUAUAAUCACUAAAAUAAUUAUAAGUUUAAAUUGUCAUUUAUUUAUAUAUUAGCAUUUAUAAAAAAAGUAAGAUACAAUUAUUCUUUUCUUAGUUAUAAUAAAAACUUUAAAAAAUAUGGCAUUUUAUUUAAUAAGUUGCUUCUAAAAUAAUCCCAUACUUGUUUUAAAAGCUAUUGUCAAAAUAGAGAAAAUAUAAAUUAACUUUUAACAAAUUUACCAAACAUUAUUUUUAUCAAAACUUUAAAAUAAACUGUUUAUAGUAUUUCAACUGUAAUCCCAAAUAGGACAUUAGUCUUUGUUCAAAAUAAGGUUAGACAUUGAAUAUGUGUACACGUAUAAACGAAAAUAUCUAGACUGAAGAAACAUCUCGACUUAAUAAGUCUGCUUCAUUCUUUUUUUUCCACAGCAUAUGUCAAGAGUAAGUUCAAAAUCAUUGCUGACUAGGGGAAGAAGUCUUCAAAGUCAAGGUGAUUAGAUUAGCAGGUCACGAAAUUAUGUAUCGGAGGGGUUCCCUGCCCUCAACUUAAAAAGAUGCCUUAAAAUUAAAUAUUAAAUAAUAUGGCAUUUAUUAAAUUUAAAAAAUAUAAAAAAAUUAAAAGAAAACCUUUUUUUAAGUAAUGUUUGACUAAUGAUUUUGCGUAUCGACUUUGAAUGACCAUGAUAGUAUUUUAAAGAUAAGAAAAGUGGAUUCAAAUGUGGUAUGAUUUAAAAAUAUGGUUAAGAGGUAUGUGAAUAUGAGUAUAAUGAUUGUUUUUGAAAUCAUUAGACAAUACCCUUCCCUCCAGAUACAGUGAUACAGAUAAUAUGAGAUGAGAGGCCAUUGGGGCCCGUCUGAACACACAUAGAGGCUUUGGGCCGUGUGUUUGGGCGCUUUUGCCUUUUGGGGGCAUAUGCAUGCGGUAUGAUGAUUACAGAGAUACAGAUAUGAGAUACAGACAUAUAUUGAGAUACGGAUGAUACAGAUAUGAGAUACAGACAUAUAUUGAGAUACAGAUGAUACAGAUGAGAUACAGGCCUUUGGGGCCCGUCUGAGUACACACAUAGGCCUUGGGCCGUGUGCUUGGGCGUUUUUGUCCUUUGGGGACCAGAUUAUGCAUGCACAGAUAUGAUGAGAUAUGAGAUGGUAUUUUCCUGUCUAUCCGUGUAGCUCCGGGGCGUGACGUUACCCAGAUAGUACGUCAUUGCCCGUCCGUUGAGGUCCGGAUAUGACGAGAUUAUUUCCCUAGGUACUUGUUUGAUGAUGAUUUUCAGAUUUGUGAAUUAUAUAUGAUAUUGUGAUAUGAUUUCCAUGGUUAGUAAUCUGAUUUAAAUGUUUAAUGAUUUAUUUAUGGUUUCUCGCUUAUGGUUUAAUGAAAGCGUGCUUGGAAAUGGUAUGAUGAUUUCUUUUAAAGUAAGAAUUAAUUUUCAAAACUACUAUCCACUCACUGAUCUCACUGAGUUUUAGACUCAUCCCGUUUUUAUUAUAUUUUCCCCCCCUCACCAGGAGGUUGCAGGUACACCAGACCGACCCAGCGACUGUAAAUAUAUUUUGAGUCUUGGCCACGUGAUGAUGUUAGAAGAUAUAACUGUUUUUAUUAGGACAUCUUGGUUAUCUCGUCCUGGUGGGAUUGUAUAAUUUUUGUUAUAUUAUUCUUUUGGGAUUAAGAAUUGAGAUAUUAAUAUUAGUUAUAAUGUUAUCUUUUGAGACUCUAGAGAUAUAAAACUCAGCAUUUUGGUUGAGGAUGUUGACCACUGGAAUUUGUUGUAUAUUGAAUUGUAUUGGGAGUGUUAUAUUCAUAUUUGUAGAUUGGGAGUGUUAUAUAUAUAAAUGAGACUCUAACGAAUUUUCGGCAGAAUCGAAUUAUUAUCAAGUCCGUUUUGAUGAGACUAGAUAGACUUGCCUGGGGGGAUUCGGGGCGGGUCGUUUCACGUCCACUUGGAUCUAUCUGAUAAUCACCUCCUAGGACAUAUCCCUCCAACUCUUGGUCGUCUAAGCAAAUUGAAAAUUUUGAACUUGUCUUUUAACUCCCUUGUCGGUAAUAUCCCAUCCAAUGUAGGUCAUCUAACCCAGCUAACUACUUUGGCUGUUGCCUCAAACCGAAUGAAUGGUUCCAUCCCAUUAGGAAUCGGGAGUUUGAAGGUUCUUCAAGUUCUUGACCUGUCCAUAAAUGAAAUUGGAGGUUCAAUUCCUUCAACACUUUAAAGUGGUUGAGAAGUGUAGACUUGUCCCAAAACAAACUUGUUGGCCCAAUCCCUUCGUCUCUAGGUCAUUUGACUCAGCUAACUACUUUGAAUAUGUACAACAACAAACUUGAUGGGCUAAUUCCUCCAGAACUCAUGAAUUGCUCAAAGUUGAGGAUAUUAAAAUUGGGAAACAACUUGUUAAGCGGAAGCAUUCCGUCACAGAUCGGCAAACUUCAAGAACUAUAUUAUCUUGAUCUAAGCGGUAACUUCAUUAAUGGUAAAAUACCUUCCCAACUUGGAGAAUUUCCACUCAUAAACACCAUGGACCUUUCCAUGAAUAACCUUUCCUGUGGAAUCCCUGUAUUUAUCAGAAAAGUGCCACACUUAGAUGUGUCAGGCAAUAAAUUCGGAGUAGAAAUCCCAACUACUUUGGUAAAUGCGCCACCGCCACAUCACAAAAAGAUUGCCACUCGCUUGGUUGCAAUUAUUCUUGCUAUAGUCGCAUUCCCUGCCUUGAUAUUUGGAAUCUUGAUUAUCCGUAGACAAAGGGAUAAAGAAGUUGAACCAGCUGGGACAGGAGAAAUUACCAAGUGCGCUGAUGAGUUUGCAAUUUGGAAUUACGAUGGUAGAAUUACAUUUCAAGACAUGAUUGACGCCACUGAGGAUUUCGAUAUCAAAUACUGCAUUGGAACGGGAGGCUACAGCAGCGUUUACAGGGCACGACUGCCCAGUGGAAAAGUAGUUGCUUUGAAGAAGAUUCACCGUUCAGAAACUGAGGAGUUAGCUUCCCUGGAGAGUUUCCGGAAUGAGGCUCGUCUACUGUCCCAAAUACGGCAUCGAAAUAUCGUAAAGCUUUACGGCUUUUGUUUGCACGAGAAAUGCAUGUUCUUAAUCUAUGAGUACAUGGAAAUGGGAAGCUUGUUCUGUGCUCUACGCACAGAUGAGGAAGCUGUUGGGUUGGAUUGGACUAAAAGGGUGAACAUUGUGAAGGGUAUGGCUCAUGCUUUGUCAUACUUGCAUCAUCACUGCACACCACCAAUUGUUCACCGGGACAUAUUAAGCAACAACAUUCUACUCAACUCAGAAUUAGAAGCAUUUGUUGUGGACUUUGGCAUUGCUAGAUUGUUAAAUUUCGACUCAUCCAACCGAACUAUGUUAGCUGGCACUUUCGGAUAAAUUGCUCCAGGUCCUCCUCUAGCUAUUCCUCUUAUGCUUCUUUAAUUAUCCUCUUAAUUAAUUUUUAUUUGUACUCUGCCAAGUAGUUUUUAAGCAGCUUUAUUUAGGUCGCUACUUGGUUCGAAUUUUGAAAAAGCUAAGGGGCUAAAAAUAAAUUUGACUUUGCCUACCCCUUUACUUUUAAAACACACACACUCUGAACAUAAGUUAAAACAUAAGUUUCUUUGUCAUAACUUGCUGCGGAAGCUAAAAAACAUGAACAAAUUGUUCUUGUUAUUAUUUAUGGAAACAUUACUAAUGAAGGCCUUUGUUUCCUAUAGAACUUGCCUACACCAUGGUUGUGACAGAGAAAUGUGAUGUUUAUAGUUUUGGAGUGGUGGCACUAGAAGUACUAAUGGGAAGGCAUCCAGAAGCGCUCCUCUCAUCGUCAUCUUCAUCAUUGGAUAAAAAUAUAAAGCUGAUUGAUUUGCUGGACCCCCGCCUCUCACCUCCGGUGGAUCAAAAGAUUAGGCAGGAUAUCAUUCUUGUUUCAACAGUAGCAUUUUCAUGCUUGCGUUCGCAACCAAAGUCUCGACCUACAAUGCAACUCGUGUCCAACGAAUUUAUCGCUCGCAAUAAGGCACCGAUGCAGAAACCUUUUCAUGAAAUUUCAAUUUUGGAGCUUAGAAACCAAGAAAUGUAUGUGGUUGAUUAAUGUGAUUUUUCCAAUAAAGGAGACUGUUAAUUGGUUGUGAAAUUAUUAGGUAGUAGUAAUGUAGCAAAUAUUAUGUGUUCGACGAAUUGUCUGCCUUAGUAUUUUUUAAUUCCAUUCACACUACGACAUUAAUCUCCUUUGUAAAGCUAGUACUUUCGCAGUUCACUCUGAUAAAAUAUGGUUUGUCUAAUUGUCUCCAUCUCAAUGAUCUGAAUUAACCAGCAUAUUAAGGAAUUUAAGGUUGUGUCUCUACAAGUUAAAAAGGGUAAAUUGUCAUUCUAAUUAUUAGUUUGUUUUACAAAUUAUAUAUAAAAAUUUCAUUCAGAACGAAGUUAUUGAUGUCGCGUUAUUUAAUAUAUUAGUUUUUUCACUCCUUUGUAAAUAUUCACACAAACAUAUACAAUAAAAUUUUAAUUUAGCCGAUCCGAUCAAACAUCCUGGACCCACCGCUGAUGUCAUCCGAAGGUGAGGAAGCUUCUGCAGAAGUUGUGGUUAGUGAUAUUCUUGCCAGCACAAGAUAAUUAAUUACUAGGAAAGAAAUAAUAAAAAAUUUUAUUAAUUACGAAACUGAUGACUAUAUAUUAGACACACUAUAAUUUUAUGAAAACUGAAGAUUCAUACUAAUAUAAAACUAAAAGCAACAUUAAUUAUAUUAUACGAUAACAACAAAUCCAGGAUAUAUUAACAAACACGUCGAUUUUGAAGCUGAAUUUAUAAUCUAAUCUUAACUCUAUUUCUUCUGUAUUUACAUAAUCAUCCUGCUAAUUAAGGAUUUACAACUUUGCCAUGAAAGGUCGGUGGCUCCAUCUUCAAAUCUCUAAGUAGUUUUUCCUUGGCCUUGUGCUUCUUGCCUUGGAGAUGCACGUCUAGACCUCUCUCGGUAGUAGCAGUGACCUGACAGAGGGCACAACUCCACUCCUUGGGUUUGCUUGAACUCGUUGAAGGAAGCUCUCUAGAACCUGCAGGUGGUGUGCCAGCUUUCUGCUUUGAUCCACAAACACUGGUAUCAGGCUUAGGCUGGAAAUGAUACCCAAACACAGAAACCACAAUGCCUUAUAUUAGUUAUCACAUCAAUGGUAAAAAUGAAAAAUAUUUCCAGUGAACUCCAUCAUCUGCUAUUGCAGUACAGAUGAAAGAAUUUGUUUACAAAAUGAUAAUGUGCAAAUUUUAUUUUAAAUUGUGAAUUCUCAAGAAAGGUAGGAAUGUAGAAGUAUAUUCAAAUAGUUAAUACAACCAGAAUCCUUGUUUAUUAAUAACAUUUCCAGCAUUGAACUAGGAAAAUAUCUCCAUCCCAAAAAAGAAAAAAAAAAGGAAUAUGUUUGAAUAGGAUUACGAAAUACUUUCUUAAUAAGCUGGACAAGGAGAGAUGAUAUCUUAUGAGCAUUAUAAUUCAUAAUUUGAGGAAAAACCAUUUUAAUGGAGCUUCCAGCCCAUCGCACAUACACAAACACAAUCAAUAAGAUUUAACAUAAGAAAUUACCGGGAAAAAGAAACAUCACAAAUCAAUCUGUACAAGUUCAUGUGACACUUCAUGGUAAACAUAUGUAACCUCUCUUGGAAACUUAGCUUGUGACAAGCUCACAUUUUCUCUGUGUUUUCGUUCAAAAAAGGCUUCAGACACACAUUAAUUCCAGGCUGUGGAGGAUCAUAUGUCCUCAUUGCCCAAAUUUUUAAAGCCACAUACAUUGGCAUUUGCACGCAUGGUCAAUGAGUUACACAACUCUGUUGUCUACUUGAGUUGACCAAGCAAACUGAAUUUGUGAACUUUGACCGACAUAAAUAACCCAAUGCUAACAUGUUUGGAAUUAAAUCAAGAUUGUGAGUCCAAAUGUACUCCCCGACAAACUUGUCACCUGUGCAUCAAGACAAAGUCUUAUAGCACUAAGAAUGAACAUGUGAACCUCUAAGCAACAACCUCCUAAUAACAUAAAAAUCAAGGUUGGUGUGGGAUAAAGCCAUUCAAAUGGACAUGUAAAGGGUAACUUUGAUGAAUAAGGGUUUAAGAGAAACAAUCUUAUCACAGAGUAUUUCAAUUGGAGCGGAUGAAGAAACUAACAUGAAACAAACUCACUUAUCUCUAUUUAUUUUUCAAUUUUCAUAGAUCCAAAAUCUAAAAUUAUCAUUUUGAGCUACCCUCAAUUAGUAAGCACUGCAUUGUCACUGCUUUCUUCUGAAAUUUUCCAUCAGCAGAAAAUCUCUAACAAAUCAAAACAAGACUUACCAAGUUUCAUAAGUAUCAAAACAAAAACGAGCAAAGGUCCACAGGGAAGUUCUAGAAUGAAAAAUACUAAUGACGUUGUUACAGUGAAUCUCAGGGUCCAUUUUUCGUGAGGUUAAUGAUUGCAUUCUGGGUUGUGUUGCUAUCAGUCUUUAGUGUUCAUUCAUCUUUUUAUGGUAAGUUGCAUGCAUUUGUUUUGUCUUCAGAGGUUAUGGUGUCAAAUUGAGCGGACACACGUUUGGCUUAUAGAUGAUAUGACCCUGAAACUAUGUCGCAGCUGUUGCUUGUUUUCAGCAUUCUAAUCAUUCACCAACUUGGGAUCUUCAAGUCCGUUGGUGGAAUUAUUUGCACCAUCCAAGUCUUGACGUGCACCCCUUGAUUAUACUCGGUGGGAUAAAUUUUGCACUUAUUUAAAAAAAAUAAAUAAAUAAAGAAUCCCCUGUGGGGAAGUCAAAAUGCAAACACGAAUUGAUUAGUGAAGAGGACACAGUAAUUUGACACGAUAAUUAAUCAUCUCGUUAUGAUGUGUUAGUGUCUAAUUCACAAAUUCGGGUAAUAACCGUCUUAUGAAGUGUCUAAUUUUAUUGCUCCGUUAAUAAAGUGUACUUGGGCUAGCUACGUUACCCCAGCGGUUGGAUUUCCAUUGCUUCCAAUGAGUCAAUACAAAGGCUUAUAGCAUUAGCAUGAUUAACAUAUAUUGCAGCAUCGUAAACAAUGAUUGGAAUCCUGAGAUCUUUGGUAACAUGAUUAUAGACAAUUACGACCAUGUUUGGAUAGCUUAGUUUAAAAAUUACAACAUUAAAAUAUCAGGUAAAUAUUAGUUGUUGUAACUAAAAAAAAUUAUUAUAUUUUUUAUUUUACACUUAUAUGAUAAAAAAUUUAUUUUUUUUAUUGAUUUUGUCAAAAUUAUUAUUUAAAAAUUAUAUAUUCACUGCAUACUAAAUUAAGUUAAUUACUAGGAAAUAAUUAAUUACAAGUUAAUUAAAUUAGAAAUAUGUGUCCAACCAUUAAAACUACGUAUAUCAAGUUAGUUAAUUACUAAGGAAAGAAUUAAUAACAAAUUUUCAUCGCUACGUAUUUAAUUACGAAACUGAUAACUAUAUAUUAGAAAAACUAUAAUUUUAUGAAAACUAAAGAUCAUUACUAAUAUAAAACUAAAACCAACAAUAAUUAUAUGAUAGGAUAACAACAAAUCCAGAAUAGAUUAACAAACACGUCGAUUCUGAAGCUGAAUUUAUAACCGAAUCUUAAUUCUAUUUCUUCUGUAUUUACAUAAUCAUCCUGCUAAUUAAAGAUUUACAACUUUGCCGUGGAAGGUCGGUGGCUUCCAUGCCUUUUUUCUUCUUCUCCUCACAAAUUUUGCUUUUGCUUCCACUUUACCAUUAAAGAACAUCCCAAAGCUUGGUGUUGUGCGUGGAAGGACUAUUUUUCUAAACCCUAGUAAAAAAAUAUCAACUUCAGAACCAGAGGGUGAUCUCGAAACUUAAUAUUAUGAUCAAAUACUUGAUCACUUUAACUAUUAUCCACAAAGUUAUUUAACUUUUCCUCAUAGAUAUGCGUUGAACUUCAAGCAUUGGGGCGGUGGCAGACCCAUGGCGGCGCCGAUAUUGGCAUAUCUUGGUGAAGAGAGUAGUCUUAAUAUGAUGACCUUGGUGGCAUUGGAUGGCUUACUGAUAAUGCUCAUCGAUUUAAAGCCUUACAAGUUUACAUAGAGGUAAGUAAAGAAUUUGUUAUCAGGCUAGCUUGAUAAUAAUUGAAAUAGAGUUCGCAUACGAAAUAAUAAUAAUAAAGACAAAUCCUAAUCAGAAUAUUCUACAAUAUGAACUAAAAAGUUGUGAUGGAUUUUUUUUUAAUUCAAUUUUUUAUGCAGUAUCGGUUCUAUGGAAAAUCAGUACCUUUUGUAUCAAGCAAAGAUGCCCUAAAGAAUGCAACUCUUCGUGGAUAUUUCAACUCUGGUCAAGCUUUGGCACAUUAUGCAAAGAUUCUCUUACACAUCAAGGAAAAUUUAUCGGCCGAAAUGUCUCCCAUUAUCGUUGUUGGAGCAUCUUAUAGAGGAAGUAAAUUUUAAUAUUAUUAACUUACUUACAUCUUUUGAUUAAUGUCGUGUCAUUUGUUGCAUCAUUUUAUUCAUUUUGAUCUCGUUUGACCAAAAUAUUGAUUACGCCAAUAUUAUUUUGAUACAAAUUUAUUUUGCAUUCCAAUUAAUGAAUACUUUCAGCGAUCGUAAAAUUAAGAAAUAGUAAACAUAUUUAAGAUAAUUACGUUUUUAAAAAUAACCAUCUCAAUUCAUCCUAUUUUAUCAGAUCUGGGUAGGGAUGGCAAUGGGGUGGGGUGGGGGUGGGGAGGCCUACCUCAUUCCCCACCCCAUUCCCCAAUAAAUUUAGUGGGGUGGGGAUGGAGAAUCCCCAUGUGGGGAAUGAUUUCCCCAUCCCCACCCCAUUCCCCAUUUAUCUAUUUUAUAAUAUGUAUAAAUAUAUUAUUUUAGUAAGUUAAAAAUUAGAGACUUAAAAUAAAAUCAUCAUCAUAUUAUAAAGUAUUUAAAUUCUUUUAAAAAAAUAUCUAAAAAUUUGAAACAAUAUCUUAAAAUGAUAUUAAAAGUGAAAAAUAUUUAAAGAGCGUAACACCUUAAAAGAGAAAAGAAAAUAUAACAAUGUUUCAGAGUUGAAAAAUAUUAUAGGAUUUUCUUUCAUUCAUAUCUUGUUUAUGUUGCAUAAAAAUUAAAAAAAAUUAUUAAUUGACAUUAUAAUUGAUAAAAUAAAAAUUAUUAAAUAAGAAUUAAAAAUAUAUUUAUAUAUAAUGGGGAUUGGGAUUGGGGUGGGGGUGGGGUGGGGAGUAUAAAACCAAACCCCACCCCAUUAAGAAUUUGGGGAUUAUUUUCUCCCCACUCCCCACCCCAUUCCCCAAAAAUUAUUCAAAAUUUUUUCCAUUUGGGGUGGGGCUCCAUAGGACCCCAAACCCGUGGAGAAUUUUGCCAUCCCUAGAUCUGGGAUGUGAUAUGGUUUUGAGAGUUACUCAUUUGUGGGUUUGUUAUCACCAGUGCUUGCAGCAUGGUUUCGCUUUCCUCACAGUGCUUUGGGAGCAGUUGCCUCGUCCGCCCCAAUUAUCUAGUUUGAUAAUAUCACACCCUCAAACGCAUAUUAUGAUCUUGUCACCAAUGACUUUAGGGUAAGAAAUAAAAUUAAUUAAUUAAAAUUCUAUAUAUGUAUGAUUGUGUUUUCUUGUUAAAAUUUAACCAUUAAAUUUUGAAAAUUAAUGAUGCAAGAAGCCAGGGAGAGCUGCUACAUGACCAUCAAACAGUCCUGGGCUGAAAUGGAUAAAACCGCUGCUAGAAAAAAUGGACUUGCUUCUCUCUCUAAAAAGUUCAAAACCUGCAAGAAAUUAAUCAUAUUACUUUACAUAACUGCUUAUAUAUAUCCAUCCGAUUUUCCCUUAAGUACAAUUAAUGCAAUGUUAUUGUAGCAUCAUUAUCGAAUGUACUAUGUCUAAUUAAUUAUCUGACAUUCUCAGAGUAUAUAUACAUUUCGAUUAACGUGUAAUAUACAAAGUAAAAAUCUGGAUUUGGGCUUAUACACGGCCUUUGCAUUACCCCAUAUAUAGUAUACUGGUGCUUCGAUUCAGCCCUCCAGAGGUUCGUAUUUUACAGAAUCUAAAUUUGAACUACAAAACCACGCACAACUCUGAUUAUCAAAUAAGGCCAAAUUUGUACGUUUGCAUUUGAUAAUAUCAAUAGCUUCAUACUUAUAAAGUUUAUUGUAAUCUAACUAAAUAUAACAACAUUUUUUAGACGGCAUGUUGAAAGAUCUUUUAUAAUGUUACUAACCUUGUGGCACUUAAUUCUAUGUUGUUGUUGUUGUUUAUUUGAUUACAAGCCUCUGAAGGAUGUUUCAGAAUUGAAGGAUUAUUUAGAGUGUAUGUAUACGGGUGCAGCUCAGUAUGAUGAUCCUCAGGAAUAUCCAGUGAACAAAGCUUGUGAAGGUAUCGAUGGAGCUUCAGAAGGCACGGAUACCCUAGGCUGGAUAUUCUCAGGAAUUGUUGCUUUAAGAGGGGAGAAUUCUUGCCAUGAUGUUGAUGAAUUCUUAUCCGAUGAAACACUAGACUCGAGCUGGGGCUGGCAGGUAUGUGAUUACGGGUGACAUGAUUUCAUUAGAUACUUCUAUUGAGAUCGUCAAACAAACAACAUGUUGCGAUGAAUGAAUCUCUCACCUAACAAUACCUAUUUUAUGUACAUCUCUUAAUUUUAUUUAUGAGACUACAUAUUUAUGAAUGAUUAAAAAUAGUUUUCUCCUUUAUUUAGUUAUUUAUUUAUUAUGAUUCUUUUUUUGUUUUGGGAGGGGCGGGGAGGGGGGGGGUUUCUCAUGCAGACAUGCAGUGAAAUGGUCUCAUCGAUUGGAAUUGACAAAAAUAAUACAAUUUUCAAGCAGACGAUAGAAUAUAUGAAUUCAUGCAAUAAGUCUUAUGGAGUGGCUACAAUACCACAUUGGAUUACAACUUAUUACGGCAGUCAUGUAAGUGUCAAUUAAUCCCCAAAUUAAUUCUUUUAAUAAUUUAAUUUUUUUCAUUUUCUUUUUUAAUUAUAAAUUUUAUCUCAAUUUUUGUUCGAUUUUUAUUUCUUUUUAAUUUGCAUGGUAUAAGAGUGGUUGUAAAGAGAUUUGGUAGCAACCUUAUUUUCUCUAAUGGCUUUCGUGAUCCCUAUAGCAGCGCUGGGUAAUUAAGCUUAAGAAUUUUGGACAUUCUUUUCUAUCAAAGUUACCUAUUUAAUUAUAUACCUUUUUCUUUUUCUUUUGUUUUUUUUUUUUUUUUUGAGAUUACAGUGUUCUGGAAGAUAUAUCAGAUAGCAUAAUAGCAGUGAUAACAAAAAAUGGUAUGUAAAUGUUUCUGUAAAAUAAAAAAAUUAGUGUUCAAUUGUUUGAGGGAAAUACUCCGACGAGACCAGACGUGAUGAGCAGAUGUUUGGUGGCAGAAGUCUGCGAGCAGGUGUGUCCUGUAAGAGCCAGGUAGCAGGGGAACAGGGGCAGGAAUAUCCUGCUCAUCCACGAGCACGUCAUCCGCGAGGCCAAUUUCCUGUAAGAAGCAUAAAGCCAUUCCUGCUGUAUUCUUGCUAAGGGUUGAUUCGAGGAGACCCGGUCAAUGACAGUUGGCGAGGCAUGCUCUCCAGCCCGAGAAUCUAGGCACGAAGGCCACGCAACCACCCACGACUACGGAAAUGGGGAAUCCACGUUCGAGAGGUGGGAGGAUAACGGGCGUAGACUGCGAAAAACUGGGAUUCAGAGGAAGCCUAUAAAAAGGUAGCCAAUGAAGGUAAAGGGGUUAGCAAUUUUGAGAUUAGAAGGGAGAUAAAGAAAUUCUAAAGAAGAGAAAACUACCCAAAAGCCAUAAGAUCUGUGACAAGCGUUCCCCGAACCUUAAUAUCUGACUUGAGCGUCAGAGGGUUUGCACCGGGAAAACAACCGGCGUACUCUGACUUGUCUGUGUGUGCAGGAACCUCUGGAGAAGAAGCUUUACGAGGAGAGAUCCUGGUCGUGGUGAAGUUGAUCGAGCAGAGACCCUGGUCGUAGAACGAGGAGAACCAGAAUCUCGCAUCAACAUUUUGGCACCGUCUGUGGGGAGCUGAUCAAAAAGCUUAUGUUGAUAGCAAGAAGAGGAGUGAAGUAAGUGAAAAGCGAUGGAAACAGGGGAAGCAAUGCAGAUAACAUCCCUCGAUACCCGAGUGGAAAACAAGAAUGGCAGACAAGAACCUGUAGAGGAUCUGGAAACUGUAAGCCUAGGACCAGAGAAUCCGGGAAAGACAAUCAGAAUCGGGUCGAGACUUAAGGGAGAGCAAAAGCAGGAGUUGGUGAAAUGCUUACAGGCUCAUGCAGAUGUGUUUGCUUGGACACAUGAAGACAUGCCAGGGAUUGACCCUGAGGUAGCAUGUCAUAAGCUGGCAGUAAAGAAAGGUGCUCGGACAGUAAGGUAGAAGAGGAGGUGCUUCAACCAGGAGAGGUAUGAGGCUAUAAAUGGCGAGGUGGAGAAGCUCUUGAGAGCAGGGUUCAUUCGGGAAGUCAAUUACCCUGAAUGGAUAUCGAAUGUGGUGUUGGUAAAGAAAGCGAAUGGCAAGUGGAGGAUGUGUGUGGAUUUCACAGACCUCAAUAAGGCGUGCCCAAAGGACAGCUUCCCUUUGCCAAAGAUCGAUCAGCUAGUAGAUUCAACGGCUGGACACGCUCUGCCUAGCUUCAUGGACGCGUUCUCGGGAUACAACCAGAUCCCCAUGUACGAGCAGGACGAGGAGAGCACGGCUUUCAUCACUAACCAGGGUUUGUUCUAUUACAGGGUAAUGCCAUUUGGUCUCAAAAAUACUGGGGCCACCUAUCAGAGGAUGGUGAACAAAGUCUUUAAGCCGUUGAUUGGGAAAACCAUGGAGGUGUACGUGGAUGACAUGAUCACCAAGUCCAAAAUCCCGAAGGAACAUGUCAGACACCUCGAGGAGACAUUUGAGCUUUUGAGGAAGUAUAAGAUGAAGCUCAACCCGGAGAAAUGUGCUUUUGGGGUCGAGUCGGGGAAGUUCCUUGGAUUCAUGGUGAGUCAUCGGGGGAUCGAAGCAAAUCCCGAGAAGAUCUAGGCGAUCGUGCAGAUGAGGUCUCCUCGUAGCCUGAAGGAAAUACAAAGCCUUACGGGGAGAUUGGCGGCAUUAAGCCGGUUCAUAUCCAAGGCUACAGAUAAGUGUCAACCAUUCUUUCAAGUGAUAAGGAGGGGAAAGAAAACAGAGUGGACCCCGGAAUGCGAGGAAGCCUUUCAGAACUUGAAGCAGUAUUUACAGCAAGCCCCUCUGCUAUCCACACCGAGGGAUGGGGACAAGUUAUUUUUGUAUCUGGCGAUAUCGGAUCGGGCCGCCAGUUCUGUUCUGGUGAGAGAGGAAGAAGGAGUUCAGUAUCCACUAUACUACACCAGCAAGGCCCUGCUCGACGCUGAGACCAGAUACCCACCGUUGGAGAAAUGGGCACUUGCCCUUGUGGUUGCUGCUCGGAAGUUGAGGCCAUAUUUUCAGGCAUUCCCAGUCUCGGUUAUAACAAACCAGCCAUUGCGUCAAACUCUGCACAAGCCCGAUGCUUCUGGUUGGCUCGUCAAGUGGGCUAUAGAGCUGAGCGAGUUCGACAUAGACUACAAACCCCGAGCAGCGAUAAGGGCUCAAGCAAUGGCCAAUUUCGUAGCAGAAUUCACAGAGCCUGAAGUAUGUUUAGACCAACAAGAUGUAGUUGCAGACAAUGGCGAAGCUCAAGUAUGGCAAAUGUCUGUAGAUGGGUCAUCAGGGGAGCAGGGAUUGUAUUGGAAGGCCCGGAGGGGGAGGAGAUCUCUUAUGCUGUAAAGUUAGAAUUCACAGCAACAAAUAACCAGGCAGAGUAUGAAGCCUUGAUAGCAGGAUUGGAACUGGCUAAGGCCGUGAGAGCAGAUAGAGUGAAGAUCAGAACUGAUUCCCAGCUGGUUGCGAAUCAUGUCAGUGAAAGAUUCCAACCAAGAGAGAAGAAGAUGGAGCAGUACUUGAAGAUAGUCAGGCAGAUGAUGGGAAAAUUCGAAGCGGUGGAAGUAGUACAAAUCCCAAGGGAGCAGAAUAGUCGAGCCGAUAUUUUGGCCAGGAUGGCAGCGGUAGCAGACCCAAAAAUGCCAAAGUCGAUCCCUCUAGAGGUGAAGUCCAGCCCGAGCAUCGAGCCGAAUUCAGGGGUACUGCGGAUAGAACAAAAAUGCUCGUGGAUGGACCCGAUAGUUUCAUACCUUAGAGACGGGGUAUUACCACCAGAUAAGCUGCGAGCUCGGAAGAUUAGAGCCCAGGCCUCGAGAUACACGAUGAUUGAUGGGAUACUGUAUCGGCGAGGAUAUACACUACCUUUCCUUCGAUGUUUGGAUGAGGACGACGCGGAUUACGUCCUGAGAGAAGUACAUGAAGGAAUUUGCGGGAAUCAUUCUGGUGGGAGAUCCCUGGCCCACAAGGUUCUAAGGCAGGGAUAUUUCUGGCCGACAAUGCACCAGGAUGCACAGGAGAAGACCAAGAGCUGUGUAAGCUGCCAGAGUUUUGCAAGUUUCCCCAACCAACCACCAGAGAAGCUCACCUCUAUGGCCUCCCCUUGGCCAUUUGCUCAAUGGGGAAUUGAUCUGAUCGGCCCGCUGCCAAAGGGACGAGGAGCAGCAACGCAUGCAAUAGUUGCUAUAGAUUACUUCACGAAGUGGAUAGAGGUCGAAGCCCUUAGUAGGAUUACAGAGAAGAAAACGACAGACUUUGUGUGGAGAAACCUGGUCUGUCGAUACGGGAUCCCUUAUGCCUUGGUAACGGAUAAUGGCAGGCAGUUCGAUAAUCACAGCUUCAGGGAUUUCUGCCAGAACCUCGGGAUAGAGCUGAAGUAUUGCUCGCCUGCUCACCCUCAAUCGAAUGGACAAGUAGAAGCAGCCAACAAGACCAUCAAGAGACUUUUGAAAACCAGGCUUGGAGCAAAAAAUGGUACAUGGGUUGAUGAGCUGUCAGGUGUCCUAUGGGCAUACAGGACAACCCACAAAACAGCAACUGGGGAGACACCGUUCGCCCUGGCUUUCGGACAUGAAGCGGUCGUACCAGCUGAGAUAGGAACGACCACGCACCGGACAGACCAUUUCAAUGAGCAGGAGAACGACGAGCAGAUGUGUUUGAAUAUUGAUCUGCUAACGAAGAAGAGGGAGCAAGCAGCUGGUCGAUCAGCCAUUUACCAGCAAAGGGUUGCUCGUUAUUAUAACCAGAAGGUGAAUGUACGGCAAUUCAAGGUCGGAGACUGGGUACUGAGAAGAGUGAAUCAGAGCACCAAAGAUUCGACUCAAGGAGUGCUGGGACCGAAUUGGGAAGGGCCAUAUAGAGUCAAGCAGAUAGUGGGACCCGGAGCUUACAAGCUGGUUCGCACAGACGGCCACGAGGUGAAACGCCCAUGGAACGCAGCACACCUCCGAAAAUACUUCCAGUAAGACUUGUUCACAUUUGAAAGCUAUUUCUGCUCGUGUUCAUUAUCGUUUAUCUUUUAUGUUUUAUAUCCAAACAAUUUCAUGUAAGUCGAAUCCUGCCAUUAAUGGAACGUCGAGGAAUUUCAUUCGCUUGAAACUGUGAAAAUUUCCUAAGGCAUGCAAAGGCUCGUCAAGUCUCAAAGCCUGUUUAUGGCGAGACCAGAAGCCAAGCGUGCCAAGAUCUGCUCGGCCACGAGAAGGCGAGCAAAAUCCCAAGCUUUGAAGAAAUUGCCUAAGGCAUGCAAAGGCUCGACAAAGUCUCAAAGCCUGUUUAUGGCGAGACCAGAAGCCAAGCGUGCCAGGAUCUGCUCGGCCACGAGAAGACGAGCAGAAUCCCAAGCUUUGAAGAAAUUGCCUAAGGCAUGCAAAGGCUCGACAAAGUCUCAAAGCCUGUUUAUGGCGAGACCAGAAGCCAAGCGUGCCAGGAUCUGCUCGGCCACGAGAAGGCGAGCAGAAUCCCAAGCUUUGAAGAAAUUAUCUAAGGCAUGCAAAGGCUCGACAAAGUCUCAAAUCCUGUUUAUGGCGAGACCAGAAGCCAAGCGUGCCAGGAUGUGCUUGGCCACAAGAAGGCGAGCAGAAUCCCAAGCUUUGAAGAAAUUACCUAAGGCAUGCAAAGGCUCGUCAAGUCUCAAAGCCUGUUUAUGGCGAGACCAGAAGCCAAGCGUGCCAGGAUCUGCUCGGCCACGAGAAGGCGAGCAGAAUCCCAAGCUUUGAAGAAAUUACCUAAGGCAUGCAAAGGCUCGACAAAGUCUCAAAGCCUGUUUAUGGCGAGACCAGAAGCCAAGCGUGCCAGGAUCUGCUCGGCCACGAGAAGGCGAGCAGAAUCCCAAGCUUUGAAGAAAUUACCUAAGGCAUGCAAAGGCUCGACAAAGUCUCAAAGCCUGUUUAUGGCGAGACCAGAUGCCAAGCGUGCCAGGAUCUGCUCGGCCACGAGAAGGCGAGCAGAAUCCCAAGCUUUGAAGAAAUUGCCUAAGGCAUGCAAAGACUCGACAAAGUCUCAAAGCCUGUUUAUGGCGAGACCAGAAGCCAAGCGUGCCAGGAUCUGCUCGGCCACGAGAAGGCGAGCAGAAUCCCAAGCUUUGAAGAAAUUACGUAAGGCAUGCAAAGGCUCGACAAGUCUCAAAGCCUGUUUAUGGCGAGACCAGAAGCCAAGCGUGCCAAGAUUGGCUCGGCCACGAGAAGGCGAGCAGAAUCCCAAGCAUUGAAGAAUCUUCCAAGGCAUGUGGCAAAACCAUAUACCAAGCCAGAGCCUGCUCGAGCGGACGAAGACGAGCAGAUUCUCAAGCGGAAAAAUAACUCGUAAUUACAAUACAAGAGAGUAAUAAAAAACAUUUCUAUUAAUUUGUUAAUAAUUAACAAAGCAGAUAAUCUUCACAAAUAUUGUUCGUUACAAUACAAGAAACAUAUUUAAGAAGACGGUGGGUCCGCAAGCCGAGCAGCCUCAGUUAGCUGGUCCACCUCAGGUGCUGGGGGAGUAUCUCCAGUUGCGUCUGGGGGGGUACUCGCCUCACCAGCAUCAGCAGGGAUUACACCGGGAGGAGAGUUUUCCUCCUCUAUCACCAUUGGUGCCACCUCUUCGGCAUCCUCCUUUGCAGCCUCCUCGUCCAUAUGUUGGGCGACACCAGCUGCAAGGUCGUCCGUCUUUAGAUCAGGAUGCUGCUUCCCGAGGACGGCCAUGAUGCAACGAUAAGAAUGCCGAAGUCCCUAGUCGUACUGGUUGUCGGCCUCCUUUUCCAAGUUCUCGACCCGAGCUCGGUGGGAAUCGCGAAGAGAUUCGAGCUGAGCCUCAUACAUAGCCUUCUGCCUUUGAAGAUCCUCCUUGACCUUGGCCAGCUCUUCCUCGAGAGUAAUAGCCUUGGCUUGAGCAAGAGAUUCUCGCUCAAUCAACUUCAGAUUCUCGAGGUUUAAGUCCCCUGCUUUCUUCUCAGCAACGUCAGCUCUGGUCGUCGCCGACUGAAUGUCCUCCUUCAUCUUCCUAUCAUAACGGCCAACCUUGGCCUUAUAGUAGGUGGUCAUGCAGCUGAGAUGGAAAGCGCUAUACUGCAUGGCCCCCACCAGCUCGCCUAAGGUGCAGCCAUCAAAGUCCUCGAGGUCCUCCUUGCUCACAAGUUUGGAAAGCUCGUUGAGAUAGGGGGCCAAGUGUUCUGCUCAGCUGUCAGGUAAACGAGAUCUAUGCCCGACAGGAGGCGAAGAGGAAGCAGGAUCAGUGGCUGCUCCACUGGUCUCGCCGAGUUUGGCAGAAGGAGGAGGUAAAGUCUUCAACGGAGAGACCUGCUGCACGAUGUUGGCCCGCUUUGCAGUAGGGGCAUCCCUGUUCUGGUCCCUCUUCGUGGUUUGGGGUCGAGAACGUUUCCUGUUUAGAGCCCCAAUCACGGCGUCCUCCAUCUUAUGGCCAGGAAGUACCAAGCGAGACUCAAGCAAGUUGUAAGUAGUUAGCAGUUCUCGGCUCGAGCAGGAAUUGGCGAGUACAGCCUCGACCCAUUUGAGCUGGUUAGGUUGGAGCGGGAAGUGAACACCCCAAGAAACUACAACACAAACAGACACUUGGUUAGAGACAAGCCAAUAAAGCAAGAACAAUUAUGGAUACAAGACAUCUAAAGCGAGCAGGCAACCUGGGACCGUGAAACGGGGUGGGACGCGACAAUCCUUCCCGUCUAUUUGUGCAACUUGACCCCAAGGACCCCCAGCAAAAAAGAAUUUCCUUUUCCAGUCCCACACAACCAAGAACCGCUAAGUUUCUACUGCUGGUCCAUUACAUUACCCAACACCAGAAACUGGGGGACCGGUGUUUGAGGGAAAUACUCCGACGAGACCAGACGUGAUGAGCAGAUGUUUGGUGGCAGAAGUCUGCGAGCAGGUGUGUCCUGUAAGAGCCAGGUAGCAGGGGAACAGGGGCAGGAAUAUCCUGCUCAUCCACGAGCACGUCAUCCGCGAGGCCAAUUUCCUGUAAGAAGCAUAAAGCCAUUCUUGCUGUAUUCUUGCUAAGGGUUGAUUCGAGGAGACCCGGUCAACGACAGUUGGCGAGGCAUGCUCUCCAGCCCGAGAAUCUAGGCACAAAGGCCACGCAACCACCCACGACUACGGAAAUGGGGAAUCCACGUUCGAGAGGUGGGAGGAUAACGGGCGUAGACUGCGAAAAACUGGGAUUCAGAGGAAGCCUAUAAAAAGGUAGCCAACGAAGGUAAAGGGGUUAGCAAUUUUGAGAUUAGAAGGGAGAUAAAGAAAUUCUAAAGAAGAGAAAACUACCCAAAAGCCAUAAGAUCUGUGGCAAGCGUUCCCCGAACCUUCAUAUCUGACUUGAGCAUCGGAGGGUUUGCGCCGGGAAAACAACCGGCGUACUCUGACUUGUCUGUGUGUGCAGGAACCUCUGGAGAAGAAGCUUUACGAGGAGAGAUCCUGGUCGUGGUGAAGUUGAUCGAGCAGAGACCCUGGUCGUAGAACGAGGAGAACCAGAAUCUCGCAUCAACAUCAAUUAUUAACUAAAUUAUUCGAUAACAUAAUUAAUAAUGUGUAAAUUAGAGCAGGUUCCCAUUGCUUAGACAUACAUCCAGCAGCAGAAGAUGAUCCAGAGUGGUUAGUAAUGCAGCGAAAGAUUGAAGUGGACAUGGUUCAUGAUUGGAUCCUUAAAUACUCUGCAGAUUUGCUUCAAAAUCAGAGCAUAAGAUUAAAUUGGGACUGCAAAAUUAGUUUUUUCUUUUUCUUCCUCUCGUCUAUCUUUCUAAUAUUUAUGGAGCAAAGAUAAAUAAUAGAGCACCUAGCUAGUUUAAGAGUUCAUUUUCAUUAUUCUUAAUCUGGGUUGUCUAAAUGUGUAGAACAAGUGUGCAGUAUUACUUAAUGUAAAGCACAUAUAAAGGGCUCAAUCUUUAUGUAAUAAUCAUAUGGUGAAUAUCAAUUCAUGUACAAUCACAUUGAAUUAACCAUUUUCUCCCUUUGAUUUAGGAGUUACUGUAUAGGUCGUUGAAGCCGGUGACAGUAAAAGAAUUUGCUCUCCAUGUACAUGUAUCUCUCAUUCUCAACCUGUUCCUAUGCUUCUACAUAAUAGCUUCUUUUGUUAAUUAUUUGACAAUCUCAUGCAAUUCCAAACAUGACUUAGAAUCAGUUUGAGAUUCCGGUGGCUAUUGAAAUAAACUACUUCUAUUAUGCGGAUAAAAUAAGCUAAUGAUUAUAAAAGUAGCUCGCUCAGUGUUUGGUAAAUUCAAUUACGAAAGAACUAUUUUAUUAUAUAAUCACUAAAAUAAUUAUAAGUUUAAAUUGUCUUUUAUUUAUAUAUUAGGAUUUAUAAAAAAAAGGUAAUAUACAAUUAUUCUUUUCUUAGUUAUAAAGAAACUUUAAAAAAUGCAUUUUAUUUAAUAAGUUGCUUCUAAAAAUAAUCCCAUACUUGUUUUAAAAGCUAUUGUCAAAAUAGAGAAAAUAUAAAUUAACUUUUAACAAAUUUACCAAACAUUAUUUUUAUCAAAACUUAUAAAAUAAAUUGUUUAUAGUAUUUCAACUGUAAUCCCAAAUACGGCAUUAGUCUUUGUUCAAAAUAAGGUUAGACAUUGAAUAUGUGUACACGUAUAAACGAAAAUAUCUAGACUGAAGAAACAUCUCGACUUAAAUAAGUCUGCUUCAUUCUUUUUUUUCCACAGCAUAUGUCAAGACGUAAGUUCCAAAUCAUUGCUGACUAGGGGAAGAAGUCUUCAAAGUCAAGGUGAUUAGAUUAGCAGGUCACGAAAUUACGUAUGGGAGGGGUUCCCUGCCCUCAACUUAAAAAGAUGCCUUAAAAUUAAAUAUUAAAUAAUAUGGCAUUUGUUAAAUUUAAAAAAUAUAAAAAAAAUUAAAAAGAAAACCUUUUUUUAAGUGCCCAGAGGUUUGAACGGCAACUAUAGGAUUGUUUCACGAUGAACUUCAAAUGUGCAAGACUAAGGCAGGCCUAUCACGAUUUGGGCCAACUUUGGUAUACUCAGGAAGGGGCACGGAAGAGGGAGCAUUUUGGUUUAUAUUUUACUCAUACACACAUGAGUAAUUAUAUACAAACCUUUCAUGCCUUCACUACCUUUUUCAUGUGGGACAAAUGUAUUUUCCUUUAAUUUUCCAAUUAUAUACAAACCUUUCAUGCCUUCACUACCUUUUUCAUGUGGGACAAAUGUAUUUUCCUUUAAUUUUCCAAUUCCAUGAAUUUACUUUCAGUUACCAUUUCUCAUUUAUCCAAGGAUCAUUUUGAUCAUAUAGAUAAAACCAUUUUGAAGUAUUUACAGAGAAAUAUUUGAAACAAUUUUAACUUUUCACUUACACCACAUAGGUCUCACUCAAAAUCACGCCUCAAAUAGCCACUUGUGCUAUAUUUCCAACACCUUCUGUCUCUUUUCCUUAUUGAUCGCAUGCAAAAAAAUUGAGUGCAAUGAAAUUUUUUAUAUUCUUUCGUCUAUGAUGUUUUUGUGUAAAAAAUAAUAAAAUUCAAAUGGAUGUUAAGUAGCCCAUGAAUUUCCAUAGUUUGUAUGUUACAAAAGGAGCUUUGUAACUAUUUUAAAAAAUAAACAGAUUAUUUUGAUUAUUUUGUCAAAUCACAGGAGUUUCUACAUGUUUUUUUAUACAAAUUAAAUUCACACAAAGAUAUGAUUAGUCUUGUUUAUUUUCCUAUUUGAGUCAUAAUUUACAACAAGAACUCUUUGAGCUUUUUAUUUAUUUUAUUAUUUUGGGUGAUAUUUAGUAUCUUAAUAAUGCUAUUAACUAUUUCUAAUAUUUUCCAUAUUAUCUUAUAUUUCUGCAAUGUUAUUCAAAUAGAUUUAUAAGCUAAAGCCAAUAAGCCAAUUGGAUAGUACUAUUGAGACCGUCAAAUAAACAACAUGUCGCAAUGAAUGAGUCUUUCGUCUAACAAUACUUAUUUUAUGUACAUCUCUAAAUUUUAUUUAUGAGAAUACAUAUUUAUAAAUGAUUAAAAAUAAUUUUCUUCUUCAUCUUAUUUAUUUAUUAUUUUUUUUUUUUAGGGAGGGGGAGUGCCAUCCAGACAUACAGUGAAAUGGUCUCACCAAUUGGAAUUGGCAAAAACGACACAAUGUUUCAAACAUACUCAUUUAAUCUGACAGAAUAUAUGAAUUCAUGCAAUAAGUCUUAUGGAGUGGUUCCCAGACCACAUUAGAUUACAACAUAUUACGGCGGUCAUGUAAGUAUUGAUUAAUCCCCAAAUUAAUUCUUUUAAUAAUUUAAUUUUUCUCAUUUUCUUUUUUAAUUAUAAAGUUUACCUCAAUUGUUGUUUGAUUUCUAUUUCUUUUUAAUUUGCAAGAUAUAAGAGUGGUUUUAAAGAGAUUUGGUAGCAACAUUAUUUUACCUAAUGGCCUUCGUGAUAUGAUCCCUAUAGCAGCGAGGGGUAAUUAAGCUUAAAAAUUUUAUACUCUUUUCUAUCGAAGUUACCCGUUUAAUUAUAUGCCUUAUUCUUUUUCUUCUCUUUUUUUUUGGUGGGGGGGGGGGGGGGGAGAUUAUAGGGUUUUGGAAGAUAUCAGACAAUAUAAUAGCAGCGACAACAAGAAACAGUAUGUAAAUUUUUCUAUAAAAUAAAAAAUAAGUGUUCAAUUAUUAACUAAAUUAAAUUAUUCGAUAACAUAAUUAAUAGUGUGUAAAGUGGAGCAGGUUCCCAUUGCUUAGACAUACAACCAGCAAUAGAAGACGACCCAUAAUGGUUAGCAGUGCACAGUGCAGCGAAAGAUUGAAGUGGACAUGCUUCAUGGUUGGAUCCUCAAAUAUUUUGCAGAUUUGCUUCAAAAUCAGAGCAUAAGAUUAAUUUGUGACUACAAAAUUAGUUUUUUUCUUUUUCUUCAUCUCCUCUAUCUUUCUAAUAUUUAUGGAGCAAAGAUAAAUAAUAAUAGUGCACCUAGCUAGUUUGGAUUUGGUUGUAAUUUUCAUAAUCCUUACUCUGAGUUGUCUAAAUGUGUAGAACAGGUGUGCAGUAUUAGUUAAUGUAAAACACUUAAGGCUCAAUCUUUAUGUAAUAAUCAUAUGGUGAAUAUCAAUUCAUAUUCAAUCAGAUGAAUUAACUAUUUCCUCCCUUCGAUUUAAGAGUUACUGUAUAGGUCCUUGAAGCCGGAGGUAGUCAAAGAUUUGCCCUCCACACACACACACACAUAUAAAAAUAUUCAAAUUCAGAAUUUUAAAAUGCGGGAACGUUUGGGAAAACGCAUAAACUGUGCAGUUUAAGUGCUUUAAGUAUUAGACCUUUAAAACCCCGCAGUUUUAAAGUUUUUCCUAAUGUUUCCCACACUUUAAGAUCCUGUACCAAAAAACUACUAUAUAUAUAUAUAUAUUAGGUGUUUAAGCUUGUAUGCUCCGUUUAUUAGUAGCCAAGCUUGCGAGUAUAUUGCUUCUGGUGAACCUCUUCCUAUUCUUCUCCUUAAUAGCUAUUUCUCUUAAUUAUUUGACAAUCUAAUGCAAUCCCAAACGUGACUUAGCAUCAAGUUUAGGAUGGCGGUUGCUGAUAAAAUAAGUUAUUUCUAUUGUGAGGACGAAAUAAGUUGAUGAUUAAAAAAGUAUCUUGUUCAUGUUUAGUAAAUUUGAUUAUGAAUGUGCUGUAUUAUUUAAUGACUAAAAUAAACAUGAGUUUAAAUUGUCUUUUAUUUAUAUAUUAGAGCUUAUAGAAAAGUAAGAUAUAAUUAUUCUUUUCUUAAAAUAUUAAGGUUAUAAUAUGAACAUUUAAAAAGAUAUAGCAACUUAUUUAAUAAGUUGCUUAUAAAAAUAAUCUCUAUUCUGUUUUUAAAAGUUACAGUCAAAAUAGAGAAAAUUAUAAAAAAAAAACAACUUUUAACAAAGCCAUCAAACUUCAUUUUUAUCUAAACUUAUAAAAUAAGCUGCUUAUAGCAUUUCAAUCACAAUCCUGGGGCAUUAAUCUUUGUGUAGAAUCAGAUUAGACAUUGAAUAUUUCUAAUUUUCUACACAUAAAUUAAAAUAUGUAGACUAGAAAAACACCUUGACUUCGUAAGUCCACUUCAUUCUUUAAUUUCCGCAGCAUAUGUCAAGACGUUAUUUUCAAAUAAUUGCCGACUAGGAGAAGUCUUAUAGUCAAGGUGAUUACAUGAGCGUGUUAUGGAAUCGUAGUGGUUCCCUGCCCUCAACUAAAAAAGUGGCCUUCAAAAUUAAAUAUUAAAUAAUGUGGCAUUAUUAAUGUUAUAUAUAUAUAUAUAUAUAUGUGUGUGUGUGUGUGUCUGUGAGUGUGUAUAUAUGUAUAUAUAAUAUUAUAUAUAUAUAUAUAUUAGGUUUCAUGUUUUGCACGGGUUCGAACGGCAGUUGUAAUAUUAAAUAAUAUGGCAUUAUUAAAGUUAAAAAAAUAUCUAAAGUUAAUCAUAAAAAAAUAUUUUUUUUAUAAAAAAAUAAAUAAAGAUUAAAAUGGAUGUUAGGUAGCCCGUGAGUUUCCAUAGUUUGUAUGUUACAAAAGGACUUUUGUAACUAUUUUAAAAAAAUAAAAAAAUUAUUUUGAUUAUUCUGUCAAGUCACAGUAGUGUAGACAUCCUUUCUCUAUAGUUUAUUUAUAAUAUUAAAUUUAUACAAAGAUAUGGUUAGUCUCGUUUAUUUUCCUAUGAGAGUCAUAAUUUACACCAACAAUUCUUUGAGCUUCUUUUUCUUUUUAUUAUUUUGGGUAAUAUUUAAUAUCUUAAUAAUGCUAUUAAUUAUUUCUAAUAUUUUUCAUAUUAUCUCAUGUUUCUGCAAUGUUGUUCAAAUAGAUCUACACCACACAAAUACAAGCCAAUAAGGUUAUAUCUCCAUGAUUGAAUCCAUCUAGAGAAGACCUUGACUCACACUCUUUGAAAACGCGUAUUGGAAAUUAACACCGGGAGGUUGAAAAACAAUUAAUUCUUAUAUAAACGCUUUGCUGAGAAUCAAAUGUAGCUCAAUCAACCGAAAACCAUUAUAAACAUGGCAGCAGCAUCCACUGUUUCGAGAUUGGUGGUCAUUAUAAUUUUAAUUAAUGUUGGUGCUAUAAGUGAUACGACAAUAUUUGCAAUAGCAUCAGCUGCUGGAUUAUUGUCGUCACCCAAACUGUUAGAAAGGGAAGCUUUACUUGGUACAGGCUGGUGGGUCAACAAUUGCGCGACGGGCAACUACACGUCCUAUCAUUGUAAGUGGACUGGCAUCAGUUGCAAUUCAGCGGGAAGCGUAAUCGGGGUCAGCUUACUCUGGUAUGAAAAUGAUAACAUCACAGGAGAGCUCGGUCGUUUCAAAUUCUCUUGCUUUCCGAACCUCAGAAGUUUCAAAAUUCAUUCAAAUUAUUCUAUCUCUGGAAGCAUUCCAUCCGAAAUUACUGCCCUUUCAAUGCUCCAAACUCUUGAACUGCCCUCCAACAAUCUUACCGGUAAGCUACCAAACUUCACUAUAUAUAUAUAUAUAUAUAUAUAUAUGUAUGUAUGUAUGAAGUCGUGCUCAUGCUUGAAGCAGGAGUCUGUUUUUACAACACUGAAGAAGUUUUUUUUAUGAGGAUUUCUUUAUAAAUUUUAUUUAUAUGAGGAUAGUGAAUACUGAUCUCGUUUUUCAUAAAUCACAUGCGCAACAGGAAUUGUCCCUUCAGAGAUGGGGAGAUUGAGGAAUCUUGUCCACCUGGAUCUAUCUGAUAAUUACAUCUGGGGAUAUAUCCCUCCAACUCUUGGUCGUCUAAGCAAAUUGGAAAAUUUCAACCUGUCUUCUAAUGCCCUUGAUGGUAAUAUCCCUCCAACUCUUGGUCGUGUAAGCAAAUUGAAAAUUUUGAACUUGUCUUCUAACUCUCUUGUUGGUAAUAUCCCCCCCACUCUAGGUCAUCUAACCCAUCUAACUACUUUGGCUAUUGCUUGGAACCAAAUUAAUGGUUCCAUCCCAUUAAGAAUCGGGAGUUUGAAGGCUCUUCAAGUUCUUGACUUGUCCAUAAAUGAAAUUGAAGGUUCAAUGCCUUCAACACUUGGCCAUUUAAAGAGAUUGAGAAGUUUAGACUUGUCCGGUAACAAUCUUGUUGGUCCAAUCCCUUCGUCUGUGGGUCAUUUGACUCAGCUAACAACUUUUGAUAUGCACUCAAACCGAAUCAAUGGUUCCAUCCCAUUAGAAAUCGGGAAUUUGAACUUUCUUCAAGUUCUUGAUCUGUCCAACAACAAACUUGAAGGUCCAAUUCCUUCGACCAUAGCUAGUUUAGUCAACUUAACAUCUUUGUUCCUGUGCAAUAACAAUCUAACUGGAUCUAUUCCUUCAACACUUGGUCAUUUAAACAGGUUGACAAGUUUAGACUUGUCCAGUAACAAUCUUGUUGGUCCAAUCCCUUCGUCUGUGGGUCAUUUGACUCAGCUAACAACUUUUGAUAUGCACUCAAACCGAAUCAAUGGCUCCAUCCCAUUAGAAAUCGGGAAUUUGAACUUUCUUCAAGUUCUUGAUCUGUCCGACAACAAACUUGAAGGUCCAAUUCCUUCGACCAUAGCUAGUUUAGUCAACUUAACAUCUUUGUUCCUGUGCAAUAACAAUCUAACUGGAUCUAUUCCUUCAACACUUGGUCGUUUAAACAGGUUGACAAGUUUAGACUUGUCCAGUAACAAUCUUGUUGGUCCAAUCCCUUCGUCUGUGGGUCAUUUGACUCAGCUAACAACUUUUGAUAUGCACUCAAACCGAAUCAAUGGUUCCAUCCCAUUAGAAAUCGGGAAUUUGAAACAUGUUGAAGAUGUGUACCUGUUCAACAACAAACUUGAUGGUCCAAUUCCUCCACAACUCAUGAAUUGCUCAAAGCUGAGAGCAUUAUCAUUGAGUAAAAACUUGUUAAGUGGAAGCAUCCCAUCAGAGAUUGGCAAACUUCAAGAACUAUAUUAUCUUAAUCUGAGCCAUAACUCCAUUAAUGGUAAAAUACCUUCCCAGCUUGGAGCAAUUCCAAACAUAGAUACCGUGGACCUUUGCAUGAAUAACCUCUCCGGUAGUAUCCCUGAAUCUGUCACAAAUGUGCCACACUUAGAUGUGUCAGGCAACAAUUUGGAGGUAGAAAUCCCAAGUACUUCGGCAAAAGCGCCACCACCACAUCACAAAGGCAAUGACAAAAAGAUUGCCACUCGCUUGGUUGCAAUUAUUCUCCCUAUGGUCGCAUUGCUUGCCUUGAUAUUUGGAAUCUUGUUUGUCCGUAGACGAAGGGAUAAGAGAGUUGAACCAGCUGAGACAGGAGAAAUCACCAAGUGCGCUGAUGAGUUUGCAAUUUGGAAUUACGACGGUAGAAUUACAUUUCAAGACAUGAUUGAAGCUACUGAGGAUUUCCAUAUCAAAUACUGCAUUGGAACCGGAGGCUACGGCAGCGUUUACAGAGCACGACUACCCAGUGGAAAAGUAGUUGCUUUGAAGAAGCUUCACGGUUCAGAAACUGAGGAGUUAGCUUCCCUCGAGAGUUUCCGGAAUGAGGCUCGUCUACUGUCCCAAAUACGGCAUCGAAAUAUCGUAAAGCUUUACGGGUUUUGUUUGCACAGGAAAUGUAUGUUCUUAAUCUAUGAGUACAUGGAAAUGGGAAGCUUGUUCUGUGUUCUGCGCACAGAUGAGGAAGCUGUGGGGUUGGAUUGGGCUAAAAGGGUGAACGUUGUGAAGGGCAUGGCUCAUGCUUUGUCAUACUUGCAUCAUGACUGCACACCACCAAUUGUUCACCGGGACAUAUCAAGCAACAACAUUCUACUCAACUCAGAAUUAGAAGCAUUUGUUGCCGACUUUGGCGUUGCUAGAUUGUUAAAUUUUGACUCAUCCAAUCGAACUCUAUUGGCUGGCACUCAUGGAUAUAUUGCUCCAGGUAAUCUUCUAGCCAUUCUUCUUCUGCUUCUUUAAUUAUUCUUUUAAUUAAUUUUUAUAUACACUCUGUUAAGUAAUUUUUAAGCAGUUUUAUUUAGUUAGCUAUUUAGGUUCAAAUUUUGGAAUAGGUAAGGAGCUGAAAGAUAAAUUUAAACUUUGCCUACCCGUUUAACUUUUUUUUAAAAAAAAAAAAAUUACACACAGUUUAAAUAUCAAUUAAAAACAUAUGUUUUUCUGUCAUACCUUGCUGAAGAAGCUCAAAAAUAUAAACAAAUUGCUCUUGUUAUUAUAUAGGAAAUAUCACUAAUAAAGGCUUCUGUUUUCCUAUAGAACUGGCCUACACCAUGAUUGUGACGGAGAAAUCUGAUGUUUAUAGCUUCGGAGUGGUGGCACUAGAAGUACUAAUGGGAAAGCAUCCUGGAGAGCUCCUCUCAUCGUUAUCUUCGUCAUUAGAUAAAAAUAUUAAGCUGAUUGAUUUGCUGGACCCACGCCUCUCACCUCCGGUGGAUCAAAAGAUUAGGCAGGAUAUCAUUCUUGUUUCAACAGUAGCAUUUUCAUGCUUGCGUUCUCAACCAAAGUCUCGACCUACAAUGCAACUCGUGUCCAACGAAUUUAUCGCUCGCAAUAAGACACCAAUGCAAAAACCUUUUCAUGAAAUUUCAAUUUUGGAGCUUAGAAACCAAGAAAUGUAUUUGGUUGAUUAAUGUGAUAUCUAAUUAUGGAUACGUAUAUUUAACUGUUCAUGUAUGUGAUGGGAUUGCUUCUAAUCCUAAUAGAAUUUUCCAAUAAAGGUGACUGUUAAUUAGUUCUGAAAUUAUUAUUAGGUAGUAGCAAUGUAGCGUAUAUUAUGUGUUCGACGAAUUGUCUCCCUUAGUAUUAUUAAUUCCAUUUACACGUUCACUACCUAUAUAUAUUGAAUUGCAAUUAAACAUAUGUGCAAACUACGACAUUAAUGUCUCGGGUAAAGCUAGUACUUUCGCAGUUGGUUAGUCUAAUUGUCACCCCCUCAAUGAGCUGAAUUAAACAGGAUUUUAAGGAAUUUAAAGGUUGUAUCUCUACGAGUUAAAAGGGUAAAUUGUCAUUUUAAUUAUUAGUUUAUUUUACAAAUUAUAUAUAUAUAAACUUCAUGCAGAAUGAGGUUCUUGAUGUCGCGUUAUUUAAUAUAUUAGUUUUUUCACUCCUUUGUAAAUAUUCACACAAACAUAUACAAUAAUUUAGCUGAUCCGAUCAAACAUCCUUAGUUUUUUCACUCCUUUGUAAAUAUUCACACAUAUACAAUAAUUUAGCUGAUCCGAUCAAACAUCCUGGACCCACCGCUGAUGUUAGGAAGCUUCUGCAUAAGCUGUGGUUAGUGUCUUAGUGAUAUCCCGCCAACAACCUGCCAGCAAAAGAUAAACUAAUGUCAGGUCAUGAUCAAGAAAAAUUUGCUAAUGUCAGCAGAAGAAGUCAUAACCAUGCAUAUAUGAAGCACUUUCAAAGAGUAGAUCUAACAGUGUCUGGUUUUCAUUUUUGGAGUUUUUUACCAAUGACUGGAGAGUAGAGAACAACACAUGAUCCCCGUUACAGUAUUGUUGCUUGAAUUUAUAGGCUUCAUCAAUCAGUACCUUCAAAUCCAUAUAUAAUGAGAUGGAAGAAUGAAUUUAAAUUUAUUAAUGUCAUUUCCGAGUUUUAAAAUGAUAAAGCAAGUUGCAACUGAUUCAUUGAAAUUUAAAACAUUCAUAAUGAAGUGCAAGAGCAAAAUAAAAGUUAGGAGCUUUACCUUCAGCAUAACAAGGAGUCUGCUGGAUCAGGCCCACUUUAUCUGCCGCUAUAGACCACCACCUCUUCAUCUUCAGCCUUCUCAAUAACACGGUCUCUUGUUUCUUCAUUUGAUUCUUCGACCACUACAGCUUCACCUUCAACAUUCUCAGUAGGCUCUGAUG
RNAcentral lists this long non-coding RNA (99779 nucleotides) under Citrus maxima (pomelo). Its description in RNAcentral is "long non-coding RNA (CMAX_LNC000995)". Lineage: Eukaryota; Viridiplantae; Streptophyta; Magnoliopsida; Sapindales; Rutaceae. The record is from RNAcentral.